This 170864-nucleotide long non-coding RNA is filed under the name Triticum aestivum (bread wheat). RNAcentral's name for it is "long non-coding RNA (TAES_LNC006737)". Lineage: Eukaryota; Viridiplantae; Streptophyta; Magnoliopsida; Poales; Poaceae. The record is from RNAcentral.
AAAAACAUUACACCUUCAACACCACCGACCUCAAGAGGGCACUGCGCCAGAACACCUGGGGCUGGGAGAUGCCGGUGGUCCUCGACUGGGCCAUCCGCGACAGCCCCACCUGCAAGGAGGCAAGGAAGAAGGAGGGGUACGCCUGCAUAAGCUCCAACAGUCUCUGCCUCAACUCUACCAAUGGACCUGGAUACAUCUGCAACUGCCGCCGAGGCUACGAGGGCAACCUCUAUAUUGUUGAUGGUUGUACCGGUAAGUUCGUCCUGCUACACGCGACUCGAGUAGGACCGAUAAAUCGAAUUUAGAAUCUGAAUAUGAUACUCCCUCUGUAAAUUAAUAUAAGAACUAGAUCACUAAUUUACAGAGGGAGUACUUCACAAUUUCUUGCAAUGCUAUCCGACGAACGUUUGCCAGGAUGACAACCUUAGCGAAUGCCUUCCCUUCUGUCGCACAGAUCUUGGCGCAACAUGAAUACUUCAUUUUUUAUUUUUUUCGCACGGAUCUUGGCGCAAAGCGUACGUUCCCUUUUUAUUUCGAAAAAACUAACGCCGACACGUGUAGCAUCUUGCACAUCGCCCACACGCGUUCAUUACCACUCAUUUUGCCACGUAUGAACAGACGACAUCAGCAAGAAUCCUUUUGAUUUUCGGUUUAAAAUGUUUUAUCUCCUAAUUAAAAAUUGAAUUAAAAAUCCAUUUUCACCAUUAAAUUCGUCUCAACGAGAUCUUCAAAAUUAGACCCCAUGUUGAUAUGUUUCAACGAAAAAAUAUUUUACCCUUUGUCAUGAUGUUUACACUGUAGUUGCCAUAGUGCUUAAACUAAGGUUGCCAUAUGUGGCAAUUUUAGUUUGUAGAGCAUGGCAAUUUUAGUUUUUUGAUGAUGGCAAUUUCAGUACUUUGACCAUGAGUUAUUUUUGGUAUGAACCAUGGCAAUUUUAAGUGCAUGUAUCAUGGCAAUUUUAUUUUAUAGUUCAUGUCAAGUCUAGUUUCUUAAUUCACCGUUUUAUAAUAUGUCAAAAUUUACUUUUAAAUGUAAAAGAAAAUAGCUGAAAUAUAUCAUGACAACUUCAGUGUAAACAUCAUGGCAAUUCAUGUGCAAUAGACAUGACAACUUUUAACCCAAAAAAAUUCGUUGAAAUCUAUUGAUAUAUGAUCUAGUUUCAAAGCUCUCGUCGCGAGAGAUUUAAUGGUGAAAACGGAUCCUCACUCGAAUUUUUCAUUUAAUAGACAAACCAUUUUAAAAACUGAAAAUCCGAAAAAAUUUCCACAUGCAUGCAUGCGGUGACGUGGUGCAGUCUGUGUGUUAUAGGGCGUGUGGACGGGUUUGACUUACACCGCACGUGUCGGCGUUAGCGUUGUCCUUUAAUUUUUACAUACGACCUCCAGCCGGAGUAGCAAGAACGCUAACCACUAGGAUGAAUCUAGGUUUCGUUAACAGUUUCGCUCAAAUCUUUUUUAUGUAUUUGAGUGAGCUGUUUUUAAAUUUGUUUUUCUAUUAAAAAAUCCAAAAAACCUUCUUUUAUUCAUUUGUGAAAGAACCAAAAUCCCUAUUUUUCAACUUGCUAUGUGCAGUUUUAUUAUAGGUAGCAUGGCAAUUCAUAGGCCUAUUUUAUUAUAGUUUUAUCUUUUCGCGAGCAUGGUAUUUUGUUAUCAGUAACACGACAAUUUUCAUUUAUUAAAAGCCUGAUAUUUUCAUAGUCAAAUAAAGGGGCAUGUUUAUUUCUUGGAGGAUGGUCGUUUAACAAUCAAAAUAUGGCAUUUUUAUUAUUCAUAGGUGUCAGCUUUAUUACUAAAAGCAUGACAUUUUAUUAUCAAUAAGAUUUAUUAUUAAGAGCAAGACAAUUUUAAUAGUCAAUAAUAUGGAAUUUUUAUUUACAAGAUUUCAUUUAGUAAUCAACAACAUAGUAUUUUUAUUAUUAAGAGGAUGUCAAUUUUAUUAUUAAUAUUUGUCAUUAACAUGGCAGUUUUUAUUUUUAAGAGUAUGCCAUUUUAAUAGCCAAUAAAAUGGCAUUUUAUUUUAUUAUUUAGAGGAUGGCACUUUAGUGUUUAAUGGCAUGGCAUUUUUUCCUUUUUUGAUCAUGGCAGUUUUUAAAGUUUAGCAUGGCAGUUUUUCAUAAUUCAGAUCAUGGAAAUUAGGGUCUUUUUGUUGUUGUUGGCAUUUCUUCUGAAAAAGAAAACUUAACUGUGUCAACGGACAGAGCGAAAACUGUGUGCUAUUUUUUUUGGGUGAAUGGGCUCGAAUUUGGCCAGCUUUUUAAGGCCCAAAUCGAUCAACUAGUCGCUGAGCAAGCCCAUACGAGCAAAUAUUUUCGAUUUUUCUGGUGAUUCCUUGUAAUGUUUUCAUCCAUACUGUAAAUUUCUCUUCAUGCAUGUACAUACCGUUAAGUUUUUUUUAAUCUAGCACAUGCGUUAAAAAGCUUAAAGAAUUGCCAUAACAUAUUUUUCUUCUAAUAUAAUAACUUUUCCUGUUCGGUCUCUUCUUUUCAAGAACAUAGCCAUCAAGUUAUCAACAUCUAGCCUGUCUCUAGAACUUUUUUGAUCUUCAAGAACAUAGUGUGUGCUCUUUUUAUGAUAUUUUUUAUGAACUUUCAUAAGCUACUUUUGACGUUAUCAAACUCCAUAGUUUUUUUUCUUCUAUAAUACCACUAAUUUUUUUCAUUUCUUGCAUUUUCCAUUUUAAAAUUUUUUUGCUCCAUUUUCCAAAAGUAAAAAAAAUGAGUUCUUUACAGUCCUUCAAAACAUUUCAUUUUGCUGAUUAAUUUUAAACCUAAAGAUUUUUAUGCAUGUUUAUGCUUACUUGACCACCACAUGGAUGCAAAUUGCACCAUUUGUCGUAGUCCUAUAGUUCUCACGGAAACAAAAGAAACCUCCAUGCUUCUUUUUGAGUUUGAACUUUUGCAUGCAAUUCCAAAGAAAAAACGUCAUUGAGUCAAACUCAAAAAAAAAAGAGCACACACUAUGAAUGCACCAGCAAUUUAGAAAGUUUUUCUGCAUUUUCUGUGGUGCAACGAAACAACCUCUGUUGCACUUCAUGUGUUUUCCCGUUUCUUGGAUUAAAUAUGCCUUGACAGUUGAAAUCUACUUCCAUUUAACAGAAGAAACACUCGCUAGUUUGGAUGAAAAAAUACUAUCUUUUUCUCCCUAUAUGCUGAAUCACGGUCGUUUAGUAUUGUGUUCUAACGAAUAAAGUUGAAAAAAAUAUUGCAGAUAUAAAUGAGUGUGAGCAUCUUGACCACUACUCUUGCAAGGGAGUGUGCACGAACAGACAAGGUUCUUACGAAUGUACAUGCCCCAAACAUACACACAGUGCUGAUCCGUACAAAGAAGUAUGCAGCCCGAAUUUUCCAACCAACGCAAAGAUCAUUGUAGGUAUGUAUGUGCCUUCGCUUCACCUCCAAACAGUGUGAUGUGUUAUUUGAAUGGCAAUACAUUUUUUUUCUUCUUCUGCUGAGUUGAAUCGCAAUACGUUAUCCAAACGAUAUCUCUUCCAGCCUUUAUGCAUGUGCAGACUGGAUAUCAUUUAUUCGUCCAUCACCAACAACAUUUUGAACAUAAAUGAUCUAGAAUAUAACUUUGACUGUUAACGCAUUAAGGUGAGGAACUAUCUCUAUUGUAUAUAGUCGUACGGUCAAAGUUUUCUAGAACAGAUCUAUUAAUACAUUGACUAGAGCUACCUAGGAGAUUUUCAGAAAAUAAUCCUAGAGAUUAACUUGCAAACUAAACUACGUGAAUCUAGGCAAUUCUAACCAACACAAGGAACAUGAUAUAUUCUGAAGUCGCACAAAACAGCAAUUCUAACCAACACAAAGUAUGUUUUAGUGAAAACCGGACAUUGGUUUGUUUCCGGAUUCAAAUAGAAGCUUCUGGUCAGAAAACCGCGGUUACAAAGACCCAGCCGUUCUUGCAAUUAAAGUUGCAUAUCCACCUAAAGCUUUUAGCGAUAAAUACCUGUCUAUGAUUGUUUUACUAGGUCCUCACCUUGCGGUAGGAGAUCUCAUACCCUUAUAAACUUGUCUUCUUCACAACUUUAAUGACUUAUAAGUAGGAUUAUGUGCAUCACAAUGAUGCAGAGGGCUGGGGGUUAACCUCCUUUGGACAAAAACAACCUUGAUGACUCCUAAAAAAUCCUAGCACACACCCUGCUAAAUUAAGAAGUACUUCUUUAGUGGGAAUGCAGAGGAGAGCACUCAAGUGGUGUUGCACUAGAACAUGCCAACAGAGGAUAAUGGCGUGUCGAUGAAUCACCCUGAUUUAACUGAAAAACGGAUGCGCUAAAAUUUGAUGAAAUAUGGGCCUAUUAGGGCACGUAUGGUAAUUGAUAAUAUAGUAUUAUCUUAAAUCCACUAUAAUCUGGAGAUGACAAUUAAAAUGCAAUGUACAAUGGGUUGUCUCUUAGCACAUCUGUAGUAACUAAAUAUGAAAAAUUUGCCUUCUCUUAACUAAGAGAUGACCUCGAUGAAUCCACCUAUUCUUCUUCAGCCUCCAAAUUAAAUAUGCCCACAAAUUUGAUGACAUGUAGUACUCUAGCUAUUUUUUAGUACACGUCCCACCACAAUUCAAAUAUUGAGAACUUUGAAAUUAGAACCUUGCUACAUUUUUAUAUAUUCAAGCACCAGCAAAAAGAAUUACUGCAAGUAUUUUUGACAUUUUAAUUUAUUUAUUUGACAAUAAUCCAUUGUAAUGAUAUUGUUUACAUAUUUUUUGCGUUAUAUAGGUGCAAUAGGGGGCAUGUUAGUUAUGGUAAUUAUGGUCUUCUUCUGGCUUCUUAUUGAAGAGAAAAGAAAGAUGAAAGAACAUUUUGAAAAGAAUGGCGGACCUACAUUGGAAAAGCUCAAUAAUAUAAAGCUAUUCAAAAAGGAAGACAUCAGGAAAAUUCAGAAAAGUAGCAACAUUAUUGGAAGCGGUGGUUUUGGUAAGGUUUAUAAGGGGUGCAUUGGCGAUAAUAAUGAGUUAGUUGCAGUGAAGGAGCCCAUCAAUGUUAACUCAGCAAACAAGGGUCAAUUUGCAAAUGAGAUCAUCAUUCAGUCUCGAGUCAUUCACAGGAACAUUUUGAAGCUCGUAGGUUGUUGCUUACAAGUUGAAGUCCCAAUCUUGGUCUAUGAGUUUGUACCUAAUGGUUGCCUUCAUGACAUUCUCCAUAAUGGUAGCAGGAUGCAUCUCGAUAUGUGUAAACGUCUAAAAAUUUCUGCUGAAUCGGCGGAAGGUCUAGCUUAUAUGCAUUCAAAAACCACUACCACAAUCCUCCAUGGUGAUGUUAAACCAGCUAAUAUACUUCUGAAUGACGAGUUCACACCAAAGAUCUCAGACUUUGGUAUAUCAAGGUUAAUUGUUACAGAUAUGCAACACACUGGAAAUGUUAUUGGUGACAUGAGUUAUAUGGAUCCAGUUCUUCUACAAACAGGAUUACUAACCAAGAAGAGUGAUGUCUAUAGUUUUGGGGUUGUGCUCUUGGAGCUCAUUACAAGGAAGAAGGCAUCACAUUCUGACAAGAACAGCUUAUUGAGGAACUUUCUUGAUGCUUACACGAAGGACAAGUCUGUGAUUGAGCUCGUGGACAAGGAACUUGCAGAGGUAGAUCGAGAGAUUCUUGAUAAUUUAGGAGAGAUGAUUAUGCAAUGUCUAAAUCUUGAUGUCAAUCAGAGACCGGAGAUGACAGAUGUUGCAGAGCGUCUUCGUGACAUGGUUAAGAGGUUUAAUGCCCAAUGGAAUGAUCAACUGGAUGAUCAUGUGGUUUCGCAGUAAGUUGAUGAAUUUUACAGAACGACGGAAGUAUUAUGCAUUUAUUUGCUUGUGUGCUUAUUUUGCGUAGAUAAAAUACUGUGAAAGAAGUAUGGUACAUAUAUAUUUCCACACAUAUGGUAGAUUUCCUUAGAGAUUAUGUAUAUUUCCACACAUGGAACAUGUGGAAUUGUUUGCCCGAAUAAAUUGUUUUGUGUAUUUUGUAUGUUUUUCUUGUAAAAAUUGAUUUGUGGUUGUUUAACAUGAAUGUAUAUAUUGUGUUAAUUUCUUAAGUUAUCGUGGAACCGAAAAAGGCAUGGAUAGUUGUGUAUGAGAAAGCCUAUGUCCAUAACAUCCGCAAAGAAAAAACAUGUCCAUAUGCAACCAAGUCCGUAAGUGUACCAGAAUGUUGAGGAACUCUUUGUUAGGGAUAUCAAUGUUGGGGAACGUAGUAAUUUCAAAAAAAUUCCUACGCACUCGCAAGAUCAUGGUGAUGCAUAGCAACGAGAGGGGAGAGUGUGUCCACGUACCCUCAUAGACCGAAAGCGGAAGCGUUAGCUCUACGCGGUUGCUGUAGUCGUACGUCUUCACGGCCCGACCGAUCAAGCACCAAAACUACGGCACCUCCGAGUUCUUGCACACGUUCAGCUCGAUGACGUCCCUCGUACUCCGAUCCAGCCGAGUGUCGAGGGAGAGUUCUGUCAGCAUGAUGGCGUGGUGACGAUGAUGAUGUUCUACCGUCGCAGGGCUUCUCCUAAGCACCGCUAUGAUAUUAUCGAGGAGGACUAUGGUGGAGGGGGGCACCGCAAACGGCUAAGAGAUCAAUGAUCAAUUGUUGUGUCUAUGGGGUGCCCCCUCCCUCGUAUAUAACGGAGUGGAGGAGGGGCCGACCAAGGGUGGUGGCGCGCCCUAGGGGGGAGUCCAAGUCCCACCGGGAGUAGGACUCCCCCCUUUCCUAAUAGGAGAGGGAAAGGGAAGGAAGAGGAAGUAGGGAGGAAGGAAAGGGGGGGUGGCCCCCCUCCCAAUUCGGAUUGGGCUUGGGGGGGGGGCCCUCCCUUGCUCCUUUCCCCUCCUUUCCACUAAGGCCCAUUAAGGCCCAUAUACCUCUCGGGGGGUUCUGAUAACCUCCCAGAGCUCCGGUAUUGUCCCAAUCUCACCCGGAACCUUUGCGGAUCCAAAUAUAGUCGUCCAAUAUAUCGAUCUUCAUAACUCGACCAUUUCAAGACUCCUCGUCAUGUCCGUGAUCAUAUCCGGGACUCCGAACAACCUUCGGUACAUCAAAACACAUAAACUCAUAAUAAUUGUCAUCUAACUUUAAGCGUGUGGACCCUACGGGUUCAAGAACUAUCUAGACAUGAUCGAGACACGUCUCCGGUCAAUAACCAAUAGCAGAACCUGGAUGCUCAUAUUGGCUCCUACAUAUUCUACGAAGAUAUUUAUCAGUCAAACCACAUAACAACAUACGUUGUUCCCUUUGUCAUCGGUAUGUUACUUGCCCGAGAUUCGACCGUCGGUAUCUCAAUACCUAGUUCAAUCUCGUUACCGGCAAGUCUCUUUACUUGUUACGUAAUGCAUCAUCCUGUAACUAACUCAUUAGCUACAUUGCUUGCAAGGCUUAUAGUGAUGUGCAUUACCGAGAGGGCCCAGAGAUACCUCUUCGACAAUCGGAGUGACAAAUCCUAAUCUUGAAAUACGUCAACUCAACAAGUACCUUUGGAGACACCUGUAGAGCACCUUUAUAAUCACCCAGUUAUAUUGUGACGUUUGGUAGCACACAAAGUGUUCCUCUGGUAAGCAGGAGUUACAUAAUCUCAUAGUCAUAGGAACAUGUAUAAGUCAUGAAGAAAGCAAUAGCAACAUACUAAACGAUCAAGUGCUAAGCUAACGGAAUGGGUCAAGUCAAUCACAUUAUUCUCCUAAUGAUGUGACCCCAUUAAUCAAAUGACAACUCAUGUCUAUGGUUAGGAAACUUAACCAUCUUUGAUUCACGAGCUAGUCAAGUAGAGGCAUACUAGUGACAUUAUGUUUGUUUAUGUAUUCACACAUGUAUUAUGUUUCCUGCUAAUACAAUUCUAGCAUGAAUAAUAAAGAUUUAUCAUGAUAUGAGGAAAUAAAUAAUAACUUUAUUAUUGCCUCUAGGGCAUAUUUCUUCAGUCUCCCACUUGCACUAGAGUCAAUAAUUUAGAUUACACAGUAAUGAUUCUAACACCCAUGGAGCCUUGGUGCUGAUCAUGUUUUGCUCGUGGUAGAGGCUUAGUCAACGGGUCUGCAACAUUCAGAUCCGUAUGUAUCUUGCAAAUCUCUAUGUCUCCCACCUGGACUUGGUCCCGGAUGGAAUUGAAGCGUCUCUUGAUGUGCUUGGUCCUCUUGUGAAAUCUCGAUUGCUUUGCCAAGGCAAUUGCACCAGUAUUGUCACAAAAGAUUUUCAUUGGACCCGAUGCACUAGGUAUGACACCUAGAUCAGAUAUGAACUCCUUCAUCCAGACUCCUUCAUUUGCUGCUUCCGAAGCAGCUAUGUACUCCGCUUCACAUGUAGAUCCCGCUACGAUGCUUUUUUUGGAACUGCACCAACUGACAGCUUCACCGUUCAAUAUAAACACGUAUCUGGUUUGCGAUUUAGAAUCAUCCGGAUCAGUGUCAAAGCUUGCAUCAACGUAACCAUUUACGACUAGCUCUUUGUCACCUCCAUAGACGAGAAACAUAUCCUUAGUCCUUUUCAGGUAUUUCAGGAUGUUCUUGACCACUGUCCAGUGAUCCACUCCUGGAUUACUUUGGUACCACCCUGCUAAACUAAUAGCAAGGCACACAUCAGGUCUGGUACACAUCAUUGCAUACAUGAUAGAGCCUAUGGCUGAAGCAUAGGGAACUUCUUUCAUUUUGUCUCUAUCUUCUGCAGUGGUCGGGCAUUGAGUCUGACUCAAUUUCACACCUUGUAUUACAUGCAAGAACCCUUUCUUUGCUUGAUCCAUUUUGAACUUUUUCAAAACUUUAUCAAGGUGUGUACUUUGUGAAAGUCCAAUUAAGCGUCUUGAUCUAUCUCUAUAGAUCUUGAUGCCCAAUAUGUAAGCAGCUUCACCGAGGUCUUUCAUCGAAAAACUUUUAUUCAAGUAUCCUUUUAUGCUAUCCAGAAAUUCUAUAUCAUUUCCAAUCAAUAAUAUGUUGUCCACAUAUAAUAUCAGAAAUGCUACAGAGCUCCCACUCACUUUCUUGUAAAUACAGGCUUCUCCAAAAGUAUGUAUAAAAUCAUAUGCUUUGAUCACACUAUCAAAGCGUUUAUUCCAACUCCGAGAGGCUUGCACCAGUCCAUAAAUGGAUCGCUGGAGCUUGCACACUUUGUUAGCAUCCUUUGGAUCGACAAAACCUUCUGGUUGCAUCAUAUACAACUCUUCUUCCAGAAAUCCAUUCAGGAAUGCAGUUUUGACAUCCAUUUGCCAAAUUUCAUAAUCAUAAAAUGCAGCAAUUGCUAACAUGAUUCAGACAGACUUAAGCAUCGCUACGGGUGAGAAAGUCUCAUCGUAGUCAACCCCUUGAAUUUGUCGAAAACCUUUCGCAACAAGUCGAGCUUUGUAGACAGUAACAUUACCAUCAACGUCAGUCUUAUUCUUAAAGAUCCAUUUAUUCUCGAUGGCUUGCCGAUCAUCGGGCAAGUCAACCAAAGUCCACACUUUUUUCUCAUACAUGCAUCCCAUCUCAGAUUUCAUGGCCUCAAGCCAUUUUGCAGAAUGUGGGCUCCUCAUUGCUUCCUCAUAGUUCGUAGGUUCGCCAUGGUCAAGUAACAUGACCUCCAGAAUAGGAUUACCAUACCACUCUGGUGCGGAUCUUACUCUGGUUGACCUACGAGGUUCUGUAGUAACUUGAUCUGAAAUUUCAUGAUCAACAUCAUUAGCUUCCUCACUUAUUGGUGUAGUCGUCAUAGGAACCGGUUUCUGUUAUGAACUAAAGGAGCAGGUACAGUUACCUCAUCGAGUUCUACUUUCCUCCCACUCACUUCUUUCGAGAGAAACUCCUUCUCUAGAAAGGAUCCAUUCUUGGCAACAAAUGUCUUGCCUUCAUAUCUGUGAUAGAAGGUGUACCCAACAGUUUCCUUUGGGUAUCCUAUGAAGACACAUUUCUCCGAUUUGGGUUCGAGCUUAUCAGGUUGAAGCUUUUUCACAUAAGCAUCACAACCCCAAACUUUAAAAAACGACAACUUUGGUUUCUUGCCAAACCACAGUUCAUAAGGCGUCAUCUCAACGGAUUUUGGUGGUGCCCUAUUUAACGUGAAUGUAGCCGUCUCUAAAGCAUAACCCCAAAAUCAUAGUGGUAAAUUAGUAAGACAUAUCAUAGAUCGCACCAUAUCUAGUAAAGUACGAUUAUGACGUUCGGACACACCAUUACGCUGUGGUGUUCCAGGUGGCGUGUAGCGACCCGACCUCAGACGAUCAAGUCUCUGUGCUUAAGUGUCAUCCCUGGAUUGGUAUGCUGACACACACAGUACUCGAGGAUUUAUAACAGAGGUAAAUCACAUGUAUAAAAUAACGUAAAUACUAUUACCUCAAUCCAAAAUAGCGGAAGCAACAAGGUUGUGGAUUCCCAUCAACACCAAUGGCAAAGUUGACUAUAGGAAAUCGUAACCCUAACGUAUCACUUACUCGUCGUAAGAUCCUGCAACAUGAGACGUUGCAGCCACAGAGGGUCAGUACAUUGAAUGUACUGGCAAAUUCACACCAUAGAGCAAUGAUGAAUAAAGGCUAUCAGUACAUGCAUAUAUGGCUGGUGGAAAAGCUCUACGGUUACAGUUUUUGCGAAAAGCCAAUUUUCCCCUACUACAAAGGAAUAAAUUUAUUUAACUAUCAUGGUGGUUGUUAAACAUUGAGAAUGGUUGACAGCAUUCUCAAUCCCAAUUAAAAAGUACUCAUUAAAAACCCAACAGUAUUAAUUAAAGUAACAUGAUGAGAUUCACAUGAUAAUCAAGUACUAGAUGCUCAAGAUGUCCAUAACCGGGGACACGGCUAAUCAUGAUUAGUUUGUACACUCUGCAAAGGUUUGCGCACUUUUCUCACAAGACUCGAUCGCCUCCGUUUGAUUCCUCGCACUACAUGAUGUUUGAGAAACGGAUGACCGAGACAUAGUCUUUCAGAAGCACUAGCACCUUACAUGUGGGUAGACCGGUACACCUACUUUCCCCUACAUCUGCUAGUCUACCCGUAAGAGUUUGCACAACUUAGUCAACUAUGCCAGAGCCCAUAAUGGCUUGUGGUUGCACACGGAAGUUUCUAGUUUGAAUAAUCUCAUGAUCCCUUUGAGCCUGGGUGGCGGUCCGAAGAAAAACAGGCAAGUCCUGGAAACCCAGGUGCCUAGACAGGCAAGUCCUGGAGUAACCAGGUGCCUCAAUCCACCCAGAUGUGUGUUUAAGUUGCCACCUUAAAUAAACCAUUAAUUAACAAUCUCACAUCUGUCAUGGAAAUUCACUCACCCAAUCCACAUCUACUAGCAUAGCAUGGCAUAAUAAGCAAACGUAGAAGUAACUCCCAAGGGUUUGAAAAUAAAAUAGGUAAUAGGUGCUACUCAAUCUACUUCCCAAAACCCACAAUUUAAUUUAGAUCCUAAUCAUGCAAUUGUUUGGAGGAUUGAACUAAUGCAAUAAAACUGGGUAUGAAAAGGGAUAUGAUCAAAGUGUGAACUUGCCUGCAAUGUUGAUGAAGAUGAUUUGCACUCAAAACUCUUGAUAGUUCUACUCGUCACACUCCGGUCAAUCUAUCGCGAGCAAGCAAUGGUAACCACACAUAAGCAAUCAAUCAAAAGAUCGGAAAGAACGAGGAAUGCAAUUCGAAAAACAUCAAAAUCAAACAAAUAACUCUUGCAACAUAAAACAAUUUCUAACAGUACCAAAAUUAUGCGAAUUUGGCCUUAUAAGAAAGUUUAGGUCAAGAGUUUCGAUUUGCAAAAAGAAUCAACUCAAACGGAGUUAUAAAACUCAAGUUACGAUCAAACGAAGUUCAAAUUCAAAUCUGAUCUAAUUCAAAUUUUAACUUUCAAAAACAUGUUUGAGUUGUUUUACUGGAUAGAGGAGAUCGUAACAAAGACGUGGGCAUUGGUUUCGUUGGAUUUGGACUAACGAGUAAAAAGAUUUGGUCAUUUGAAGUAUAGGGACUAAUAUGUAAAUAGAAUCAUCACAGAUAGGUCCCUGGCCGAAAUCUAAAAUAAAAAGAAAAAACCUAUCGUAUGAACGUUCGCUACGGAACGCUGACGAACGAACACAUUCGUUAAAACUAUCUAUACAGAGAACAUUCGCUAUUUAAACGAUCUACAAAAAAAAAUAAAACCAAUCUAUAACAGAAACCGAACUAGAAAAGAACCGGGGCGGGUUUUUCGGUGGUUUAUACCGGUUCGGAGCGGUUUUCUAUUGAAAACCGGCGGCGGGACACCGGCGAGGGCGACGCUGCUCCAGCGACUGCGAGGCGCGGCGGCAGCGGCGGGUGGCGGCGCGGCUACGNNNNNNNNNNNNNNNNNNNNNNNNNNNNNNNNNNNNNNNNNNNNNNNNNNNNNNNNNNNNNNNNNNNNNNNNNNNNNNNNNNNNNNNNNNNNNNNNNNNNNNNNNNNNNNNNNNNNNNNNNNNNNNNNNNNNNNNNNNNNNNNNNNNNNNNNNNNNNNNNNNNNNNNNNNNNNNNNNNNNNNNNNNNNNNNNNNNNNNNNNNNNNNNNNNNNNNNNNNNNNNNNNNNNNNNNNNNNNNNNNNNNNNNNNNNNNNNNNNNNNNNNNNNNNNNNNNNNNNNNNNNNNNNNNNNNNNNNNNNNNNNNNNNNNNNNNNNNNNNNNNNNNNNNNNNNNNNNNNNNNNNNNNNNNNNNNNNNNNNNNNNNNNNNNNNNNNNNNNNNNNNNNNNNNNNNNNNNNNNNNNNNNNNNNNNNNNNNNNNNNNNNNNNNNNNNNNNNNNNNNNNNNNNNAGGAGGAGCGGAGGCGGCGGCGAAAACGGGACCCAGGGGCCCCGGGAGCGAUAUAUAAAGGCGGAGGGAGGCGUGGAGGAGGGGCAAGGGGAGGCGUGCCCGGCCGGGACUCGGCGGCGGCGGCGGCGGAGUCGGCCACGCUCGGGACUUCGUCCCGAGCUCGAAGAUGAGGCGGUUGGGAGCUGGGCCGCGGCCUGGCGAGAUGCUGGGCCGGCCCAGUCGGCGAGGCUGAACAGUUUUUUUUAACAUUUUCUCAUACAAAUAAAAACAGAAUAAACAAAUAUAUUAUAUAGGCAUAUAAUAUAUCAAAAUUUUCAUAAAAAGAUUUCCUACGACAUGAACAUUUUUCUAGCAUCAAAUAAAAUACUCACAAAUUCAAAUAAAGCAAAGAGUGCUUCUGCCCUAGUAAAAUCCAGUAAAAUCAUUUUUAAAAAUACCAAAAUUAAUUCAAAUUUAUUUCUCUCCAAUUUUCUGAUGUAGGGAAUCAUGUUACCCUAUUUUCCAUAUAUUUUAUUUUUGGAGAAAAAAAAUUUGAAUAAAACUCAAAUAACUCCAAAUUGAAAAUAAAUUCAAACGAACUUUGAAUUUAAUUCUUUUAAACUCCCAACUCAUAUUUCAUAUUUUUUGAAGAAGUCAUUUUAUCUUCUCUCACGAAAAUCAUUGAGUUGCUUGAAGUUUAUGAAUUGGAAAUAAUUUCAAAUGAAAUUCAAAUAUUUUCAACACCCCUUGUUAUUUAAAUAAAUGGAAGAAGUCAUGUCAUCUUCUCUCCAGGGUUUUGUGGUGAAAAGAAUUUGAAUUCAUGAAGAUCAGAAAAGAAAAUGAAAGUUUUGGAAAGUCCUUUUAUUCCCUCUCAUUUAACUUUCAAAAAGUUUCGAAUUUUACUCAAUCAAUCACACAACAAUCAAGCAACAAUCAAAUCUAUCUAUUUAUUAUAACAUUCCAAAAUUUAGAAUUUUGGGAUGUUACAAACCUACCACCCUUAAAAUGAAUCUCGUCCUCGAGAUUCGGAGAGGCUAGCAAGAAAUAGGUUAGGGUAGGGGUCUUCAAAAUUCCAUCGAUCGUCUCCGGGGUCUCAGGUACUACCACCCUUAGAAACAUGGUUACAGUUCAAUCAAUACUCAUAUACUCCAUCCUUAUUCCUGAGAGUGUCGGUCUCUUCAGAUCUCGGGAAAAUUCCUUCUCUGGGCUCUUCCGGUGGUGGCAUAACCUUUUUCUUAAUUCCUGUAUCCAUUUCAUCCUGGUAAGGUUAGUCCAUGACUAGGUCUGCUUAGCUGACAGGUCUGGCGCCAAUACUAAACAACUAUCGAUAUCUCAUGGUGGUCAACAAUUUAUGGUUUCUCCUGCAAGAAACGGGUCUGGGUUGAACCUCACCGUAUGACCUACGUUUGGCAACAACUGCCUGUACAAGGGAAAAAUAGUAUACCAUUCUAAUGUUCAAACAAGGUUUUGGUCGUCGUCUCUCUACUAUAGGUAAGUCACUCAGAUUUACCGUCCCACAUAGCAAGACGAAUAAUAAGAGUAAGUCGGUAUGGUGAUCAAUCCAUCCCGCACCCAAAUCAUUAUCUUGUAUAUGGUUUAGCGAAUCUCGCAUUCUAACACUCGGUCAUCCUCACAAGCAUUGCAGAAUUUCUCUUGUCGACGAACCAAGUUCGGAUAUAUCCAUUGAUUCUGCAAGCCAAACAAAAUCUAUCGUUCCUUCACAACUCUUAGGUUUUGCGUUACUCCUAUAAAAUCGUCUAUGGGCAAGGUCGUAACUUCUUCCACGGUUUUUCCGUCAGCAAGAGUGUGCUUGCUUCUUGGCAGGUCCUGGGGCCUGUGGGUUAUGGCCCAUCUCAUCACUUGUAGUUCUUGAACUUAUCAUCGGGCAACUGACCAUUAUUCCAACUUCCAACUUCCUAGUAUUCUUAAAUCAAUCCAAUUGUAUUGUCUUCCUUCCUUCUAUUUGCCCCAAACUAAGACGUGAUUACUCAGACUCAUCAUGGAGUUACAAUUGCUCCAUAUUAUCAUAACGCCUUUAUAUCCAAUGGUACUUCAUCUCUUCAUCCUCGUGGGAUAUCCCAUGUACCGAGAUAAAACUUAUACUUUUGAAGUCCAUACUCCACUUCAUGGAACAUCAUUAUCCUUUCCAGGGUCAAGCGUCCUUACAGGGGAAUAUUGGCCAUCUCUGCAUGGCACUUCUUCAACUGGGAAACGUGAAACACAUCAUGAACUCCUGACAGUCCUUCGGGUGACUCCAACUUGUUGGCCACUUGUCCCAUACGCUCCAAAACUUGGUAUGGUCCUAGAAAUCUCGGGGCUAACUUUCCCUUAACUCCAAAUCGUUUAACUCCUCGCAGAGGGGACACACGAAGACAUGCUCGGUCUCCAAUUUCAUAGACUACCUCCUCGCGUUUUUGUGUCUGCAUAACUCUUGUGCCAGGACUGAGCUACCUUCAGUCUAUCUUGGAGCAACUUAACAUUCUCUUCUGAAUCCUUGAUCACAUUUGGUCCAAACAACUAAUGGUCUCCAACUUCAUCCCACAUCAACGGUGUCUGGCUCCUUCUCCCGUAAAAAGCUUAAAAAGGGGCCAUCUUCAAACUAGCUUGGUAACUGUUGUUGUGUGAGAACUCCACGUAAGGUAGAUUAUCAUCCCUACUGGAUCCAUAAUCUAAUGCACAUGCUCUCAACAUGUCCUCCAGAAUCUGAUUGACUUUCUCGAUUUAUCCAUCUAUCUGCAGAUGAAAGGCUGUACUGAACUCUAGCCUAGUACCCAAAGUGUGGUGCAUCUGAUUCCAAAACUUUGAGGUAAACCGUGUUCCUCUAUCGAUGGUCCUCGGAACUCCAUGCAGACAUACAUCCUGGUCAAAUAUAUCUUGGCCAACUUCGCGCUUGUAUAGGUGGUUUUCACUAGGAUAAAGUGAGGCACUUUGGUCAAGCGAAUCAACUACUACCCAGAUAGAAUCAUAUCCCGAUCGGGUUCUGGGAAAUCCGGUAAUGUAAUCCAUGCCAAGUUUAUCCCACUUCCAUUUGGGUAUCAGCAUAUGCUAUAGUAAUCUUUGCUGGCUUCUGAUGCUCUGCUCUUACUCUCUCUAGCAUACAUCACCUACGACUACAUACUCCGCAAUAUCCUUCUUCAUACCAGUCCACCAGAAACACUCCUUCAAAUCCAAAUACAUCUUGGUGAUUCCAGGGCUAAUCGAGUAUGGUGAGUCAUGAGCCUCUUGAAGUAUUUACUUCCUGAUCUUUGCAUUAUUGGGAACAUAUACACUAUCCUCAAACCAUAAGGUGUCGUGCUCAUCCUUACGAAAGCCUUUGGCCUUUCCUUUGCUCAUCCUCUCUUUCAUCUCAGCAAUCUCUUUGUCAUACUUCUGAGCUUCACGAAUCUUUCCCAACAAUGUAGACUAAACUUCCAUUGCUGCAACAAAACAUUUGGGAACAAUCUCCAACCAAAGUUCCCUGAAAAUCCCCGGCUAACUCCUUUGGUAAUCCUCCGCUUAUGAGGGUAUUCGUCCUUGUUUUCUUUAUGGUUGUGUCCUAUUUCUCCACAAGGCUUGUAUGCACAAGGUUUCUCCAUAUCUUUUCCAUAAGGCCUCAACCUCUGGGACAUAAAUCAAGACUUUGGCAAAGUCAACUUAAAUUCUUUCCAAGUGGUUACUCCUUGCCAUCCAUUGAUGGUUUGGUACAUCCUCCACCAAGUAGCAGCAACUCUUACAAAGCACCAAAGAGCAUGCUGGGUCUUAUCCUUUCCGACUACAUGGUUAUUCUUCAUGUGAUCCUCCAUGUUCUGAAUCCAUCAGUCCGUCUUCAAUUGACUCACCGGUACAGAAAAUAUAAGCUCAUCUCUAUUCAUCCUCUAUUGGGUCCAUGGGUUUGUGGUGGGAUAAGAGAGAUCGAGGGGGAUGCACACAGUACAAGCAAUAGUUUUGAAAAGAUAGGUUUUAUUGUGGCUGUCGGAAAAACAUCAAACAAAUGAUAGCUCACAAUCGUCGCAUCUAACGUAGGUAUAUAACAGGGGUUGGGUCUUCUAAUGGUCAAUAAAUCUCCAAAGUCGCAAACUCUUCAAGUCUUGUUCAUGUCUCCGAUGACUUCUUCUGAUCAUGCUUGUCCUUCUCAAGUUCUUUUGCCAAUUCAUCUCUGUUGCUGCGUAGUCUCUCAUGACAUCAUUUAAUAUUUCUGGGGUUGCAUUCCAAACUCCUGGAUUUCAACAUCCUGGGCAUGAGCCAUGGUCCUAAUGUCCUUCAGUUCCUGACGAAUCUCAGGUAUCUCGAGGUUUUCUCCUCUAGCUUGGCUACUUUCAGCUUCUGGGUCCUGAGUUCUUCACGAAACGCUUCAUUAUCAAAUACUGCUUCUUGUAGGUCCAUCUUAACUUCUUGAUGUAACACUCCAGAUCCUGCUGAUACACCAAUUAAGGUUAAAGAUGCAUCCUUUGCUGACAGAUGAUCCAUCAGCCUUCUACCAUCCAAUCCUUCCAUGCAUCUGCAUGCUUAACUCCGCGUGGUGACAAUAACAUGAGUGAGUGAUAGCAUCAUGGAUAUCCAUGUUUAUGACUAUGUCUCUGCCAUGAGCUAUCAUUUCAUAGUUGAUAUUUUCCUGUCUUGGGGCUUUAUUGACAGAACUUUGAGUUUUUAACUCUCCAUGCUCCGGUCUUUCUCCGAUACAACUUGAUCUCGGGUAUUGACAGCUUCCAUAGUCUAUCAAGUUCCAUAAGUGUAGCCUUCCUUGGUCAUACCAAAUCUGGAAAUUCUUCAUAUUCUCCUAGUCUUCGAAGUCUUUAUCCGUUAUAGUUCCGUCAUUAUCGUAAUGUAUAGUAAAAUCCUCUUUAUUCCGAAUGGUCUUAGUUGUCCGAUAUCUGGUCCUUCCUGGAGUGGUCUCAUCAGUCAAAUCUUCGAGUGGUCAAAAGGGGAAAAGGGUAUGGUCUCACUAAAAGGGAAUAUUUGAAUAAGCUCAAAAGAGAAGAGAGGUAAACGAUUCUUUUGAAACGAAAGUUGUAGAGAAAAAUCUUUCCUAUGGGCUUGCCAGUUUCUAGGGUCACGUCCUACAGUCAACAUGUGCUUUGAUACCAUCUUGUAGCAACCCGACCUCAGACGGUCAAGUCUCUGUGCUUAAGUGUCAUCCCUGGAUCGGUAUGCUGACACACACAGUACUCAAGGAUUUAUAAUAGAGGUAAAUCACAUGUAUAAAAUAACGUAAAUACUAUUACCUCAAUCCAAAAUAGCGGAAGCAACAUGGUUGUGGAUUCCCAUCAACACCAACGGCAAAGUUGAGUAUAGGAAAUCGUAACCCUAACGUAUCACUUACUCGUCGUAAGAUCCUGCAACAUGAGACGUUGCAGCCACAGAGGGUCGGUACAUUGAAUGUACUGGCAAAUUCACACCACAGAGCAAUGAUGAAUAAAGGCUAUCACUACAUGCAUAUAUGGUUGGUGGAAAAGCUCUACGGUUACAGUUUUUGCUAAAAGCCAAUUUUCCCUACUACAAAGGAAUAAAUUUAUUUAACUAUCAUGGUGGUUGUUAAACAUUGAGAAUGGUUGACAGCAUUCUCAAUCCCAAUUAAAAAGUACACAUUAAAAACCCAACAGUAUUAAUUAAAGUAACAUGAUGAGAUUCACAUGAUAAUCAAGUACUAGAUACUCAAGAUGUCCAUAACCGGGGAGACAGCUAAUCAUGAUUAGUUUGUACACUCUGCAAAGGUUUGCGCACUUUUCCCACAAGACUCGAUCGCCUCCGUUUGAUUCCUCGCACUACAUGAUGUUUGAGAAACGGAUGACCGAGACAUAGUCUUUCAGAAGCACUAGCACCUUACAUGUGGGUAGACCGGUACACCUACUUUCCCCUACAUAUGCUAGUCUACCCGUAAGAGUUCGGACAACUUAGUCAACUAUGCCAGAGCCCAUAAUGGCUUGUGGCUGCACACGGAAGUUUCUAGUUUGAAUAAUCUCAUGAUCCCUUUGAGCCUGGGUGGCGGUCCGAAGAAAAACAGGCAAGUCCUGGAAACCCAGGUGCCUAGACAGGCAAGUCCUGGAGUAACCAGGUGCCUCAAUCCACCCAGAUGUGUGUUUAAGUUGCCACCUUAAAUAAACCAUUAAUUAACAAUCUCACAUCUAUCAUGGAAAUUCACUCACCCAAUCCACGUCUACUAGCAUAGCAUGGCAUAAUAAGCAAACGUAGAAGUAACUCCCAAGGGUUUGAAAAUAAAAUAGGUAAUAGGUGCUACCUCAAUCUACUUCCCAAAACCCACAAUUUAAUUUAGAUCCUAAUCAUGCAAUUGUUUGGAGGAUUGAACUAAUGCAAUAAAACUGGGUAUGAAAAGGGAUAUGAUCAAAGUGUGAACUUGCCUGCAAUGUUGAUGAAGAUGAUUCGCACUCAAAACUCUUGAUAGUUCUACUCGUCACACUCCGGUCAAUCUAUCGCGAGCAAGCAAUGGUAACCACACAUAAGCAAUCACUCAAAAGAUCGGAAAGAACGAGGAAUGCAAUUCGAAAAACAUCAAAACCAAACAAAUAACUCUUGCAACAUAAAACAAUUUCUAACAGUACCAAAAUUAUGUGAAUUUGGCCUUAUAAGAAAUUUUAGGUCAAGAGUUUCGAUUUGCAAAAAGAAUCAACUCAAACAGAGUUAUAAAACUCAAGUUACGAUCAAACGAAGUUCAAAUUCAAAUCUGAUCUAAUUCAAAUUUUAACUUUCAAAAACAUGUUUGAGUUGCUUUACUGGAUAGAGGAGAUCGUAACGAAGACGUGGGCGUAGGUUUCGUUGGAUUUGGACUAACGAGUAAAAAGAUGUGGUCGUUUGAAGUACAGGGACUAAUCUGUAAAUAGAAUCAUCACAGAUAGGUCCCUGGCCGAAAUCUAAAAUAAAAAGAAAAAACCUAUCGUACGAACGUUCGCUACGGAACGCUGACGAACGAACAUGUUCGUUAAAACUAUCUAUACAGAGAACAUUCGCUAUUUAAAUGAUCUACAAAAUAAAAUAAAACCAAUCUAUAACAGAAAGCCGAACUAGAAAAGAACCGGGGUGGGUUUUUCGGUGGUUUAUACCAGUUCGGAGCGGUUUUCUAUUGAAAACUGGCAGCGGCGGUUAGCGACAGACUCCGGCGAGGGCGGCGCUGCUCCAGCGACUGCGAGGCGCGGCGGCAGCGACGGGUGGCGGCGCGGCUACGGCGGCAGGCGGUAGCGGCGAGGCANNNNNNNNNNNNNNNNNNNNNNNNNNNNNNNNNNNNNNNNNNNNNNNNNNNNNNNNNNNNNNNNNNNNNNNNNNNNNNNNNNNNNNNNNNNNNNNNNNNNNNNNNNNNNNNNNNNNNNNNNNNNNNNNNNNNNNNNNNNNNNNNNNNNNNNNNNNNNNNNNNNNNNNNNNNNNNNNNNNNNNNNNNNNNNNNNNNNNNNNNNNNNNNNNNNNNNNNNNNNNNNNNNNNNNNNNNNNNNNNNNNNNNNNNNNNNNNNNNNNNNNNNNNNNNNNNNNNNNNNNNNNNNNNNNNNNNNNNNNNNNNNNNNNNNNNNNNNNNNNNNNNNNNNNNNNNNNNNNNNNNNNNNNNNNNNNNNNNNNNNNNNNNNNNNNNNNNNNNNNNNNNNNNNNNNNNNNNNNNNNNNNNNNNNNNNNNNNNNNNNNNNNNNNNNNNNNNNNNNNNNNNNNNNNNNNNNNNNNNNNNNNNNNNNNNNNNNNNNNNNNNNNNNNNNNNNNNNNNNNNNNNNNNNNNNNNNNNNNNNNNNNNNNNNNNNNNNNNNNNNNNNNNNNNNNNNNNNNNNNNNNNNNNNNNNNNNNNNNNNNNNNNNNNNNNNNNNNNNNNNNCGCGGCGCAGGCAGCAGCAGUGGGCGGCGGCGCGGCGGAUCUGGUGGCGGCGGCGGCGAAACGCGAUGAGGAGGAGCGGAGGCGGCGGCGAAAACGGGACCCAGGGGCCCCGGGAGCUAUAUAUAAAGGCGGAGGGAGGCGUGGAGGAGGGGCAAGGGGAGGUGUGCCCGGCCGGGACUUGGCGGCGGCGGCGGAGUCGACCACGCUCGGGACUUCGUCCCGAGCUCGAAGAUGAGGCGGUUGGGAGCUGGGCCGCGGCCUGGCGAGAUGCUGGGCCGGCCCAGUCGGCGAGGUUGAACAGUUUUUUUUUAACUUUUUCUCAUACAAAUAAAAACAAAAUAAACAAAUAUAUUAUAUAGGCAUAUAAUAUAUCAAAAUUUUCAGAAAAAGAUUUCCUACGACAUGAAUAUUUUUCUAGCAUCAAAUAAAAUACUUACAAAUUCAAAUAAAGCAAAGAGUGCUUUUGCCCUAGUAAAAUCCAGUAAAAUCAUUUUUAAAAAUACCAAAAUUAAUUCAAAUUUAUUUCUCUCCAAUUUUCUGAUGUAGGGAAUCAUGUUACCCUAUUUUCCAUAUAUUUUAUUUUUGGAUAAAAAUAAUUUGAAUAAAACUCAAAUAACUCCAAAUUGAAAAUAAAUUCAAAUGAACUUUGAAUUUAAUUCUUUUAAACUCCCAACUCAUAUUUCAUAUGUUUUGAAGAAGUCAUUUUAUCUUCUCUCAUGAAAAUCAUUGAGUUGCUUGAAGUUUAUGAAUUGGAAAUAAUUUCAAAUGAAAUUCAAAUAUUUUCAACACCCCUUGUCAUUUAAAUAAAUGGAAGAAGUCAUGUCAUCUUCUCUCCAGGGUUUUGUGGUGAAAAGAAUUUGAAUUCAUGAAGAUCAGAAAAGAAAAUGAAAGUUUGGGAAAGUCCUUUUAUUCCCUCUCAUUUAACUUUCAAAAAGUUUCGAAUUUCACUCAAUCAAUCACACAACAAUCAAGCAACAAUCAAAUCUAUCUAUUUAUUAUUACAUUCCAAAAUUUAGAAUUUUGGGAUGUUACAUGGCGUGAGUUGCGAAACUAUUCCGCAUUGCUUCAAAUGUAAACCAAAAUCGUAACUCAAAUAUUCUCCUCCAUGAUCAGAUCGUAGAAACUUUAUUUUCUUGUUACGAUGAUUUUCAACUUCACUCUGAAAUUCUUUGAACUUUUAAAAUGUUUCAGACUUAUGUUUCAUCAAGUAGAUAUAUCUAUAUCUGCUCAAAUCAUCUGUGAAGGUGAGAAAAUAACGAUAUCCGUCGCGAGCCUCAACAUUCAUUGGACCACACACAUCAGUAUGUAUGAUUUCCAACAAAUCAGUUGCUCGCUCCAUAGUUCCGGAGAACGGCGUUUUAGUCAUCUUCCCCAUGAGGCAUGGUUCGCAAGUACCAAGUGAUUCAUAAUCAAGUAAUUACAAAAGUCCAUCAGUAUGGAGUUUCUUCAUGCGCUUUACACCAAUAUGACCUAAACAGCAUUGCCACAAAUAAGUUGCACUAUCAUUAUCAACUCUGCAUCUUUUGGCUUCAACAUUAUGAAUAUGUGUAUCACUACUAUCGAGAUUCAUCAAAAAUAGACCACUCUUUAAGGGUGCAUGACCAGAAAAGAUAUUAUUCAUAUAAAUAGAACAACCAUUAUUCUCAGAUUUAAAUGAAUAACCGUCUUGCAUCAAACAAGAUCCAGAUAUAAUGUUCAUGCUCAACGCUGGCACCAAAUAACAAUUAUUUAGGUCUAGAACUAAUCCCGAAGGUAGAUGUAGAGGUAGCGUGCCAACGACGAUCACAUCGACUUUGGAACCAUUUCCCACGCGCAUCGUCACCUCGUCCUUAGCCAGUGUCCGCUUAAUCUAUAGUCCCUGUUUCGAGAUGCAAAUAUUACCAACAGAACCAGUAUCAAAUACCCAGGUGCUACUGUGAGCUUUGGUAAGGUACACAUCAAUAACAUGUAUAUCACAUAUACGUUUGUUCACCUUGCCAUCCUUCUUAUCCGCCAAAUACUUGGGGCAGUUCCGCUUCCAGUGACCUGUCUGCUUGCAAUAGAAGCACUUUGUCUCAGCCUUAGGUCCAGACUUGGGUUUCUUCUCUUGAGUAGCAUUUGUUUGCUGUUCUUCUUGAAGUUCCCCUUCUUUUUCCCUUUGCCCUUUUUAUUGAAACUGGUGGUCUUAUUGACCAUCAACACUUGAUUAUCCUUCUUGAUUUCUACCUCCGCAGCCUUUAGCAUCGCGAAGAGCUCGGGAAUUGUCUUUUCCAUCCCUUGCAUAUUAUAGUUCAUCAUGAAGCUCUUGUAGCUUGGUGGCAGUGAUUGAAGAAUUCUGUCAAUGACGCUAUCAUCCGGAAGAUUAACUCCUAGUUGAAUCAAGUGAUUGUUAUACCUAGACAUUCUGAGUAUAUGCUCACUGACAGAACUAUUCUCCUCCAUCUUGCAGCUUUAGAACUUAUUGGAGACUUCAUAUCUCUCAAUCCGGGCAUUUGCUUGAAAUAUUAACUUCAACUCCUGGAACAUCUCAUAUGCUCCAUGACGUUCAAAACGUCGUUGAAGUCCCGGUUCUAAGCUGUAAAGCAUGGCACACUGAACUAUCGAGUAGUCAUCAGCUUUGCUCUGCCAAACGUUCAUAACAUUUGUGUUGCUCCUGUAGCAGGUUUGGCACCUAGCAGUGCUUCUAGGACGUAAUUCUUCUGUGCAGCAAUGAGGAUAAUCCUCAAGUUACGAACCCAGUUCGUGUAAUUGCUACCAUCAUCUUUCAACUUUGCUUUCAAGGAACGCAUUAAAAUUCAAUGGAGCAACAACACGAGCUAUCUAUCUACAACAAACAUAGUCAAGCAAAAUACUAUCAGGUACUAAGUUCAUGAUAAAUUUAAGUUCAAUUAAUCAUAUUACUUAAGGACUCCCACUUAGGUAGACAUCCCUCUAAUCAUCUAAGUGAUCACAUGAUCCAAAUCAACUAAACCAUAACCGAUCAUCACGUGAAAUGGAGUAGUUUUCAAUGGUGAACAUCACUAUGUUGAUCAUAUCUACUAUAUGAUUCACGCUCGACCUUUCGGUCUCAGUGUUCUGAGGCCAUAUCUGCAUAUGCUAGGCUCGUCAAGUUUAACCUGAGUAUUCUACAUGUGCAAAACUGGCUUGCACCCGUUGUAGAUGGACGUAGAGCUUAUCACACCUGAUCGUCACAUGGUGUCUGGGCACGACGAACUUUGGCAACGGUGCAUACUCAGGGAGAACACUUUUAUCUUGAAAUUUAGUGAGAGAUCUUCUUAUAAUGCUACCGUCAAACAAAGCAAUAUAAGGUGCAUAAAAGCUAAACAUCACAUGCAAUCAAUAUAAGUGAUCUGAUAUGGCCAUCAUCAUCUUGUGCUUGUGAUCUCCAUCUCCGAAGCACCGUCAUGAUCACCAUCAUCACCGGCGCGACACCUUGAUCUCCAUCAUAGCAUCAUUGUCGUCUCGCCAACUAUUGCUUCUACGACUAUCACUACCGCUUAGUGAUAAAGUAAAGCAAUUACAGGGCGAUUGCAUUGCAUAGAAUAAAGCGACACCAUAUGGCUCCUGCCUGUUGCUGAUAACUCGGUUACAAAACAUGAUCAUUUCAUACAAUAAAAUAUAGCAUCACGUCUUGACCAUAUCACAUCACAACAUGCCGUGUGAAAACAAGUUACACGUCCUCUACUUUGUUGUUGCAAGUUUUACGUGGCUGCUACGGGCUGAGCAAGAACCGUUCUUACCUAAGCAUCAAAACCACAAUGAUAGUUCGUCAAGUUAGUGUUGUUUUAACCUUUUCAAGGACCGGGCAUAGCCACACUUGGUUCAACUAAAGUUGGAGAAACUGACACCCGCCAACCACCUGUGUGCAAAGCACAUCGGUAGAACCAGUCUCGCGUAAGCGUACGCGUAAUGUUGGUCCGAGCCGCUUCAUCCAACAAUACCGCCGAACCAAAGUAUGACAUGCUGGUAAGUAGUAUGACUUGUAUCGCGCACAAGUCACUUGUGUUCUACUCAUGCAUAUAACAUCAACGCAUAAAACCUAGGCUCUAAUACCACUGUUGGGGAACGUAGUAAUAUCAAAAAAAUUACUACGCACACGCAAGAUCAUGGUGAUGCAUAGAAACGAGAGGGGAGAGUGUGUCCACGUACCCUCAUAGACCAAAAGCGAAAGCGUUCACUACACGAAUCCAGUAUUUUGCCGUCUGCCAUGGCGGACGGCAAAGGCACGGACCGCGGACGGCAAAGAUCUUUGCCGUCAGCGGCGGACGGCAAAGAGUGAUGGCAAAGACAGGGUCGGCAAAUAGUUCCUUUGCCGGCUGCUUCUCAUCGCGGACGGCAAAGAGUCCUUUGCCUACAGCGGCGGACGGCAAAGGGGACAGACGGCAAAAUACUUGACGUCCACCAGCGUUAGUCCGUUAGGUGGCUAACGGCGCCCUUUGCCGUCCGCCAGCGGAUGGCAAAUUUGACCACCCCUUUGCCGUCCGCCAGUUGACGUCAGCAGUGCGUCAACGCCCACGGUGGUUUGCCCAAAUGGCACAGGUGCCAGGAAGCACAGGUGGGCGCCAUGUGUCCCCUUUGCCCACAGUGGCGGAUGGCAAAGGGCUCUUUGCCGUCAGUGGCGGACGGCAAAGAGCCUGCACUGCCUCUUUUGAAUUUUGUUUUUCUUAUAUCCAACAAUUAUCACAACACACAACACAUAUAUAUCCAUCACAUAAAUAUCACAACACAUAUACAUAUCACAUCACAUAUAUAUCCAUCACAUAAAUAUCCAGCACAUAUAUAUCCAUCCAUACAUACAUAGUAGGUUGCACAUAGUCUCAUGAAUCCAUACAUAUUAUAAUAUGCAAAGUUUCAUCAUAGCAAGCGAGCAGAAUACAAGAAGUGCAUCAAAGGAAAAAACAAGCAAUCCAUCAUAUGAUGAUGGCUUCCGUGAAGUGAAUGAAACCUGCAAAAUGACAAAUAAGAAAGUUAGAAAAAGAAUAGAAGAAGAAGAAGAAGACUAGAAGAAGAAGUAUAUGCCAUUUAUUAGCUAACUUAGGUGAACUGGAUCAUUUAUGAGCUAAAUUAGUUGAAAUGGAUCGUUUAUGAGCUAAGUUAGGUGAAAUGGAUCUUUUAUGAGCUAAGUUAGGUCAAAUGGAUCGUUUAUGAGCUAACCUAGGUGAAAUAGGUCGUUUAUGAGCUAACCUAGGUGAAGUGGGUCGUUUAUGAGCUAACCUAGGUGAAAUGGGUCGUUUAUGAGCUAACCUAGGUGAAAUGGGUCAUUUAUGAGCUAACCUAGGUGAAAUGGGUCGUUUAUGAGCUAACCUAGGUGAAAUGGGUCGUUUAUGAGCUAACCUAGGUCAAAUGCAUCAUUUAUGAGCUAACCUAGGUGGAAUGGAUCAUUUUGGAGCUAACUUAGUUGAAAUGGGUCGUUUAUGAGCUAACUAAGGUGAAAUGCCACGUUUUUGAGCUAACUAAGGUGAAAUGGGUCAUUUUGGAGCUAACCUAGGUGAAAUGGGUCAUUUUGGAGCUAACCUAGGUGAAAUGGGUCAUUUAGGAGCUAACGUAGGUGAAAUAGGUCAUUUUAAAGCUAACGUAGGUAAAAUGGAUCAUUUAGGAGCUAAUCUACGUAAAACGGGUCAUUUUAGAGCUAACUUGGAUAAAUUGGAUCACUUGUAAGCUAACUAAGGUAAAAUGAGUCAUUUUAGAGCUAAGUUAGGUAAAAUGGAUCGUUUAUGAGCUAACUAAGCUAAUUAUGCAAUUUUUGACAUAAGUAACCUUAUUAAGUCAUUUUGAAGGAAAAGAAGCUAACUCUAGGUCAUUAUGGUAAGCAUAUUGGAGGAAAUAAAGCUAAGUCUAAGUCUAGAGAAACUUACCAUGAUCAGGGAGGUGUAGGAGCGGGCUGGCUCGUGCCGGUAGCUGGAGAAGGAUCAUGCGAUGCAUUUCUGGAGUUAAGCUGCACCAAAGAUCAUUUCCAAUGUCUCGUUAGCAUUAUGACACUCAAAUGUUAAGACUAGCAAGUAAUGUCCAUUCAAAUUAAACUCACCGUGGUCCCAGGAGAAAUCACUGGCAUCGGCGGAGCGGUCUGAUCGGACUUCUCGCACACAGACUGCACAUUUGGUUUUCACAACAGAGUCAUACUAGUUAGUAAUGAGACUCAAAUGUUAAGACUAGCAAGUAAUCUGCAGAAGAAACUUACCACAAGGAGCUCAUACAUGGCCCUUGCCUGCAUGUCAUUCCGUGCCCUCUCCUCCUCCAACAUCUUUAUCAUCCUCUCCUCCAACUCCCGCUGCCUCUCCGCCGCCUCCACCAGAAGUUUCUCCGUUCUAUCUCUCUCACUCUGUAUAGCAGCCUGCAACACCACUCACAUGACCAUUUGUAAUCAUUGAUGGAAGCGCACACAAUGUAAUGGAGAAAGAUAGCUGAGUACGUAUAACUAACCUUGAUGGCGAGUUGGACUGGCUGUUCCCGAGGCCUUAUCUCAGGAGCGGAGCUCGACUGGAGCACCUUGAUCUCCGGGAGAGUGCUAGGACAACGGAUAAGUCCAUCUCCCAUGGCUAUGGAGCCAUGGGACCUCCCGCCACCAUAUAUCAUCAGCAACUCUGUAUCAAUGGGACCCUAGCUCGGGUUAAAGUCCACCCCUUUCCUCGCCUUCCCCUGAUCUCUAUAUUGCACGAGCUUGUCGUGGGUGGAGAUGUUGGUGAAGUUCUUUGGAUCAUCGAGGUCAGACGUAGAGAAUGCCUUGACUUUCUUGUAAGAGCCAGUGUGGGCCAUGGCAUACAGGUCGUACACCUCUGGCACCUUAUCCGCCUUAUUGUAGCGUGCCUGAAAGAGAGAAACAAGUAAAUUAGUAAUUAAAGGGCUAAAGCUAGCAUGAUGAAUGAAUUGCAUGAAUCAUGAAGCAAACCACAUACCCAGUUCCGCCCGUACUGAAAUAAGUUGGAGCUGCCUUGGUGGUGUGGCACACCUUCCAUUUGGGCACGUUUGUCCUUGGCCUCGUUGUGGGUGGCCUGCCAUUCUUUUGAGAACCACGCAUGGACCAACACCUCCCAACAAUCCAUCCGAUCCGCACACCAUCUCUGAGGGGCCUAAGUUAGCAAAUAGAAACUUCAGCGCUACGGCUAUGAAUUACUAAAUGAAGGAAUUAAGUACAAGGCCUUAAGAAUUACCUUCAUGUAGUGCUCCUUACUCAAGAACUUAUCGCGGCACUCCUGCUUGGACUUCUUGAUACCACGCUCGGCGUAGUAGUCUCGAACAGCCUGCACCCGAGCCUCAUGCCGUAAGUUCUGAAGUAGGCGCUUGCACUCCUUGUGGAUAACAUCUGCCGCCUCCUCCUCGUAUCCCUCCUCACACCUGUAGAAUGUCUGCAAUCAAAUGAGACAAUAUUGAUUAGUACAAUUAAUAGCUAGCUAGUUGAAGAUUUUUAAUUGUGUAAAGGAGAAAUUACCCAGAACUUUCUGAUCACCAUGUCUGCCCUCGUCUUGCACAAGACACCGUCGAUAAUCUCACCCAGCGGGGCCGGGGCAGCCAAGUAGUGCUCCCAACUCAAUCCAACCUCUGGAAUCCGACCCUCACCAGGCAACAUGACAAACCCCGGAAAGUUUUGCCGAAUCAGAACUCCAAGGACGGAGUUGGGCCGGCGGACACUUUCAUGGUGGUCCCAACCCCUGCAGCAUGACAAGGCCAACACAUUAGUUAUUUGAAGAAACGUGAAUGCAGAAGGUACAAAAGGAUUAAAUGCACUUACCUCUCCCCAUCACGGAAAAUCAACCACCUCUGCUCGCGGGUCGCCGGCACGGACGGGAGCCAUGUAGCACCACGCUGGUAGACGUUGCCCCCUCCUCCCCCUCCUCCUCAAAAUCAGUCGGCUCCCCACCAUCAUCAGCAUGGCCACUCAGCUCCCCUCCAUCAUCAGCAUGGCCACUCGGCUCCUCAGGCUGACCCUACCAAGUACCCCAUCGACACGUGUGCUCCUCCGGGUCUCGUGGGCCCAACUCUUGUGGGCCGAAGGCCCGUCGACACGAGGCUCGUGGGCCGAAGACCCGUGGACCGGAGGCUCAUGGACCGGAGUCCGUGUAGCCUCCUCCUCAGACGAGUCCACCCUAGCAGUCACGUGCUCGGGUGAAACAGCUGGGGGCGGCGGCGAGGAAGGCACCGUAAGAGUCACCCUACCUCCUCUACCUCCUCUCCCGCGACCACGUGCUCCACCUCCUCUCUUCUUCUUACCUCGUCCCCUGCUAGGCACCGCGGUCGACGAAGAAGGGCCUAGCGGUGUCGCCAUACUGUCUAGCAACGCUCGGCGAAGAGGUGCGUGUGGAAUGGAAGACCUCACACUACGCGCCGACGAAGAAGGGGCCUCGGCGCGCUCCCGACCAGCGCCCACCAUCUUUCAACACCUGCCAUGACAAAGAAUAAACGAAAUUAGUACAACAUGAAAAAAAGUACCGACAUGAAUAAUAAUAUGUAUAUCACUUAAGUGUAUCAUCAUCAAGUACAACAUAAACAACUGCACAUUUAAAACUACCCGAUCAACACAAUUAUAUAUGAUGUUUUUCAUAACAAAAUCGAAAAAUAUAUGACCUAACUAAUAAUUCACAAAUAUAUGACCCCGUCGGCCUCUGGAAGGCCAAAGAACACCUUUUCGGGAGGUGUCGGGGGUCGGGGUGUCGUGUCGGUAUCGGGGUGCCGUGUCGGGGUCGGGGUCUUNNNNNNNNNNNNNNNNNNNNNNNNNNNNNNNNNNNNNNNNNNNNNNNNNNNNNNNNNNNNNNNNNNNNNNNNNNNNNNNNNNNNNNNNNNNNNNNNNNNNNNNNNNNNNNNNNNNNNNNNNNNNNNNNNNNNNNNNNNNNNNNNNNNNNNNNNNNNNNNNNNNNNNNNNNNNNNNNNNNNNNNNNNNNNNNNNNNNNNNNNNNNNNNNNNNNNNNNNNNNNNNNNNNNNNNNNNNNNNNNNNNNNNNNNNNNNNNNNNNNNNNNNNNNNNNNNNNNNNNNNNNNNNNNNNNNNNNNNNNNNNNNNNNNNNNNNNNNNNNNNNNNNNNNNNNNNNNNNNNNNNNNNNNNNNNNNNNNNNNNNNNNNNNNNNNNNNNNNNNNNNNNNNNNNNNNNNNNNNNNNNNNNNNNNNNNNNNNNNNNNNNNNNNNNNNNNNNNNNNNNNNNNNNNNNNNNNNNNNNNNNNNNNNNNNNNNNNNNNNNNNNNNNNNNNNNNNNNNNNNNNNNNNNNNNNNNNNNNNNNNNNNNNNNNNNNNNNNNNNNNNNNNNNNNNNNNNNNNNNNNNNNNNNNNNNNNNNNNNNNNNNNNNNNNNNNNNNNNNNNNNNNNNNNNNNNNNNNNNNNNNNNNNNNNNNNNNNNNNNNNNNNNNNNNNNNNNNNNNNNNNNNNNNNNNNNNNNNNNNNNNNNNNNNNNNNNNNNNNNNNNNNNNNNNNNNNNNNNNNNNNNNNNNNNNNNNNNNNNNNNNNNNNNNNNNNNNNNNNNNNNNNNNNNNNNNNNNNNNNNNNNNNNNNNNNNNNNNNNNNNNNNNNNNNNNNNNNNNNNNNNNNNNNNNNNNNNNNNNNNNNNNNNNNNNNNNNNNNNNNNNNNNNNNNNNNNNNNNNNNNNNNNNNNNNNNNNNNNNNNNNNNNNNNNNNNNNNNNNNNNNNNNNNNNNNNNNNNNNNNNNNNNNNNNNNNNNNNNNNNNNNNNNNNNNNNNNNNNNNNNNNNNNNNNNNNNNNNNNNNNNNNNNNNNNNNNNNNNNNNNNNNNNNNNNNNNNNNNNNNNNNNNNNNNNNNNNNNNNNNNNNNNNNNNNNNNNNNNNNNNNNNNNNNNNNNNNNNNNNNNNNNNNNNNNNNNNNNNNNNNNNNNNNNNNNNNNNNNNNNNNNNNNNNNNNNNNNNNNNNNNNNNNNNNNNNNNNNNNNNNNNNNNNNNNNNNNNNNNNNNNNNNNNNNNNNNNNNNNNNNNNNNNNNNNNNNNNNNNNNNNNNNNNNNNNNNNNNNNNNNNNNNNNNNNNNNNNNNNNNNNNNNNNNNNNNNNNNNNNNNNNNNNNNNNNNNNNNNNNNNNNNNNNNNNNNNNNNNNNNNNNNNNNNNNNNNNNNNNNNNNNNNNNNNNNNNNNNNNNNNNNNNNNNNNNGGCGGUGAGUGGUGGGGGCGGCGGCGCGCGUGUGGGAGCAGGGGAGAGAAACAGAGAGAGAGGGGCGGGGUGGGGGCGCGUCGUUAGAUAUGUUUAAUCUUUGCCGUCUGCCACCUUUGCCGUCCGCUAAUGUGCUCUUUGCCGUCCGCUAGCGGACGGCAAAGAGGGGGGGCCGUUAAGUAUUUUUUAACCAGCUCCUCAUUGGGGCCCCCUCCCUCUUUGCCGUCUGCUAGCGGACGGCAAAGAACAAGCUGAUGGCAAAGGCUUUCUUUGCCAUCGGCCAGUUCUUUGCCAUCUGCUUCCGGGUAGCUUAUGGCAAAGAGCUGGCAGAUGGCAAAGUAGCUGAUUCCAGUAGUGGUUAGCACAAUGCGGUUGAUGUAGUCGUACGUCUUCACGGCCCGACCGAUCAAGCACCGAAACUACGGCACCUCUGAGUUCCUGCACACGUUCAGCUCGAUGACGUCCCUCGUACUCCGAUCCAGCCGAGUGUCGAGGGAGAGUUCCGUCAGCACGAUGGCGUGGUGACGAUGAUGAUGUUCUACCGUCGCAGGGCUUCGCCUAAGCACCACUAUGAUAUUAUCAAGGAGGACUAUGGUGGAGGGGGGCACCACACACGGCUAAGAGAUCAAUGAUCAAUUGUUGUGUCUAUGGGGUGCCCCCCUCUCCUGUAUAUAAAGGAGUGGAGGAGGGGGCCGGCCAAAGGGGGUGGCGCGCCCUAGGGGGGAGUCCAACUCCCACCGGGAGUAGGACUCCCCCCUUUCCUAUUAUGAGAGGGAGAGGGAAGGAAGAGGAAGGACGGAGGAAGGAAAGGGGGGCCGGCCCCCCUCCCAAUUCAGAUUGGGCUUGGGGGGGGCGCCCCCUCCCUUACUCCUUUCCCCUCCUUUCCACUAAGGCCCAUUAAGGCCCAUAUACCUUCCGGGGGGUUCCGAUAACCUCCCGGAGCUCCGGUAUUGUCCCAAUCUGACCCGGAACCUUCCCGGUGUCCAAAUAUAGUCGUCCAAUAUAUCGAUCUUCAUGUCUCGACCAUUUCAAGACUCCUCGUCAUGUCCGUGCUCAUAUCCGGGACUCCGAACAACCUUCGGUACAUCAAAACACAUAAACUCAUAAUAUAACUGUCAUCUAACUUUAAGCGUGCGGUCCCUACGGGUUCGAGAACUAUGUAGACAUGACCGAGACACGUCUCUGGUCAAUAACCAAUAGCGGAACCUGGAUGCUCAUAUUGGCUCCCACAUAUUCUACGAAGAUCUUUAUCGGUCAAACCGCAUAACAACAUACGUUGUUCCCUUUGUCAUCGGUAUGUUACUUGCCCGAGAUUCGAUUGUCGGUAUCUCAAUACCUAGUUCAAUCUCGUUACCGGCAAGUCUCUUUACUCGUUACGUAAUGCAUCAUCCCGUAACUAACUCAUGAGCUGCAUUGCUUGCAAGGCCUAUAGUGAUGUGCAUUAUCGAGAGGGCCCAGAGAUACCUCUCGGACAAUCAGAGUGACAAAUCCUAAUCUCGAAAUACGUCAACUCAACAAGUACCUUUGGAGACACCUGUAGAGCACCUUUAUAAUCACCCAGUUACGUUGUGACAUUUGGUAGCACACAAAGUGUUCCUCCGGUAAGCGGGAGUUACAUAAUCUCAUAGUCAUAGGAACAUGUAUAAGUCAUGAAGAAAGCAAUAGCAACAUACUAAACGAUCAAGUGCUAAGCUAACGGAAUGGGUCAAGUCAAUCACAUCAUUCUCCUAAUGAUGUGAUCCCGUUAAUAAAAUGACAACUCAUGUCUAUGGUUAGGAAACUUAACCACUUUUGAUUCACGAGCUAGUCAAGUAGAGGCAUACUAGUGACAUUAUGUUUGUCUAUGUAUUCACACAUGUAUUAUGUUUCCGGGUAAUACAAUUCUAGCAUGAAUAAUAAAUAUUUAUCAUGAUAUGAGGAAAUAAAUAAUAACUUUAUUAUUGCCUCUAGGGCAUAUUUCCUUCAAUCAACCCAUAUGGAAAAGUGGUACAAUAAUAGCAUGAAAUCAUCAAAAAAUAUGUAUAUGUUUGUGACGGAUCAACAUCUUCGAGCUUAAUACCUACUCCUCCUUGAGUAGGUAGAUGAUAAAACAAGAUAAUUUUUGAUGUUGAAUCCUACGCAACAUAAUCUUGAUCAAAUGAUAUAAAGUAUUGCGCGCUCAAGAUAAAAGUGAUUCAUGACAAUAGUGUAUCAAUUUGACAUUAAAACAAUGAUACAUGAGCAUGCAAAUAAACAAGCAUUGCCUUUCGAGAAUAAAGAUGCUAAAGAAAGUGGCUAUGUACUUAAGAUUAAGUAGGUAUCUCAUGGAGAGCAUAGCAUGCACUAGUAGAAAAAACCUCUUACAGGAUUUCCCUCCAAUAAAGAGCGCUUUUAUUAACUCAAAAUGUAGCAUUGAGCAGAUACAAAGCAUAAAGAGCGACACCUGGUCUCUGCAUAGCUGAGAUGCACACAAUCAUCAAACAAACAUUCUGACAAAGAAUACAAAAACGACAAAUUGGAAACAGUGAAGCCAUAUGAGGCUGAAACUAUGCCUAUGUUGACAGAGAAGGUGGACCGAUUCAGAGAUUAUACUGCCACCCAUGUUGGGUAAAGGCCUCUCUGGCCACCCGCUCCAGCCACAUACACACCGCCUUGAACAGCAAUUGAUGUUUCGUUCGGUGCAGAGUAGACCACGUACGAAGCCAGUGCAUACAACGGUAAAUAACCUGGAUACGAGAAAGAUUUUGUUAUUAAAAACACAAUCAUUUCUACAUAGCCAAACCGACCAUAGAAAGGUAGACGCUCCCACCCAUAUUAGCGUACUAAAAGUAUUUGGUAUUCCAUCAAGCCAAUGCCAUAUAUAUUAGCAACACUUGUCGGUGGAUACAAAUUUGAAGCUAUUUGGAUGACUGACCAUGUAGAACAUGCAAACUUGCAUUGAAAGAAGAUAUGCUUAAUUGUCUCUUCAUGAGUACAAAAACUACACUUCUUGCUUCCUUUCGAGUUGCCACCGGUACGCGUCGGUGAUAUAAAAACGGUUUUUAACCCCUUUCCGCGACGGCAUUUGGAACCGUCGCCAAGUGAGUGUGGGCGAUAGGGGGAUCCUUCCCAAAUGACCCAAAAACCAUCCGAGAUAGGCCCUCCUAGCACAUAGGCUGGGGAAAAAUGAGCUCGUGUGCGAUCCGGUGAGGCAUCGAAACCCAAUCGUUUUCGUUCGUAUGUACAUCCCACACGGUGAAUCCUAGAAAAACAUUUCUGUUCGUAUGUAUAUCACACACAGUCAAUCCAAGGAGUACGUUUCCGUUCUUAUGUACAUCCCACACAGUCAAUCCAGGGAAAAAGUUUUCAUUCAUAUGUACAUCCCACACAGUCAAUCCAGGGAAAAUGUUUCUAUUCGUAUAUACAUUCCACAUAGUCAAUCCAGGGAAAACGUUUCUGUUUGUAUGUACAUCCCACACAGGUUUAUGUAUAGGCUCGUGUGUGAUAGGUGUAACUAUCACACACGCUCUACCUUGAUUAACUGUUUGCUUUUAUCAACUACAUCACACACGGUUUGAUAAAGAAAACUGUGUGGCAUUGGGCUAUCCAUCAGAAGCGCUUUUACUACUAGAACCGUUUGCAAAGUUCCAUGACACAUUUGGCAAGUUUAUUAGUUUACAAUUAAUAACUCCAGUAUUAUGCAAAUUCACAUUUCAGAUCAAACAGUUGUUUGCCAAUUUCAUAUCAGGCACAUAAAUAUAUUUUAACAUCACAGUAUGAUAGCUACCUGAAAACAGCACAGUAUAGCAUAUAGCUAGUUCAACUUCAUAAGGACAAUAUUAGAACAAUAUAUUCAUUACCCUAAUCAAGAUCAUCCAGGCUUGUCUUAUCCACCUCUGCUUUCAGUUCAGUAAGAACCUGUUUUGCACUGGCCAACUCGGUAAGUGCCUCCUCCUUCACCUACACCAUAUUAACAAAGUCUCAUUUAAAAAAAUUUGAGCUCAUUCUCCACCUUCCUCUUUUUAUCCCGCAUCUUCAAAUAUUCUUCAGCGUUGACAACACUUUCUCUAAGCCUACCUUUGUUCUCUUCCUCAUACAUGCUCUAGAGCUUUGCUAGGCAGAUCUUCAAAGACUAUGGCCACUCUCGAUCAACCCACUCCAAGUAAGAACACUUCUGUUCAUCCUAUAAUAUUUGAAACUAGAUCAGUAACAAUUGUAGGGGAAAUGGGUUUAUAGCAACAUAGAAAAUCACCAAUACUUAUUUUGAAAAAUUUAAGAAACAGGUUAAUUAUGACAUAUCUUCUCAAAAAGAUCAAUGUGCAAAUGAAUUAAUUUCUACUGAGACAACAACCAAAUUCUGAAACAUCAGAAUCUUUAAUUAACUACAACAACACUACAAGUUCUUACUCAUGUACUAUAAAUAACAAAUUGAACAUUUUAUGAGGAAGGUAAAUAUAACUGCAACAGCAUAGCGACAGUGUUUGGAUGACAGCAAAUUGAUACUAACAGGUGUGUACAUGCACAAAUUUAGUAACAUAGAACUAAUAGCACUAAGGCCGUCCACUAUGUAUGCCAAAACCGGUGUAAAGACAACUGUUGCUACAUCUCGCACCGGUGCCCUGCACUGGCGAGCCGAUGUAGCGAAAAAAAAUCAGGGACCCAAACUCCGGAGCACCUAGUUGCUCCGAUGCCCAGUUCCUUCGCUCCAUAAAGAUUUAGUAUUUUAUUGCUUGGCUACUCGGAUUUGUGGACCAAAGUUGGCUGCACAAACUGCUACAGUGUUGAUACCAGUGGAAAAGCACUUCUUUCUAUGUAUAGGGCAGUGAACUAAAUAAGCAAUGCCAAAUAAUUUUCUAAUGGCACCGCUGAUGAGAUGGCAACAUUUUUAGAUACCAGGUACAACCUGUGACACUGUCUUAGGAUGCAUUUGGUCUAAGGUGUGGUAUGAAUGGGUUGGGACCGUGAUAGUGUCUAAACCACAUCUAACAAAUGAUAUGUAACAACGAAAGAGGGUCUAACUGAGGGAGUCCUGGACUAGGGGGUGUCCGGACAGCCGGACUAUCAUCGUCCGCCGGACUCCAAGACUACGAAGAUACAAGAUUGAAGACUCCGUCCCGUGUACGGAUGGGACUUUCCUUGGCGUGGAAGGCAAGCUUGGCGAUACGGAUAUGUAGAUCUCCUACCAUUGUAACCGACUCUGUGUAACCCUAGCCUCCUCUGGUGUCUAUAUGAACUGGAGGCCUUUAGUCCAUAGGACACAACAUACAUUACAACAAUCAUACCAUAGGCUAGCUUUAGGGUUUAGCCUCCUUGAUCUCGUGGUAGAUCCACUCUUGUACUACCUAUAUCAUCAAUAUUAAUCAAGCAGGACGUAGGGUUUUACCUCCAUCGAGAGGGCCCGAACCUGGGUAAAACAUCGUGUCCCUUGUCUCCUAUUACCAUCCGCCUAGACGCACAGUUCGGGACCCCCUACCCGAGAUCCGCCGGUUUUGACAUCGACAUUGGUGCUUUCAUUGAGAGUUCCUCUGUGUCGUCACCGAUAGGAAGGAUGCCUCCACCCUUCUUCAAAGACGGUGUUUUCGCCAAAGGGGCCUUGGCCGCCGGCCAAACUAUCCGGCUAGGUGGUUUUCUCAUGACCGCCUGUCCGGCCACCGCUUCGACAAUGACUUCUCAAGUCGUCAGAAGCAAUCUUCACGUCAGCUCGAAAUCUGCCGAACAGUUGGAUCCAAUAGAGCUCUCGUCUGUUAACGAGCUCUUGGAUCGCAUCGCCACCCUGGGAGUCGCUACAGACUACAAUCAGAUUGGGCGUAAAACCGAUCUGAGAGAGAUUAACUCUCCCCAGGCCACCCACCACGUCGUAGUGGUAGAGGAGAAAUACGGCAACUCUUCGCCUAUAUUGAAAACUAGUCACGUCCGGAUUCCCGAACCCUCCAUGCCGGAUUUCCGCGGAGGGGCGGACUUCGAUUGAGCAUUGAACUUAAAACCAUGCGUCGCUCCGGACUCGCUGGAUCGUGUCCAGCAACCCAAGCUUCCGAAUUCGGAAACUCCUCGGCCGUUGAGCCCCAAGAUGGGCAGGGAUCUAGAUUUUAGUCCACCCACCCGCCCAGACAUAUGCGAUCUAUCUCUAAUACGGCAAGAGCCCGCUGAAACAGUACAUCACUACUGGGCCAGAUUCCUCCUGGUUAUGGAUAGGAUAAAGGACUGCCGAGAGGAAAACGCAAUCUCAAUCUUCUGCAAUAAUUGCACGGACAAGGGAAUAUUGAACGCCAUCGAUCGUCGUAAAAUUACACGCUUCACCGAUCUGGCGUCCAUAGUACAAAAGUACUGUGCAAUGGAGAGUUUUCGGAAAACCAAAAACCAAUUUUGGGAUAAUCCGGCCCCAACCCCACUCUGCAACAAAAGGGUGCCUCACACUCAGGCCCCAGAUGAAAAAACGAAAAAGCAAAAACCCAAUAAAGGGCACGGAACCAUACUGGAGGGAUGGCUCAAUGGACCCUGUAAGCUUCAUAGUACAGAGGGAGGCGUCCCAACACAUAGCCUUCGAGCAUGUUGGAUAUUACGGCAGGUGGCCAAAAGUGGCGAGGAGCUUCUAGCCCCGACAAACCACUCCAACAAUACCGGUAUGGUAUCAACAGUCUUCGAGAUCUUCGCAUCAAACAAUAUGCGAAGACGAACAAUCCGCGGACUUGCUGAAGUCUACCAAGUAGCAACAGCAAAUCCAUGGAGUGACACAGCCAUGACCUUCAAUGCUAGCGACGAACCUAAAUUCCGAACAGCUCAAGGACCAGCCGCACUGGUGCUUAGUGCCAUAGUGGACGGCUUUCGGCUUACAAAGGUCUUCAUGGAUGGCGGCAGCGGACUAAACCUCAUAUAUGAGGAAACUCUUCAAAAAAUGGAAAUAGACUGGAGCCGUAUUGAGCGAAGCAGCACAACCUUCAGAGGAAUAAUCCCUAGCCGGGAAACGCGUUGCACCGGAAAAAUCACACUCGAUGUGGUGUUCGGCUCGCCGGACAAUUAUAGAUCCGAAGAAGUCACGUUCCAAGUGGCCCCGUUCAACAGCGGAUAUCACGCUAUAUUAGGACGGGAGGCAUUCACAAUUUUUCAAGCAGUACCUCAUUAUGGGUACAUGAAGCUCAAAAUGCCUGGGCCCGGCGGAAUAAUCACUCUCGCUAGUGAUCCGGACAUAGCACUCUGCGCCGAAAACAAGACACCCACACUAGCCCUGGAGGCACUAUCCGAAGCCUUAGCAGCAGAAGAACUCACUGCGCUACGCUCUACGGUGAACAGGGAUGAUGUGAUACUCGAUAAAAGAUCCAAGUCCACCUCCUUCAAACCAGCAGAUGAAAUAAUAAAAUUUCAGGUCCAUCCAACGGACCAAACAAAGAUGGCCUCCAUUGGGGCACAAUUGAACCCCGAAGUAGACGCCGCACUGCGUGAAUUCCUUCGGGAAAAUUGGGACAUCUUCGCCUGGCAUCCUUCGGAUAUGCCCGGAAUCCCACGCAGGUUGGCAGAACACAGCCUAAACAUCCUAAAAGGAUUUAAGCCAGUCAAACAGGCUCUUCGACGAUUUUCCGAACCCAAAAGACAGGCAGUGGGAGAAGAGCUAGCCAAACUAUUGGAAGCCGGAUUCAUCAGAGAUAUCAAACAUCCGGAUUGGCUAGCAAAUCUGGUAAUGGUACCAAAGAAGGACAAAUCCUGGCGCCUCUGUGUCGAUUUUAAAGACCUCCAUAAGGCUUGCCCAAAGGACCCCUUCCCUCUCCCCCGCAUCGACCAAAUUAUCGAUGCUACCGCAGGGCACGAUUCGUUGUGCUUCCUUGAUGCAUACUCUGGCUAUCAUCAAAUCAAGAUGGCGGAAGCGGACCAAGCCGCAACGGCAUUCAUCACUCCAUACGGACCAUUCUACUUCAAUACGAUGCCCUUCGGACUUAAAAAUGCCGGCGCAACAUAACAGCGCAUGAUUCAAACAUGUCUGGCUACCUAGAUCGGCAAAACAAUCGAGGCAUACGUAGACGACGUAGUCGUCAAAACAAAACACGUCGAAACUCUAGUAGAUGAUUUGAGGCUCACAUUCGACAACCUCAGAGCAUAUGACAUCAAGCUGAAUCCGGAAAAAUGCGUUUUCGGCGUACCAGCCGGAAAGCUGCUGGGCUUCAUUGUAUCCGGUAGAGGAAUUGAAGCAAACCCGGCUAAAAUCCGAGCUCUGUCACAGUUGGAUAUUCCAAAAGACCUCAAACAAAUACAAAAACUAACAGGAUGCGUGGCAGCUUUAAGCCGCUUUAUCUCCCGUCUAGGAGAAAAGGCAUUGCCCCUCUAUCGCCUCCUCAGACGCACCGAACACUUCGAGUGGACGGAUGCUGCCACUGCCGGACUUGAAGAAAUAAAGGCCAUAUUGGCAACAAAUCCGGUCCUGGCUGCGCCCAAUCUAGGCGAACCAAUGUUGUUAUACAUCGCAGCAACCCAUCAAGUCGUAAGCGCGGUACUCGUCGUCGAACGAGAGACAGAAGGGCAUAAAUUCCCUCUUCAAAAACCAGUGUAUUAUGUAUCCACUGUGUUAACUCCCUGCAAAUCCCGUUACCCACACUAUCAUAAGAUAGCGUAUGCGGUGUUCAUGGCAUCCCGGAAGCUCCGACACUACUUUCAAGAGUGUUCGAUAACAGUGGCCUCCGAAGUACCACUCAAUGACAUCAUGAAUAACCGUGACGCAACGGGCAGGAUUGCAAAAUGGGCCAUUGAGCUAUUACCAUUCGAUAUAACUUACAAACCUCGGCGAGCUAUAAAGUCACAAGUUUUGGCUGACUUCGUCGCUGAAUGGACCGAAGCCGAACUCCCUAAAGAGUACGGCGCAUACUCCAAUUGGGUUAUGCACUUCGACGGCUCUAAAAUGUUGGCCGGACUGGGGGCUGGCGUCGUAUUGACGUCCCCAACCGGGGACACAGUCCAGUAUGUACUCCAAAUAAUGUACACCGACUCCAACAACGCAGCCGAAUACGAGGACCAGUUACAUGGUCUCUGGAUGGCAGUCUCCAUGGGCAUUCAACGCCUAGAGGUGCGCGGGGAUUCAAACCUUGCAAUAUCCUAAAUAAAUGGAGACUUUAACGCCAAGGAUCCGAAAAUGGCAGCAUAUCGCAACGCUGUCCUAAAAAUGUCAGCUCGGUUUGAAGGACUCGAAUUCCAUCACAUAGCCCGAGAUAAUAACCACGCGGCCGACGUACUGGCACGCAUCGGUGCAAAACGUGAUGCCGUCCCUCCAAAUAUCUUCCUGGAACGGCUCUUCAAGCCAUCCGUACUAUGGGAAGAGGAGCCCGGAAGUGACAAACUAGAAAAAAUCGCGCCAAUCGGCGAUUCAGCCGAUGACAUAACGCCUUCAGCCCACGACAUAAUGGCAGUAAUCGCACCGUGGACAGAACCAUUCCUAGCCUACUUGCUUAGGCAGGAACUUCCCGAAGACCAAAACGAGGCCCGCUGCAUAGUCCGGCAGUCGAAAGCCUACAAGGUCCAUGAGGGAGAACUUUAUAAGAAAAGUACAACCGGAGUCCUUUAAAGGUGUAUCUCCGAAGAGGAAGGGCGAAACCUCCUGGCUGAAAUCCAUGCCGGACUAGGCGGACACCAUGCAGCAGCCCGGGCCCUUGUAGGAAAGGCAUUCCGUAUAGGAUUUUAUUGGCCGACGGCCCGGGCAGAUGCCCAGGACUUGGUCCAGAGAUGCGUUGGUUGUCAGCUCUUUGCUAAUCAGAGCCAUAUGCCGCCCACCGCCCUCAAAACUAUACCCAUUACCUGGCCGUUCGCGGUCUGGGGGCUUGAUAUGGUUGGACCCCUUAAAGGGGGAACCCACAAGCAAAGGUACCUAUUGGUCAUGGUGGAUAAAUUCACCAAAUGGAUAGAGGCCAAACCGGUCAAGACGGCAGAGUCCGGACCAGUGAUAGACUUUAUAUCUGGGGUAGUACACCGUUACGGAGUCCCCCACAGCAUCAUCACCGACAACGGCACGAACUUCACAACCGACGAGGUUAAGUCAUGGUGCAAAAAUAUGGGCAUCAAGCUCGACUACGCUUCAGUCUAUCACCCUCAAACCAACGGUCAAGUGGAACGAGUAAAUGGUCUAAUGAUGAGCGGCAUUAAACCCAGACUAGUGCGGUCACUUACUAAAUCUGACACGCACUGGGUCGAGGAGCUCGACUCCGUACUCUGGGGGCUGCGGACAACGCCUAACCGCACUACCGGAUUCACACCAUUCUUUAUGGUCUACGGCGCAGAGGCAGUCUUGCCCUGCGACAUUAUUCAUGACUCACCUCGAGUGCGCAUGUACGAAGAAAGAGAGGCCGAGCUGGAUCGGCAGGACAGCUUGGACACAUUGGAGGAAGAACGCGACGUCUCCAAGGCUCGUUCCGCAUUCUAUCAGCAGCAGGCCCGAAGAUACCAAAGCAGAGAAGUACGGGCUUACAACGUUGGUAAACUAGUUCUACGCCUGCCGGACAAGAAAAAGGACAAGCUCAAGCCCAAAUGGGAGGGCCCCUUCAUUAUCGAUCAAGUCCUGACCGGCGGAGCGUACCAUCUACGAAAUGCGUCAGAUAACCGACUCGAGCCAAACCCAUGGAACGCAGCCCGCCUCCGAAGAUUCUAUGCCUAGCGCCGGACUAAGAGUUCGUCCCCUUCCUCCAUCCAAAUUUUUACACUUCGGCUGUCUUUUGUUUCUCUUUUCAUUACCUUUUUACUACAAAGCCCGGAAGGGACUACUUUCGCAUUGUUCGCAUACACUUGAUAUGCCAUCCGCACUCAUUAUACCUGGGGGCUUCUUUUACAGAAGCUCAAUUAUAAGGGUCUCAUGCCCAGCACAUGUGUCAAGCUUCCACAUGUACCUUUUACUCACCAUUAUAUGCAUCGAUAUGACUUAACUUUUGGCCAAGCUGAGUUGCCUGGCUCAUGUGCUUACCCCUACGUUCCUGAUUGUUCGGCUAGGAGGUAAAGGGAGCACCUCUGCGAUUGUUACUACCGGGUCAGCCGGAUGUGUACCUCAGACUGGGUGAAGCCGAAAGCUAGCGUUCUUAAGGGAAUAUUCGGUCGGUGACUUAAAAGAUGAUUUUUACCUACUCAUUUAUCCGCCCCCAGAUGUUUUUUCUGCUCUUUUCGCAGUCUGGACAUGCACUGUAGGGCAUGCCUCCCAGGGAAAGGAACCCUUAACGGAACUAUUCUCUCUGGAAGAUGUUUCUUACUAACCAUGUAAUAUAACAUAACUAGUUGGGCACUUGUCUGAUAAAGCACUAAUGACCCCUACGCCUGGUCUCCAUUCAUACCCCGGUUGUUUCUUAACCAAAAAGGUAUUCGGACACACUCCGGACUCUAGGGUCCCGAGGUCGAAGCGAAAAGGUCGGCAAAGACAAACGAUCUACAAUCCGGCUAGAAGGCAUUUCACAUGUCAAUUUAAAGGAAAACAUACAUUGUCAAAAUUACUGAUUGUAUUCCUCCUCAAUCCCGUCUAACAGGCUAUCUAACUUACAGUCCCGUUGGGAAAAUUUAGCAGCCAACUCUACUUGGCCGUAUACUAAACACACAGGGAUCUCCUUCCCAUCGGGCCCCACCGGUCCAACUUCCGCCAUGUGGUUGGGAUCCGCCCUCUUGUAACACGUCUUCACCAUGGCCCAAGCCUCCCUGGCACCUUGGCGGCAGGCCAAAAUCUUCCAUAGACGGAAGCAUUGCCGCACUCCCUGAAGCUUCUCCGCAAGCUCCCCAAGGCCCUCGGGUAGGGAGAGGGCUGGCCAUAAAGCCUGGACGACGCCGCUCAUUGCCUGCCGAACUCGUUCGAGCAGCUGCAACAGCUCGGGAAGUUGAUCACCCGUUGAUAAGGGCAUCUCCUCCGCGGGGCGACCUGUGAGUAUACCUACAAGACAUAAUCUGUCAAUUGACUUCCUCGCCGAACUCUUCCUUUCAAAGGAGUCCGCUCAAGCACUUACUAUAGAUGCCGCGACGAAGCCGCUUAGUCUCCUUAACAGAGCCGGACAGCUCGGCCCGAACACCUUUCCGCUCUUCUCCGAGCUGGGCGUGGGCAUCCUGGAGCUUGUUCCUUUCUUGCUGCACCCUAGUCAGCACCCUCUCGCCGGCCUUUAGCUGGCAUAGUAAUUCUUGCCUAUCCGGAUCUUGUCCGGCGGCACCUGCAAUGUCACUAUUAGACUUGCGCGCAUGCCGCACAGCGCUUAUAUUUAUUAAUAAAAAUGUGUUUCCAGGAGGGGACUCUGCGUCUCCUCCUGCGGCAGCAAGUGUGGCCUCAAGUUGGGCCUUGCAUUCUUGCAGCUCCUGAGACAGCUGGGCAUUCUUCUUGGUAAGAGCCUGCGUUUUAAAUGAUCCUUAAAUCAGUUAAUAUAACUACUUUAAGUACAACUAGGUGCUUGCCUCCCCAUAUGGACAGUCUGUCGGUGUCCUCUGUUGGAGGAGGAUCCGGCCCAUGUCUUGCGCUUGCCUCCCCCUCUAGGCCGGGCGCUGGAGCCUGGCCGGUAUAGGUUGGAUCGGCAACUUCCGCGCCCGCAGUCCGGCGAGCGCUUUUUCUCCUAUAAAGAUCAUGAGCACUCAGACGCUUCCUAGGAACGUUGCUCUGAAAAUUUAAAUACGAGCUGUACCUUUGUGGCGACGUUUCAGUCCGUGCCGCACUCCUUUUCCGCCUGCUGGUCCGGACUGACCUUUGUUGGUCAGCCGCCGCGGGCUUGGCUUCCCGCCCUGAGGGCGCUUCCUGUAAAACACCAUCGUUUGCGAAGGUCAGAAAUAGGCAAGGAAGAGAUAAUGGUGUCCGGACCUCGGUCACAGUCACCUAGGAAGCCGGAUACAGUCCGGGGUAGUCCGCCGUAAUGGCGACCAAAGCAUUGUCCAUGCUGAGUUGGUGAAACACCCCGUCGAUCAGCUCCACCUUGAUGUCCGGAUCCUCUUCGGAGGCCGGAUCCAGGGAUCUUUCUGGAUCCUCGGGUUGCGGAGCGGGACUUACCAUGUCCUCCACAGUCCGGCGUAGAUCCUGCGCCGAAGACAUAAUGUAAGAAGCCUAAACUUCGAAAGCAUGAGUUGAGCCCUUAAAAGUGUUUGCUUACCCAGCCCCUAGGGUUGUUCAUGGAAAACCCAUUCAAAGGGUUCGUUUGAAGGAAGUCCUCCUUCUCCCCCUUGUAUAGGCUGGACAGGAUCUGCACUAGAUCCUCGGUCGAAUCCGGCCCUUUGCGGCCAUGACGGGUGGCAUCGUCUUCCCCGUUGAAAUCCCACAUGGGGUGGCCUCUAUAUUGUAAUGGCUGUACCCCACACAUGAUGCAUGUCGCCUUGACUCCGAUCAUGGUCAAACCAGAAUGGGCCAUUAAUCUUAUUUGGCCCAUCAAGUAAUGGACGCUCUUGUUUUCCUCCAAUCGGGGGCUCCGUGGGCGCCAGCUGAGGCGUUUCUUCAAAGGAGCAGCACUAAACUCCGGGAGGCCAAUCCAGACUGGAUCCGGCAGCGGAGCGUCUCCUAUAUAAAACCACUCUGAAGGCCAGUCUUCGGACGCCUUCUUGGGAGUACCGGAUGGGUAUCCGGUCCCGGCAAUGCGCCAUAUUUCGGCGCCGCCCACUUGAUAUAUGGAACCCUCGUGAGAACGGGGUACGAGGCAGAAUAGCCUCUUCCACAAUGCAAAAUGGGGCUCAAUGCCUAGGAAUAGCUCGCAAAGAGCUACGUAGCCCGCGAUAUGCAGGACAGAGGCGGGCGUGAGGUGGUGGAGCUGGAGUCCGUAGAACUCCAGGAGCCCGCGGAGGAACGAAUGUAUUGGGAAUCUGAGUCCCCUUAUCAGAUAAGGGACGAAGCAUACUCGCUCCCCUUUAUUGGGGCUUGGGGUAGCCUCCGCUUGCCUCCCACCUUGAUAAGUGACCAGUCCGGCUCGGACUGGGACCAUGAAGGCCGGAGGGAGAUAUCCCCCCGCUUGGAGCUUCGCUAGCUCAUUGUGCAGAACAGAGCACCUCCUCCAAUCCCCUGGCGGUGGGCUGGGAGCGCGAGAAGAGGAGCCGCGUCGACGGUCCAUGAUGGAAUGGAUUUUUAGAUCAAGGGCGCUCCGAUGAACUGUUCGCGGGAGGAAGAUGGUGUGGUUUGGAUCUGGAUUUUUGCCUCUUUUGUAGGCGAACGACUCGCACGACUAGGGGGUGAAACAUAAAAAGACACCCUGGCUUUUCGCAUUCGUGCGACGCGUGGAAAAAGGCCAUUAUUGGGCGUAGAAGCCGAGGAACAUAGUAUUUAUGAUAAAGCCGGACACUGUUCGGCAGGUACAUGGAACUUGAAGGGAGAACCCGCCAUGCAACGCCGAAGACUAUAUACGCGCUGGACUUAUCGUCAUUGAAGCUUGGUUCGGGGGCUACUGAGGGAGUCCUGGACUAGGGGGUGUCCGGACAGCCGGACUAUCAUCGUCCGCCGGACUCCAAGACUAUGAAGAUACAAGAUUGAUGACUCCGUCCCAUGUCCGGAUGGGACUUUCCUUGGCGUGGAAGGCAAGCUUGGCGAUACGGAUAUGUAGAUCUCCUACCAUUGUAACCGACUCUGUGUAACCCUAGCCUCCUCCGGUGUCUAUAUAAACCGGAGGGCUUUAGUCCGUAGGACACAACAUACAUUACAACAAUCAUACCAUAGGCUAGCUUUAGGGUUUAGCCUCCUUGAUCUCGUGGUAGAUCCACUCUUGUACUACCCAUAUCAUCAAUAUUAAUCAAGCAGGACGUAGGGUUUUACCUCCAUCGAGAGGGCCCGAACCUGGGUAAAACAUCGUGUCCCUUGUCUCCUGUUACCAUCCGCCUAGACGCACAGUUCGGGACCCCCUACCCGAGAUCCGCCGGUUUUGAAACCGACACUAACCUUCUCUGCACAAGCCAUAAACUUCCUCCCACUAUCCACAGAUGCAAACGCAACUAGCUUCACACAUGGAGAUUGAUGGUGACAACAAGCAGACAGAUCUUCAGCCACCCCGCUCCAUUCGUUACAACUGAUGGUCCCAGGGAGCUACAAGAGAAAGAAAUGACUCAAAUCGACCACCGCGUAAAAAUCCUUCAUUCCAAGUCAUAGCCCGAGAGAGAGAAGAGAGGCAUACCCGGGUGGUGAAAGAGUCGUCGUCGAAGGAGGAACCGCUGGAGAGGUCUUUGAAGAAGACCAUGGUGAGCCCGGCGGUAGGAUGCGAGACGGCGAGAGCGAGGAAGCAAGCGAGGAAGCGGCUAUAGCUUAGGAAGGAAGGAAGGAAGGAGGAAACAGGGAAAAUGUGACUUGUGGUCGGGGAAAAGGGGGCGGGGAAGGGGGUAGAUAUUUCGGCGGCAGGCCAGAAAUGUGCAGGGAAACUUUGCGCGCGGUGCCGCCGGACACCAUUUACUUUGAACGAUUGUGUGCAUCACAAACGAUUCUUCUGCUUUACGCGCAUGGGAUGAGUUUGGUAAUUCAAAAUUUGGUGGAAAUUCCCCCAGGUACGUCAUUGCAUAAUUUAAUAUUGCUUGCUAAAUUGGGCACACAAAAGCGCAUACAUCACACAUACCACACUUACUGAAUCGAGCAAUUUAGUAAUUAAGCAGAGCUAGUUGACCUAAACAUUGCUCUAACAAAAGACCAGCAUUAAAAACAAAGUGUAAGUACGCAUAUUUUAAUAAAUCCGUUGCCGCGCCAGCCUAUGCAUCACCGGUGUGAGAUGAGACAUCGAUAACUUGUCCUGGCGACAUGCCGCCGUUGGUGGACUCCGUGCCCCCUACUGAAGUUGACCGCGUCCUCGUCCUCGUCCUCGGCGCCGCCCUUAAGGUUGUAGUACUCGUAGUAGUGGUUGCGCUAGAGCUCACGUUGGUACUCCACCAUAGAUUACUCGACGGACAUACUCUUCUCUACCUCGACGUCGGCCACGCGCAACUCCUCCUCCCAGCGCUCCUCGAUCUCCGCCGCCUCCUGCAUCUCUAGCUUCCGCUCGGCGAUCUCAUGAGGAAGCAGGUGCUCCUUGGCCACCGCCGCCUUUUUUGACGUGGGUUGCAUGCUGGAUUCCGAGGUGGCCUGGAAUAUCUUGGCGUGUGCGUCCUCGAUCUUGGUGUGGAUGGCCUUGACCCGGGCCAGGGCGACAUCGGCGGCACGGACGGCAUCUCGAGCGCUCUCGGUGUUUGCAGCCGUUAUCGCUGCAGCAGCUGCAGCCAUCUCGGGUGCUGCAGCUGCCCUGUCGGCUACCGCAGACGCCCUCUCGGUGGAUGCGGCCGCGCUUAAUGCGGAUGUUGCGGCACUCUCAGCGUAAGCGGCCACACUCUUGGCACAGGCGGCGACACUCGGGAAGGACGCGGCCAUCGUAUGAGCCUUCAUGAACAUUUCCAUGGCAUCAUCUUUGCAAGAAGGGGUAUGGGAAUGGGGACCGAGAUUCAUGGAUUCGGGGGUUGCCGGCCAUAGGAGAAGGUGAGCCGGAAAAGCUUAAGGAGGAAGACUUAAAUAGACCCAGAAAUUUUCAUCACAAACGGUUCCUACCAAAAAACUGUGUGUGAUGUUGUGGAUCUUUUUAUUAGCUGUGAAAGACGAAUUUAGAGUGAAGUGGCAACAAAUGGUGUUUUAAAUGUAUGAGAAAAUUGGUAGUACUAAUACAACUGUCAUGUCAAAUUUUGGAAAAUUUCAGGGGUCAUUUAACCUUUUAAGACAUUUAUAAGUGAUUUUCUAUCCAUUUAAUGACCGUAAUUCAAAUUUGAACUACAUGUACAUGCAACAUCUAACCAUAACAGUUUGAAAAGUCAUUUUAUGUAGUUGUGUGCGAUUUAAUUUCAUGUGCAGUGAAUUUGAAUGAAUUUUCAAACAUAUUGGUCUAAUGGCUAUGACACAAUUAAGCAUGGAGUGCCAUGGCAUUUAAAUUCCAAAAAAUUAAAAAAAGAUCAGAAACACAUGAAACCUUGUUUGAUGUAAUGUCAUGCCACCAAAAUGAUGUGGUAAAAAAUUUGGCAUGUUUGACGAAAGUUUGGACACACACCCCUCACAAACCGAAGCAACUCACUAGAAGGCUCGUGGUUCCGAGAGGGAACAAUGCAUGUUUGAUGAAGAACGGGAGAUAGCUUCCCCUUAUGGCCUUUAAAUUUUUUCUACAUUUAACGUGCACUAAUACAACUGUCAUGUAAAAUUUGGAAAGUUUUAGGGGCAAUUUGAUCUUUUAAAGACAUUUAUGUGAUUUUCUAGACAUUUAAUGACCGUAAUUCAAAUUUGAACUAUAUAUACAUGCAAUAGCUAACCAUAACGGUUUGAAAAAUUAUAUUUUUGUAAUUGUGUGCGAGAUAAAUCCAUCUAUAGUAAACUAGAAGAAAUUUUCAAACAUAUUGGUCUCACGACAUGGACACAUGCACGGAGUGCCAUGGCAUUUUAAUUCCAAAAAAAUAAAAAAUGAUCAGAAAAAUAUGAAACCUUGCUUGAUGUAAUGUCAUGCCACCAAGACCAUGUGGUAAAAAAUGGCUUGUUUCACAAAAGUUGGACACACACCCCUCACAAACCAGAGAAACUCAUUAGAAGGCUGGUGGUUGCUGAUGUCUACUAAACAACCUUCUUCUUGUAGAUGUUGUUGGGCCUGCAAGUGCACAGGUUUAUAGGACAGUAGCAAAUUUCCCUCAAGUGUAUGACCUAAGGUUUAUCAAUCCGUAGGAGGCGUAGGAUGAAGAUGGUCUCUCUCAAACAACCCUGCAACCAAAUAACAAAGAGUCUCUUGUGUCCCCAACACACCCAGUACAAUGGUAAAUUGUAUAGGUGCACUAGUUCGGCGAAGAGAUGGUGAUACAAGUGCAAAAUAGAUAGUAGAUAUAGGUUUUUGUAAUCUGAAAUAAUAAAAACAGCAAGGUAACUAAUGAUAAAAGUGAGCGUAAACGGUAUUGCAAUGAUAGGAAACAAGGCCUAGGGUUCAUACUUUCACUAGUGCAAGUUCUCUCAACAAUAGAUAGAUCAUAUAUCAAGCCCUCAACUUGCAACAAAGAGUCACUCCGAAGCCACUAAUAGCGGAGAACAAACGUAGAGAUUAUGGUAGGGUACGAAACCACCUCAAAGUUAUUCUUUCGGAUCGAUCUAUAAAGAGCUCAUACUAGAAUAACACCUUAAGAUAGAAAUCAACCAAAACCCUAAUGUCACCUAGAUACUCCAUUGUCACCUCAAGUAUCCGUGAGCAUGAUUAUACGAUAUGCAUAUCACAAUCUCAGAUUCAUCCAACCAACAAAAAAGUACUUCAAAGAGUGCCCCAAAGCUACAACCGGAGAGUCAAGAACGUGUGCCAACCCCUAUGCAUAGGUUCAUGGGUGGAACCCGCAAGUUGGUCACCAAAAACAUACAUCAAGUGGCACAUGAUAUCCCAUUGUCACCACAGAUAAUCACGGCAAGACAUACAUCAAGUGUUCAUAAAAGACUCAAUCCGAUAAGAUAACUUCAAAGGGGAAACUCAAUUCAUCACAAGAGAGUAGAGGGGGAGAAACAUCAUAAGAUCCAACUACAAUAGCAAAGCUCGGGAUACAUCAAGAUCGUGCCAUAGAGGGAACACGAGAGAGAACACGAGAGAGAGAGAGAGAGAGAGAGAGAGAGAGAGAUCAAACACAUAGCUACUGGUACUUUCCCUCAGCCCCGAGGGUGAACUACUCCCUCCUCGUCAUGGAUAGCGCCGGGAUGAUGAAGAUGGCCACCGAUGAUGGGAUCCCCCUCCGGAAGGGUGCCGAAACAAGGUCCCGAUUGGUUUUUGGUGGCUACAGAGGCUUGCGGCGGUGGAACUCCCGAUCUAUCUUCUGUUCUGGAAGUUUUAGGGUACGUAGGUAUAUAUGGGUGCAGGGGGUACGUCGGUGGAGCUACGGGGGCCCUACGAGGUAGGGGGGCACGCCCGAGGGGGGGGUGGGGGUGGGCGAGCCCCCACCCUCGUGGGCAGCCCAUAUCUCCCCUGACGUGCACUCCAAGUUCCCUGGGUUGCUUUCCUUCUAAAAUUAACUUCUCUAGUUGAUUUCGUUCCGUUUUGACUCCGUCUGAUAUUCCUUUUCCUCGAAACACUGAAAUAGGCAUAAAACAGCAAAUCUGGGCUGGGCCUCAAGUUAAUAGGUUAGUCCCAAAAAUAAUAUAAAAGUGGAUAAUAAAGCCCAAUAUUGCCUAAAACAGUAGAUAAAGUAGCAUGGAGCAAUCAAAAAUCAUAGAUACGUUGGAGACGUAUCAAGCAUCCCCAAGCUUAAUUCCUGCUCGUCCUCGAGUAGGUAAAUGAUAAAAAAGAAUUUUUGAUGCGGAGUGAUACUUUGGCAUAAUUUCAAUGUAAAUCUUCUUAAUUGUGGUAUGAAUAUUCAGAUCCGAAAGAUUCAAGACAAAAGUUCAUAUUGACACAAAAAUAAUAAUACUUCAAGCAUACUAAUCAAAGUAAUCAUGUCUUCUCAAAAUAGCAUGGCAAAAGAAAGUUCAUCCCUAGAAAAUCAUAUAGUUAGGCUAUGCUUCAUUUUUGUCACACAAAGAUGUUCCCAACUUCCAUACCCCCGAUGACAAGCCAAGCAAUUGUUUCAUACUUAAAUAAUCUCAAACUUUUUCAACCUUCACGCAAUACAUGAGCGUGAGCCAUGGAUAUAGCACUAUGGGUGGAAUAGAAUAUGAUGAUGGGGAUUGUGUGGAGAAGACAAAAAAGGAGAAAGUCUCACAUUGACGAGGCUAAUGAACGGGCUAUGGAGAUGCCCAUCAAUUGAUGUCAACAUGAGGAGUAGGGAUUGCCAUGCAACGGAUGCACUAGAGCUAUGAAUGCUCAACAAAAGAAAACUAGUGGGUGUGCAUCCAACUUGCUUGCUCAUUAAGACCUAGGGCAUUUGAGGAAGCCCAUCGUAGGAAUAUACAAGCCAAGUUCUAUAAUGAAAAAUUCCCACUAGUAUAAAAAGGACAACUUAUGAGACUCACUACAUGAAGAACAAGGUGCUACUUUGAAGCACAAUAUAUGAGACUCACUACAUGAAGAACAAGGUGCUACUUUGAAGCACAAGUGUGGAAAAAGAGAUACUAGCAUUGACCUUAUAUUUUCUUUUUUUUGGGCAAUGCUCUAAUAAUGAUGAUCAUCACACUUCUAUUGAUUACAACAUAAGGAUUACAACUCGAAACUUAGAACAAGAUAUGACUCUAUAUGAAUGCCUUCGGCGGUGUACCAGGAUGGUGCAAUGAAUCAAGAGUGACAUGUAUGAAAAAUGGUGCAUGGUGGCUUUGCCACAAAUACGAUGCCAACUACAUGAUCAUGCAAUGGCAAUAUGACAAAAGUAAUGUAUGUCAUGAUGAUGAUGAUGGAAGUUGCAUGGCAAUAUAUCUCGGAAUGGCUAUGGAAAUGCCAUGAUAGGUAGGUAUGGUGGCUGUUUUGAGGAAGAUAUAAGGAGGUUUAUAUGUGAUAGAGCAUAUCGUAUCACAGGGUUUGGAUGCACCGACGAAGUUUGCACCAACUCUCAAGGUGAGAAAGGGCAAUGCACGGUACCGAAGAGGCUAGCAAAGGCGCAAAGGUGAGAGUGUGUAUAAUCCAUGGACUCAACAUUAGUCAAAAGAACUCAUAUACUUAUUGCAAAAAUUUAGAAGUCAUCAAAAAUCAAGUACUACGCGCAUGGUCCUAGGGGGAUAGAUUGGUAGGAAAAGACCAUCGCUCGUUCCCGACCGCCACUCAUAAGGAUGCACAAUCCAGGUACACUUCAUGUUUCAAAUUUGUUACACAACUUUAACCAUACAUGCAUGCUACGGGACUUGCAAACUUCAACACAAGCAUUCUUUGAAUUCAUAAUCACCCAACUAGCAUGACUUUGAUAUUAUCACCUCCAUAUCUCAAAACAAUUAUCAAGCAUAAAACUUAUCUUAGUAUUCAACACACUCAUAAGAAAGUUUCACAUAUCUUGAAUACCAAGUAUAUUAAUAUUAAGCAAAUUAUCAUGCUAUUAACGACUCUCAAAAUAAUCUAAGUGAAGUAUGAGAGUUCAUCUAUUUCUUCGAAAUAAAACUACCACCAUGCUCUAAAAGAUAUAAGUGAAGUACUAGAGCAAUAACAAAAACUACUCCGAAAGAUAUAAGUGAAGAUCAAUAAGUAGUCAAAUAAUUAUGCAACUAUGUGAAGACUCUCCCAUUUAAUAAUUUCAGAUCUUGAUACUUAAUUCAAACAGCAAGCAAAUCUAAAGAAAAUUACAUUGCAAGGAUAGCACAACUCGUGUGAAGAAGCAAAAACUUAGGCUCAAUCGAUACUAAUCGAUAGUUGUUGAAGAAGAAAGGUGGGAUGCCUACCGGGGUAUCCCCAAGCUUAGAUGCUCGAGACUUCUUGAAAUAUUAUCUUGGGGUGCCUUGGGCAUCCCCAAGCUUGAACUUUUGUGUCUCCUUAAUUCCUCUCAUAUCAUGGUUUCUCUUUUUAUCAAAAGCUUCAUUCACAACAAACUCAACAAGAACUCGUGAGAUAGGUUAGUAUAAACCAAUGCAAAACCAUAUCAUUUUCUACUGUAACAAAUCACUAAAAUUAUUAUUCAACAUUUAAUACUAAAUGCCUCUGCAUAUUUAAUACUCCUAUCCUCAAAUAGAAUCAUUAAACAAACAAACAUAUGCAAACAAUGCAACCAUAACAGCAAUCUGCCAAAACAGUACAGUCUGUAAAGAAUGCAAGAAUAUCAAUACUUACCUGACUCCGAAAAUUAUGAACUAAAAUUCCCAAUGUAAUAAAUUUAUCAGAGCUCAAUAUGCAAAAGGUUUCAACAUUAUACCGUUCGCUGACUAUUCUAGGGAAUUUUUGCAACAGCGGUAAACUAUCUGUUUUCAAACAGCAACAUGUAUACUAGCAAAAUAAGCAUGGCAAAGGCUAUCCUUGACUUCUUUAUUGAAACUAAAGAUGCAAAACAUUAUUCUAAUUAAAAGCAAGCAAAAACUAACAAAAGGAAAAUGACGCUCCAAGAAAAACACAUAUCAUGUGGUGAAUUAAAAUAUAUCUCCAAGUAAAGUUACCGAUGAACGAAGACGAAAGAGGGGAUGCCUUCCGGGGCAUCCCCAAGCUUAGGCUCUUGGUUAUCCUUGAAUAUUACCUUGGGUUCCUUGGGAAUCCCUAAGCUUAGUCUCUUACCACUCCUUAUUCCAUAGUCCAUCGAAUCUUUACCCAAAACUUGAAAACUUCACAACACAAAACUUAACAGAAAACUCGUAAGCUCCGUUAGUAUAAGAAAACAAAAGACCACUUCAAGGUACUGUAAUGAAAUCAUUCUAAAUUCAUAUUAGUGUAAUAUCUACUGUAAUCCAACUUAUCUAUGGUUCAUACCCUCCGAUACUACUCAUAGAUUCAUCAAAAUAAGCAAACAACACAUAGAAAACAGAAUCUGUCAAAAACAGAACAGUCUGUAGUAAUCUGUAUCAAACGUAUACUUAUGGAACUCCAAAAAUUCUACCAAAUUAGGAAGUCCGACGAAAUUCGUGUACUAAUCCAGAGCAAAAGGAAUCAGAUCAGAAGCCCGGCCCUGUGAAUUAACAAAACUAAAUUACUGGGUGCAAAAGUUUCUGAUUUUCAGCAGGAUCAACACAACUAUCACCGUAAGCUAUCCUAAAGGUCUUACUUGGCACUUUAUUGAAACAAAAGCUAUAAAACAUGAUUACUACAGUAGCAUAAUCAUGUGAACACACAAAAACAGUAAGGAUAAGUAUUGGGUUGUCUCCCAACAAGCGCUUUUCUUUAAUGCCUUUCUAGCUAGGCAUGAUGAUGACAAUGAUGCUCACAUAAAAGAUAAGAAUUGAAACAUAACGGGAGCAUCAUGAAGCAUAUGACUAGCACAUUUAAGCCUAACCCACUUCCUAUGCAUAGGGAUUUUGUGAGAAAAUAACUUAUGGGAACAAUAGUCAACAAGCAUAGGAAGGUAACAUAAGUAUAGCUUCAAAACUUGAAGCACAUAGAGAGGAAACUUGAUAUUAUUGCAAUUCCUACAAGCAUAUGUUCCUCCCUCAAAAUAAUUUUCAGUAGUAUCAUGAAUGAAUUCAGCAAUGUAACCAGCACCUAAAGCAUUAUUUUCAUGAUCUACUAGCAUAGAACAUUUACUACUCUCCUCAUAAGCAAAAUUCUUCUCAUGAAUAGUAGUGGGAGCAAACUCAACAAAAUAACUAUCAUAUGAUUUAAAAUUAGGAUCAAGAUGACAAGUUUCAUGGUUAUCAUUAUUCUUUAAAGAAUACGUGUCAUCACAAUAAUCAUCAUAGAUAGGAGGCAUGCUUUCAUCAUAGUAAAUUUGCUCAUCAAAGCUUGGGGGACAAAAAAUAUCAUCUUCAUCAAACAUAGCUUCCCCAAGCUUGUGGCUUUGCAUAUCAUUAGCAUCAUGGAUAUUCAAGGAAUUCGUACUAACAACAUUGCAAUCAUGCUCAUCAUUCACAUAUUUUAUGCUAAGCAUUCUAUGUAAUUCUUCUUCUAGUACUUGAGCACAAUUUUCCUUUCCAUCAUACUCACGAAAGAUAUUAAAAAGAUGAAGCGUAUGAGACUCAAUUCCAUUUUUUCUGUAGUUUUCUUUUAUAGACUAACUAGUGCUAAAACAAGAAACAAAAAGAUUCAAUUGCAAGAUCUAAAGAUAUACCUUCACUUACCUAGCCUCCCCGGCAACGGCGCCAGAAAAGAGCUUGAUGUGUACUACACAACCUUCUUCUUGUAGACGUUGUUGGGCCUGCAAGUGCACAGGUUUUUGUAGGACAGUAGCAAAUUUCCCUCAAGUAGAUGACCUAAGGUUUAUUAAUCUGUAGGAGGCGUAGGAUGAAGAUGGUCUCUCUCAAACAACCCUGCAACCAAAUAACAAAGAGUCUCUUGUGUCCCCAACACACCCAAUACAAUGGUAAAUUAUAUAGGUGCACUAGUUCGGCGAAGAGAUGGUGAUACAAGUGCAAAAUAGAUAGUAGAUAUAGGUUUUUGUAAUCUGAAAUAAUAAAAACAGCAACGUAACUAAUGAUAAAAGUGAGUGUAAAUGGUAUUGCAAUGAUAGGAAACAAGGCCUAGGGUUCAUAUUUUCACUAGUGCAAGUUCUCUCAACAAUAAUAACAUAGAUAGAUCAUAUAAAAAGCCCUCAAUAUGCAACAAAGAGUCACUCCGAAGCCACUAAUAGCGGAGAACAAAUGUAGAGAUUAUGGUAGGGUACGAAACCACCUCAAAGUUAUUCUUUCGGAUCGAUCUAUAAAAGAGUUCGUACUAGAAUGACACCUUAAGAUACAAAUCAACCAAAACACUAAUGUCACCUAGAUACUCCAUUGUCACCUCAAGUAUCCGUGGGCAUGAUUAUACGAUAUGCAUCACACAAUCUCAGAUUCAUCCAACCAACAUAAAAGUACUUCAAAGAGUGCCCCACAGCUACAACCGGAGAGUCAAGAACGUGUGCCAACCCCUAUGCAUAGGUUCAUGGGUGGAACCCGCAAGUUGGUCAUCAAAAACAUACAUCAAGUGGCACAUGAUAUCCCAUUGUCACCAAAGAUAAUCACGGGAAUACAUACAUCAAGUGUUCAUAAAAGACUCAAUCCGAUAAGAUAACUUCAAAGGGGAAACUCAACUCAUCACAAGAGAGUAGAGGGGGAGAAACAUCAUAAGAUCCAACUACAAUAGCAAAGCUCGGGGUACAUCAAGAUCGUGCCAUAGAGGGAACACGAGAGAGAGAGAGAUCAAACACAUAGCUACUGGUACAUACCCUCAGCCCCGAGGGUGAACUACUCCCUCCUCAUCAUGGAUAGCGCCGGGGUGAUGAAGAUGGCCACCGGUGAUGGGAUCCGCCUCCGGCAGGGUGCCGGAACAGGGUCCCGAUUCGUUUUUGGUGGCUACAGAGGCUUGCGGCGGCGGAACUCCCAAUCUAUCUUCUGUUCUGGAAGUUUUAGGGUACGUAGGUAUAUAUGGGUGCAUGGUGUACGUCGGUGGAGCUACGGGGGCUCCNNNNNNNNNNNNNNNNNNNNNNNNNNNNNNNNNNNNNNNNNNNNNNNNNNNNNNNNNNNNNNNNNNNNNNNNNNNNNNNNNNNNNNNNNNNNNNNNNNNNNNNNNNNNNNNNNNNNNNNNNNNNNNNNNNNNNNNNNNNNNNNNNNNNNNNNNNNNNNNNNNNNNNNNNNNNNNNNNNNNNNNNNNNNNNNNNNNNNNNNNNNNNNNNNNNNNNNNNNNNNNNNNNNNNNNNNNNNNNNNNNNNNNNNNNNNNNNNNNNNNNNNNNNNNNNNNNNNNNNNNNNNNNNNNNNNNNNNNNNNNNNNNNNNNNNNNNNNNNNNNNNNNNNNNNNNNNNNNNNNNNNNNNNNNNNNNNNNNNNNNNNNNNNNNNNNNNNNNNNNNNNNNNUAACUUCUCCAGUUGAUUUCGUUCCAUUUUGACUCCGUCUGAUAUUCCUUUUCCUCGAAACACUGAAAUAGGCAUAAAACAGCAAAUCUGGGCUGGGCCUCCGGUUAAUAGGUUAGUCCCAAAAAUAAUAUAAAAGUGGAUAAUAAAGCCCAAUAUUGCCUAAAACAGUAGAUAAAGUAGCAUGGAGCAAUCAAAAAUUAUAGAUACGUUGGAGACGUAUCAGUUGCGAGAGGGAGCAAUGCAUGUUUGAUGACGAACGGAAAAGAUAGCUUCUUCUUACGGCCUUCAAUUUUUUUCUAUGUUUAACAUGCACUAAUACACCUGUCAUGUGAAAAUCUUGAAAAUUUCAGGGGUCAUUUGACCUUUUAAAGACAUUUUAGUGAUUUUCUAGCCAUUUAAUGACAGUAAUUCAAAUUUGAACUAUAAGUACAUGCAACGGCUAACCAUAACGGUUUGAAAACUCAUAUUUGUGUACUUGUCUGCAAGUUUAUUCCAUGUGCAGUAAAUUAUAAGGAAUUUUCAAACAUAUUGGUCUCACGGCAUGGGCACAUGCAUGGAGUGCCAUGGCAUUUUAAUUCCAAAAAAUUAAAAAAUGAUCAAAAAAACAUGAAACCUUGCUUGAUGUAAUGUCAUGCCACCAAGAUGAUGUGGUAAAAAAAUUGGCCUCUUUGACGAAAGUUUGGACACACACCCCUCAGAAACCGGAGCAACUCACUAGAAGGCUCAUGGUUGCGAGAGGGAACAAUGCAUGUUUGACGACGAACUGGAGAUAGCUUCCUCUUACGACCUUCAAUUUUUUUGUACGUUUAACAUGCACUAAUACAAUUCUCAUGUGAAAAUUUGAAAAAUUUCAGGGGUCAUUUGACCUUUUAAAGACAUUUAAGUGAUUUUCUAGUCAUUUAAUGAUAGUAAUUCAAAUUUGAACUACAUGUACAUGCAACGGCUAACCAUAACGGUUUGAAAAAUCAUACUUAUGUACUUGUGUGCGAGUUUAUUUCAUGUGCAGUAAAUUAUAAGGAAUUAUCAAACAUAUUGGUCUCACGACAUUGACACAUGCAUGGAGUGCCAUGGCAUUUUAAUUCCAAAAAAAUUAAAAAAUGGUCAGAAAAACAUGAAACCUUGCUUGAUGUAAUGUCAUGCCACCAAGAUGAUGUGGUAAAAAAAUUGGCCUGAUUGACGAAAGUUUGGAGACACCCCUCACAAACCGGAGCAACUCACUAGAAGGCUCGUGGUUUCGAGAGGGAACAAUGCAUGUUUGAGGACGAGCGGGAGAUAGAUUCCUUUUACGGCCUUCAAUUUUUUUCUAAGUUUAACGUGCACUAAUAACACUGUCAUGUGAAAAUUUAGAAAAUUUCAGGGGUCAUUUGACCUUUUAAAGACAUUUAAGGUAUUUUCUAGCCAUUUAAUGACCAUAAUUCAAAUUUGAACUACAUGUACAUGCCACGGCUAACCAUAACGGUUUGAAAAAUCAUAUUUGUGUACUUGUGUGCGAGUUAAUUCCAUGUGGAGUAAAUUAGAAGGAAUUUUCAAACAUAUUGGUCUCACGGCAUGGACACAUGCAUGUAGUGCCAUGACAUUUUAAUUCCAAAAAAUUAAAAAAUGAUCAGAAAAAUAUGAAACCUUGCUUGAUGUAAUGUCAUUCCACCAAGAUGAUGUGGUUAAAAAUUGGCCUGUGUGACGAAAGUUUGGACACACAACCCUCACAAACCGGAGCAACUCACUAGAAGGCUCAUGGUUCCGAGAGGGAACAAUGCAUGUUUGAUGACGAACGGGAGAUAGCUUCCUCUUACAGCCUUCAAUUUUUUAUACAUUUAACGUGCACUAAUACAAUUUUCAUGUGAAAAUUUGGAAUAUUUCAGGGGUCAUUUGACCUUUUAAGAACAUUUAAGUGAUUUUCUAGACAUUUAAUGACCAUAAUUCAAAUUUGAGCUACAUGUACAUGCAAAAGCUAACCAUAAUUGUUUGAAAAAUCAUAUUUGUGUAUUUGUGUGCGAGUUAAUUCCAUGUGCAGUAAAUUAUAAGGAAUUUUCAAAUAUAUUGGUCUCACGGCAUGGACACAUGCAUGGACUACCAUGGCAUUUUAAUUCGAAAAAAAUAAAAAAUGAUCAGAAAAACCUAAAAUCUUGCUUGAUGUAUGUAACACCCCGGAUGUAACUUUCCAUAAUUGUAACUCCAACUCUUGCCAUUUCCGGCUAUGUGUUGUGAUAUUUCCUUCGUGGUUGGGUUAUUACCUUUUGUUUUGUAUUUUGUUCAUGUCAUGCAUCUCAUCUCAUAGCAUCAUGCGCAUUGCAUCUGCAUGUUUUCAUAAAGCUUGCAUUCGUUCGUAGUUGCCGAGUUCCCCCUUGCCUUCGUUGACCGAUUCGAGUCCAACCGGGUUUUCGAUUCCCUCUUGUCUGACCGUAUGACCAUCUCUACACUUUACUCAGACCCCUCGCGCGCGUCCGAAAGUUGUCCCGAACCCGACCCGGGCUGUUGUGACCGAUGAGUCCGGAUCAUCCCUAAAAUAUCUUCGGUUCUUUGUUUGGGCUUCCUAACCUAUUUAUCUAGACCGUCUGAUUUCGGUCGGAGGGACUAGGUAGCCCCUAACCUAAUCCCACCUGCUAUGUAAGCAACCUAACCCUAGAUGUUAGGCAGGAUGUCCCAUCCAUCUCAUCGCCGCCGCCACUCCACAAAAUCCCCCUUGGGAUCUGAUGUCUACUACACAACCUUCUUCUUGUAGACGUUGUUGGGCCUGCAAGUGCACAAGUUUGUAGGACAGUAGCAAAUUUCCCUCAAGUGGAUGACCUAAGGUUUAUCAAUCCGUAGGAGGCGUAGGAUGAAGAUGGUCUCUCUCAAGCAACCCUGCAACCAAAUAACAAAGAGUCUCUUGUGUCCCCAACACACCCAAUAAAAUGGUAAAUUGUAUAGGUGCACUAGUUCGGCGAAGAGAUGGUGAUACAAGCGCAAAAUAGAUAGUAGAUAUUGGUUUUUGUAAUCUGAAAAUAUAAAAACAGCAACGUAACAAGUGGUAAAAGUGAGCGUAAACGGUAUUGCAAUGAUAGGAAACAAGGCCUACGGUUCAUACUUUCACUAGUGCAAGUUCUCUCAACAAUAAUAACAUAGAUAGAACAUAUGACAAGCCCUCAACAUGCAACAAAGAGUCACUCCAAAGACACUAAUAGCGGAGAACAAACAUAGAUAUUAUGGUCAGGUACGAAACCACCACAAAGCUAUUCUUUCGGAUCGAUCUAUAAAAGAGUUCGUACUAGAAUAACACCUUAAGAUACAAAUCAACCAAAACCCUAAUGUCACCUAGUUACUCCAUUAUCACCUCAAGUAUCCGUGGGCAUGAUUAUACGAUAUGCAUCACACAAUCUCAGAUUCAUUCAACCAACAUAAAAGUACUUCAAAGAGUGCCCCAAAGUUUCUACCGGAGAGUCAAGAACGUGUGCCAACCCCUAUGCAUAGGUUCCCAAGUGUCACGAAACCCGCAAGUUGAUCACCAAAACAUACAUCAAGUGGAUCAAUAGAAUAACCCAUUGUCACCACGGUUAUCCCACGCAAGACAUACAUCAAGUGUUCAUAAAAGACUCAAUCCAAUAAGAUAACUUCAAAAGGGGAAACUCAAUUCAUCACAAGAGAGUAGAGGGGGAUGAACAUCAUAAGAUUCAACUACAAUAGCAAAGCUCGGGAUACAUCAAGAUCAUGCCAUAGAGGAACACGAGAGAGAACACGAGAGAGAGAGAGAGAGAUCAAACACAUAGCUACUAGUACAUACCCUCAGCCCCGAGGGUGAACUACUCCCUCCUCGUCAUGGGUAGCACCGGGAUGAUGAAGAUGGCCUCCGGUGAUGGGAUCCCCCUCCAGCAGGGUGCUGGAACGGGGUCCCGAUUGGUUUUUGGUGGCUACAGAGGCUUGCGGCGGCGGAACUCCCGAUCUAUUUUCUGUUCUGGAAGUUUUAGGGUACGUAGGUAUAUAUGGGUGCAGGCAGAACGUCGGUGGAGCUACGGGGGUCCCACGAGGCAGGGGGCGCGCCCAGGGGGGAGGGCGCGCCUCCCACCCUCGUGAGCACCUCACGUAUCUUUUGAUGUGGGGUCUAAGUCCAUCAGGUGGGUUUCCUUCCAAAAAUAACUUCUCCAGUUGAUUUCGUUCCGUUUUGACUCCGUCUGAUAUUCAUUUUCCUCGAAACACUGAAAUAGGCAUAAAACAGCAAAUCUGGGCUGGGCCUCCGGUUAAUAGAUUAGUCCCAAAAAUAAUAUAAAAGUGGAUAAUAAAGCCCAAUAUUGCCUAAAACAGUAGAUAAAGUAGCAUGGAGCGAUCAAAAAUUAUAGAUACGUUGGAGACGUAUCAAGCAUCCCCAAGCUUAAUUCCUGCUCAUCCUCGAGUAGGUAAAUGAUAAAAAAGAAUUUUUGAUGCGGAGUGAUACUUCGGUGUAAUUUCGAUGUAAAUCUUCUUAAUCAUGGUAUGAAUAUUCAGAUCCGAAAGAUUCAAGAUCAAAGUUCAUAUUGACAUAAAAAUAAUAAUACUUCAAGCAUACUAAUCAAACAAAUCAUGUCUUCUCAAAAUAACAUGGCAAAAGAAAGUUCAUCCCUACAAAAUCAUAUGGUUAGGCUAUGCUUCGUUUUCGUCAUACAAAGAUGUUCCCAACUUCUAUACCCCCGAUGACAAGCCAAGCAAUUGUUUCAUACUCAAAUAAUCUCAAACUUUUUCAACCUUUACGCAAUACAUGAGCAUGAGCCAUGGAUAUAGCACUAUGGGUGGAAUAGAAUAUGAUGAUGGGGAUUGUGUGGAGAAGACAAAAAAGGAGAAAGUCUCACGUUGACGAGGCUAAUCAACGGGCUAUGGAGAUGCCCAUCAAUUGAUGUCAACAUGAGGAGUAGGGGUUGCCAUGCAACGGAUGCACUAGAGCUACGAAUGCUCAACAAAAGAAAACUAGUGGGUGUGCAUCCAACUUGCUUGCUCACGAAGACCUAGGGCAUUUGAGGAAGCCCAUCGUAGGAAUAUACAAGCCAAGUUCUAUAAUCAAAAAUUCCCACUAGUAUAAAAAAAAGACAACUUAUGAGACUCACUACAUGAAGAACAAGGUGCUACUUUGAAGCACAAUAUAUGAGACUCACUACAUGAAGAACAAGGUGCUACUUUGAAGCACAAGUGUGGAAAAAGAGAUAGUAGCAUUGCCCUUUAUUUUUUUUAUUUUUUUUAUUUUCUUUUUUUGGGCCCUUUUUUUUAUUUUGGCCUUUCUCUUUUCUUUUUUUUGGGCCUUUCCUUUUUUUCUUUUCUUGGCCUUUCUUUUUUUUAUUUGGGCAAUGCUCUAAUAAUGAUGAUCAUCACACUUCUAUUGAUUACAACACAAGGAUUACAACUCGAAACUUAGAACAAGAUAUGACUCUAUAUGAAUGCCUCCGGCGGUGUACCGGGAUGGUGCAAUGAAUCAAGAGUGACAUGUAUGGAAAAUAAUGCAUGGUAGCUUUGCCACAAAUACGAUGUCAACUACAAGAUCAUGCAAUGGCAAUAUGACAAAAGUAAUGCAUGUCACGAUGGAUGGUGGAAGUUGCAUGGCAAUAUAUCUCGGAAUGGCUAUGGAAAUGCCAUGAUAGGUAGGUAUGGUGGCUGUUUUGAGGAAGAUAUAAGGAGGUUUAUGUGUGAUAGAGCGUAUCGUAUCAUGGGGUUUGGAUGCACCGGCGAUGUUUGUGCCAACUCUCAAGGUGAGAAAGGGCAAUGCACGGUACCGAAGAGGCUAGCAAGGGCGGAAAGGUGGGAGUGCGUAUAAUCCAUGGACUCAACAUUAGUCAAAAGAACUCAUAUACUUAUUGCAAAAAUUUAGAAGUCAUCAAAAAUCAAGUACUACGCGCAUGGUCCUAGGGGGAUAGAUUGGUAGGAAAAGACCAUCGCUCGUUCCCGACCGCCACUCAUAACGAUGCACAAUCCAGGUACACUUCAUGUUUCAAAUUUGUUACACAACUUUAACCAUACAUGCAUGCUACGGGACUUGCAAACUUCAACACAAGCAUUCUUUGAAUUCAUAAUCACCCAACUAGCAUGACUUUUAUAUUAUCACCUCCAUAUCUCAAAACAAUUAUCAAGCAUCAAACUUAUCUUAGUAUUCAACACACUCAUAAGAAAGUUUCACAUAUCUUGAAUACCAAGUAUAUUAACAUUAAGCAAAUUACCAUGCUAUUAACGACUCUCAAAAUAAUCUAAGUAAAGCAUGAGAGAUCAAUAGUUUCUUUAAAACAAAUCCACCACCAUGCUCUAAAAGAUAUAAGUGAAGCACUAGAGCAAAAUUAUCAUGCUCAAAAGAUAUAAGUGGAGCACUAGAGCAAAACUAUCAAGCUCAAAAGAUAUAAGUGAAGCACAAAGAGUAUUCUAGCAAAUUCCAAUUCAUGUAUGGCUCUCUCUCAUUAAAGGAUUUCAGAUCUUGAUACUUAUUCAAAUAGCAAGCAAAGAUAAAGAAAACUACAUUGCAAGGAUAGCACAACUCAUGUGAAGAAGCAAAAACUUAGGCUCAACUGAUACUAACCGAUAGUUGUCGAAGAAGAAAGGUGGGAUGCCUACCGGGGCAUCCCCAAGCUUAGAUGCUUGAGACUUCUUGAAAUAUUAUCUUGGGGUGCCUUGGGCAUCCCCAAGCUUGAACUUUUGUGUCUCCUUAAUUCCUCUCAUAUCAUGGUUUCUCUUUUUAUCAAAAGCUUCAUUCACAAUAAACUCAACAAGAACUCAUGAGAUAGGUUAGUAUAAACCAAUGCAAAACCUUGUCAUUUUCUACUGUAACAAAUCACUAAAAUUAUUAUUCAACAUUGAAUACUAAAUGCUUCUGCAUAUUUAAUACUCCUAUCCUCAAAUAGAAUCAUUAAACAAGCAAACAUAUGCAAACAAUGCAACCAUAACAGCAAUCUGUCAAAACAGUACAGUCUGUAAAGAAUGCAAGAGUAUCAAUACUUCCCUGACUCCAAAAAUUAUGAACUAAACUUCCCACAGUAAUAAAUUUGCCAGAUCUCAAUAUGCAAAAAGAUUCAAUGUUAGACCAUGCUCUGACUUUUCUAGGGAAUUUUUGCAACAGCGGUAAACUUUCUGUUUUCAAACAGCAACAUGCAAACUAGCAAAAUAAGCAUGGGAAAGGCUAUCCUUGACUUUUUUAUUGAAACUAAAGAGGAAAAACACUUCUAACUAACAGCAAGAAAAAACUAACAAAAGAAAUUGACACUCCAAGCAAAACACAUAUCAUGUGGCGAAUAAAAAUAUAGCUCCAAGUAAAGUUACCGAUGAACGAAGACGAAAGAGGGGAUGCCUUCCGGGGCAUCCCCAAGCUUAGGCUCUUGUUUGUCCUUGAAUAUUACCUUGGGGUGCCUUGGGCAUCCCCAAGCUUAGGCUCUUGCCACUCCUUAUUCCAUAGUCCAUCGAAUCUUUACCCAAAACUUGAAAACUUCAACCACACAAAACUCAAAACAAAACUCGUAAGCUCCAUUAGUAUAAGAAAAUAAAACCACCACUUAGGUACUGUAAUGAACUCAUUCUAAAUUCAUAUUGGUGCAAUAUCUACUGUAUUCUAACUUAUCUAUGGUUCAUACCCUCAAUACUAGCCAUAGAUGCAUCAAAAUAAGCAAACAACACAUAGAAAACAGAAUCUGUCAAAAACAGAACAGUCUGCAGUAAUCUGUAUAAAACGUAUACUUCUGGAACCCCAAAAAUUAUGAAAUAAAUUGCUGAACCUGAUAAAUUUGUCUAUUAAUCAUCUGAAAAAAGAAUCAACCUAAAAUCAUUCUCCAGUAAAAAAUGGCAGCUAAUCGCGUGAGCGCUAAACUUUCUGUUUUUCACAGCAAGAUCACAUAAACUUCACCCAAGUCUUCCCAAAGGUUUUACUUGGCACUUUAUUGAAACAAAAGCUAUAAAACAUGAUUACUAAAUUAGCAUAAUCAUGUGGACACACAAAAACAGUAAGGAUAAAUAUUGGGUUGUCUCCCAACAAGCGCUUUUCUUUAAUGCCUUUUAGCUAGGCAUGAUGAUGACAAUGAUGCUCACAUAAAAGAUAAGAAUUGAAACAUAACGGGAGCAUCAUGAAGCAUAUGACUAGCACUUUUAAGUCUAACCCACUUCCUAUGCAUAGGGAUUUUCUGAGCAAACAACUUAUGGGAACAAUAAUCAACAAGCAUAGGAAGGUAACGCAAGCAUAGCUUCAAGAAUUUAAGCACAUAGAGAGGAAACUUGAUAUUAUUGCAAUUCCUACAAGCAUAUGUUCCUCUCUCAUAAUAAUUUUCAGUAGCAUCAUGAAUGAAUUCAACAAUCUAACCAGCACCUAAAGCAUUUUUUUCAUGAUCUACUAGCAUGGAAAAUUCACUACUCUCCACAUAAACAAAUUUCUUCUUUAUAGCAUAUGUAUCAUCACAAUAAUCAUCAUAAAUAGGAGGCAUGCUUUCAUCAUACUAAAUUUUAUCAUCAAAGCUUGGGGGACAAAAAAUAUCAUCUCCAUCAAACAUAGCUUCCCCAAGCUUGUGGCUUUGCAUAUCAUUGGCAUCAUGGAUAUUCAAAGAAUUCGUACUAACAACAUUGCAAUCAUGCUCAUCAUUCAAAAAUUUAGUACCAAACAUUCUAUAGAUUUCUUCUUCAAGCACUUGAGCACAAUUAUCCUUUCCAUCAUACUCGCGAAAGAUAUUAAAAAGGUGAAGUGUAUGAGAUAAACUCAACACCAUUUUUUUUGUAAUUUUCUUUUAUAAACUAGACUAGUGCUAAAACAAGAAACAAAAAGAUUCGAUUGCAAGAUCUAAAGAUAUACCUUCACUUACCUAGCCUCCCCGGCAACGGCGCCAGAAAAGAGCUUGAUGUCUACUACACAACCUUCUUCUUGUAGACGUUGUUGGGCCUGCAAGUGCACAGGUUUGUUGGACAAUAGCAAAUUUCCCUCAAGUGGAUGACCUAAGGUUUAUCAAUCCGUAGGAGGCGUAGGAUGAAGAUGGUCUCUCUCAAGCAACCCUGCAACCAAAUAACAAAGAGUCUCUUGUGUCCCCAACACACCCAAUACAAUGGUAAAUUCUAUAGGUGCACUAGUUCGGCGAAGAGAUGGUGAUACAAGUGCAAAACAGAUAGUAGAUAUCGGUUUUUGUAAUCUGAAAAUAUAAAAACAGCAAGGUAACAAGUGGUAAAAGUGAGCGUAAACGGUAUUGCAAUGAUUGGAAAUAAGGCCUAGGGUUCAUACUUUCACUAGUGCAAGUUCUCUCAAAAAUAAUAACAUAGAUAGAACAUAUGACAAGCCCUCAACAUGCAACAAAGAGUCACUCCAAAGACACUAAUAGCGGAGAACAAACGUAGAGAUUAUGGUCGGGUACGAAACCACCACAAAACUAUUCUUUCGGAUCGAUCUAUAAAAGAGUUCGUACUAGAAUAACACCUUAAGAUACAAAUCAACCAAAACCCUAAUGUCACCUAGUUACUCCAUUAUCACCUCAAGUAUCCGUGGGCAUGAUUAUACGAUAUGCAUCACACAAUCUCAGAUUCAUUCAACCAACAUAAAAGUACUUCAAAGAGUGCCCCAAAGUUUCUACCGGAGAGUCAAGAACGUGUGCCAACCCCUAUGCAUAGGUUCCCAAGUGUCACGAAACCCGCAAGUUGAUCACCAAAACAUACAUCAAGUGGAUCAAUAGAAUAACCCAUUGUCACCACGGUUAUCCCACGCAAGACAUACAUCAAGUGUUCAUAAAAGACUCAAUCCAAUAAGAUAACUUCAAAAGGGGAAACUCAAUUCAUCACAAGAGAGUAGAGGGGGAUGAACAUCAUAAGAUUCAACUACAAUAGCAAACCUCGGGAUACAUCAAGAUCAUGCCAUAGAGGAACACGAGAGAGAACACGAGAGAGAGAGAGAGAGAUCAAACACAUAGCUACUAGUACAUACCCUCAGCCCCGAGGGUGAACUACUCCCUCCUCGUCAUGGGUAGCGCCGAGAUGAUGAAGAUGGCCUCCGGUGAUGGGAUCCCCCUCCGGCAGGGUGCCGGAACGGGGUCCCGAUUGGUUUUUGGUGGCUACAGAGGCUUGCGGCGGUGGAACUCCCGAUCUAUUUUCUAUUCUGGAAGUUUUAGUGUACGUAGGUAUAUAUGGGUGCAGGGAGAACAUCGGUGGAGCUACGGGGGUCCCACGAGGCAAGGGGGCGCGCCCAGGGGGGAGGGCGCGCCUCCCACCCUCGUGAGCACCUCACGUAUCUUCUGACGUGGGGUCCAAGUCCAUCAGGUGGGUUUCCUUCCAAAAAUAACUUUGUCUCCAGUUGAUUUCGUUCCGUUUUGACUUCGUCUGAUAUUCCUUUUCCUCGAAACACUAAAAUAGGCAUAAAACAGCAAAUCUGGGCUGGGCCUCCGGUUAAUAGGUGUCACAUCCCUAGUUCUGGUAUGACCUAGACUAGCUAGUCAUUUGUGCAUCAUGUUUAUAUUCCAUUUAAAUUUGAAAUGAGGAUUGGUGGAACCCUCAGAAUCAUUUUUGAAAAUGACCCAAAUAAAAAUUUCUCCAAAAGGGUCCAAGAAAAUGCUCAUGUUGCUCUCUGAAAAUAUUGGGCAGAGAUAAAAAAAUCAAACCAAUAUUUCUAGGAUCUCAUAAGUAUUUAAUUUUGGCCAUUUGGAUUAAUCCGAUAAUUAUUUGCCUUGGAUAUAUAUUGUUAUAUAUAUAUAAUAUGGUCCAAAAACUAUGCCAUUUAUUAAGGGGCUCUGGAAUAAUAUAAUUAGCUCCUGCAAAAAUUGGCAUAGGGUAAUAAAUUGAUUUAGUAUUAUUACUAAAUCAAAACAAAUGUCAGAGAAAGUAGAAAACAGAAAAACAGAAAAAAAAACCUUACCUGGGCUUCUUACCUGGCGCCUCUGGGCCAGCAAGCCAGCCCAGCCCACCACCGCCGUCGUCCUCCUGGCGCCAGUCGGCCAGGCGUGUGGCUGACGUGCGCGCAUGGGCGGAGCGCCACGCCACCAGCUCGCCUGCCUGCCUACCCUGCCAGCGCGACGCCGCGACGCUUCUUCUCGGUGCCGCCCCGAUCCCCUGGCCUUACCCCCCUCUCUCCCGUGCUUUUCCCCUUCUCUCUCUCUCUCACCCGAAGCACCGCCGUCGCCGCAGCUCACCACCGACGCGCUCCCUGCCGUCCCCUCGCCCCUUCGUAGAGUCCACGAGCUCCGCCACGACCCCCUCCACCUCCUCGUCGAGCCACGCACCUCCGGAUGGCCUCCAUCAUCGCCACCCUCGUCGUCUCCAUCACCGGCUGCCCGAGAUUGCCGACGACGCCCCGGCCGCACUAGUGCUUCCCCGAGCCCACUGACGCCUUCGCUGGAUCCACCGUGAGCAUCGCCACCGUUCCCCUCUCUUCUCCCCCUCAUCUCCGCGCCGUAGCUCCGUUCCCCACCAUGGCCGAAGCCAUCGCCGCCGCAGCUCCUCGCCGUCGUGGCCACAGCCACUGCAGGCCGCAGCCGAGCUCGCCGUUGCACUCAGUGCACUCUGGCAAGUCGCGCGGACCCACUCGCAGCCUCCCUAGCGCCCUGCAGCGCCUAACCCGCAUAGACCGAACUCCAGCAGCCGCAGCCGAGCUCGCCGCCGUCGACUCCGGCCAUCCCAGGCCCAGCCACGGCCACCGCCCGACGCGCCAUCGAGCUAGCUUUCCAACGCACCUAGCCGCGCGCCAUUUGGAGCACCACAGAGGAAACCCGAGGCACAUGUACGCCGCGGACCUCGCCGGCGACUAACCGUCGGCGGGUUUGACUUGUUCGACCUGGGGUUUGACCCCCCCAGGGUCACUGACGCGUGGGCCCCGUCGGCCAGGCGAUUAGCUUAGUGCUAAUCACCGUUAACUAACCCCCUGACACUGACAGUGGGCCCCAGCACCACUAACCUUUUUAAUUAAGUUAAUCUAACCCUGUUUAACCCCCUGACACUGACGUGUGGACCCCACACGUCAGGUUUGACCCUAGCCAGCCGCAGUUGACCUGCUGACGUCAUGCUUACUCAAUGCUGACGCAAUAAAAUGAUUUCUGGAUUUAAAUUAAAUCAGGAAAUUCCAGAAAUUGAUUUAAACUUCAAAAAUUCAUAUCAAUUCAACCGUAGCUCAGAUUAAAAUAAUUUAUAUAUGAAAAAUUAUCAGAAAAAUGCAAUCUUUCCAUCUGUACUAGUUUCAUGCAUGACAAACCAACUUAUACUUGCUGUAUAGGUGAAAACACAUUAUGGCAUAUAUAGGAGCUUAAUUUGGAGAUGCAUUUGAACCUUUGGUUCAAAUGGACUUCAAACCAAAUGGAUACCAGUUGCAUUAGCUCAAACAACAUCACAUCUUCAUGCCAUGUUCAUGCAUCAUAUUGUUGCAUAUGUUUGUGUAUUGAUUGCCGACACUGUUCCUUCUCGAUAGGUCCUGCUCUAGAGUCCGUUCCAGAGUGCCUGUCUAUGAAGCAGUGCCUCCCUUGUUGAUCUACCAGGCAAGCAAAACCCCUUGUUCAUUCCGAUAAAAUCCUACUCUCUCGCUCCUGCUCUCAGUUAUUGCAUUAGGACAACAACGAUUCAUCUGCUACUUUGUGCUGCGGUAGUUGAACCCAUUCCUCUGCAUGACCUGUCAUUGUCACAGUAAAUAGUUGAAACCCACUAGCAUGUGUAGGAGUUGAUUGAAGCCAUUGUUGUGUUCCUACCAUGCUAUGCCUGCUAUUGCUUAGAGUUGUGUCAGGUCUGAUUCAUUGGGAAUGAAUUGGAGUGUUACGAUAUGUUCUGGUGCUGAGAGUUAAGUGUGUGAACACGAUUUGGUAAAGGUAGCGGUGAGAGGCCAUGUAGGAGUACAUGGUGGGUUGUCUCACUGGAACCGCCCUUAAGCACUGAGUUCUAUGUAUGUUGUCCAAUGACUCGAUACUACCACACAUUGGGUUCCGGUAACUCGACCCCUCUCGACUUAUUAACCAACUUGAUCUCUGUCCAGGAGUCGCAACUAGUUUCUGGUGUUUGUAGGUAGUGUUAGUAGUCUACCAAGUGGCACCCGGCCAGGUGGGCUUGGGACAGACUAGGCACCAGUGGCACGGUGUACCAAGCGUAGAUCCAUCCGGUGAGGUGGGCUUGGGAACCCUGCACACAUCGUUUGGGGCCGUGAGUGAAACCCCGGCCGGAUCUCCUUGCGGAUGGAACCCGAAUAGGCGAUAAACCUGGAUUGGAGUCUUGUGUGGUUAGUCAGGUCGUGGCCGACACCCUCGCCAGGCUUCCGCUUGAAGGUUGCCGAGAUACAUGACGUGUACAUGGCGGUAAGUGGCGAGAGCGUGUGUGAAGAAGUACACCCCUGCAGGGUUAACAUGAUCUAUUCGAAUAGCCGGGUCCGCGGUUAUGGACUUCUUGGAUGCCUACAUGGUACAUAGACAACUUGAAGUGGAUACUCUAAAAUGCUCAAGACAAGUGUGAGUGCUAUGGAUGGCCUUCUCGUAGGGAGACGGGGAUGAAUCCAUAGUAGUGUAUUGUGUGGUGAUUAGUGGACUCGUGUACGUUGUCUCACCUCAAGAUUUUCUGGUAGUCGUAGAACAGGAUAGCCACAGAGUCAAAGCUGGCUUGCUGCAACUAAACCCCACAUUACCCUCUUGAUACAAAUGCAUGUAUGAUAGGAUCUGAUGUAAGUCUUGCAGAGUACCUCUGUACUCAUGUUGCUUUAUUUAUGUUUUUGCAGCGGAGACUUUGGUCUUAUUAGUGUUCUCAUGGACUUCGACGAGUAGCUUGUACCUCAGCUACGAUCUUGAUCGGACGUUGUAGAUAGUCAGGCUUUCAGCCUUUUUCAUUUAUAAAUGUCUGUACUCAGACAUGUAAUGCUUCCGUUUGUUGCUUGAUUGCUCUGACUGUUGGGUCAUGUGACCCCUGUUUGUAAUAAUGCUAUGAUGGCUCUUCUGAGCCUUUAUCUAUAUGAGUUGUUGAGUAAUGCUGUGAUGCCAUGUUGUACAGCACAUACUUGCAUGUUAUGCGUACGUGUAAUGUGUAUUGCUAUGUGUGGGAUCUGACUAUCUAGUUGUUUAUCCUUAGUAGUCUCUCUUACCGGGAAAUGUCUCCUAGUGCUUCCACUGAGCCCUGGUAGCUUGCUACUGCUCCAGAACACUUAGGCUGGCCGGCAUGUGUCCUUCUUCGUUCCUGUAUCUGUCCCUUUGGGGAAAUGUCACGCGAUGAAUACCGGAGUCCUAAUAGCCCGCUACAGUCCGGGUCACCGGAGUCCUGUUAGCCCAGUGCUACAGCCUGGAUUCACUCGCUGAUGACCGACACGUUCGAUGCUGGGUCAUGGAUGCCCGUCCCUGUAAGUUAGUGCCACUUUGGGUUUACGACUAGCCAUGUCAGCCCGGGCUCUUUAUCAUAUGGAUGCUAGCGACACCAUCAUAUACGUGUGCCAAAAGACGCAAACGGUCCCGGGCAAAGGUAAGGCGACACCCGUGGGGAUACCGUGCGUGAGGCCGCAAAGUGAUAUGAGGUGUUACAUGCUAGAUCGAUGUGGCAUUGAGUCGGGGUCCUUAAAGCGUUGGUAUCAGAGCCUGACUGCCUGUAGGAUUACCAAGCCAAUCUGGUCGAAGUUGAGUCUAGAAAAUCCUUAGUUAUGUAAGGGAAUUGAUUGUGGGAAGGAACGUAAGGCUCUUUUUACUUCUUAUACCUCAUGGCCUUCUGAUCUGAGUCAUCCUAUCUUUCCGACGGGGUUAAGGAACUAGGCUUCUCUUCCCUCUAUCAGGAUCACGUGUUACCACUCCGUAGUCCCAUAGGAUUGGUUGAUCAGAGUCAUACCCCAGUUUCGAGUACUCCCGGUGUAGUCUGUUUAGUAUGAUCUCAGAACCUUGAGUGAUGAUGUUGAGCAUGUACCACACCAUUUUAGUAGGUUGUCUCAUUCUGAGCAUUUUACUGCCGUUAUGCUGCCGGAAUUUCCUUAGGAGUUCGGGAGAUACUAAUUCCUUGUCCUACAUUCUACAGUCCAUAGUUGUUGCUGAUUCCGUCCUUGGUUCGUUUCUCAGGAUGUCAUCAGCUAAGCGAAGUUCCGUUGCUCGUAGCCAGAACCACGGAGAUGGUAGGGAUGAGGAUCCUCCCGACUAGCCUUUGUUGACAGAGUUCAUGUUAGAGAUGGAGAGGAACAAGCAUGAGUCUAACCGUUUGUUGGCACGUAUCAAGGAGAACACCGCACAUCAGUUCAAAGGAUCUGUGACCAUUCAUGACUUUAUCCGCUUGCACCCACCCACCUUUCAUCAUUCCAUUGAGCCACUCGAUGCAGAUGACUGGCUCCGUAGCAUCACCCAUAAGCUGCGUUCCGCGAACGUAGCUGAAGAUGACAAGGUCACUUAUGCCACAUGUCACCUGGAAGGUCCUGCUAGUCUUUGGUGGCAGAACUAUGAGGCUAUGCUUCCAGCUGGCCAGAUUCCUACUUGGAGGGAUUUCGUUGAGGCUUUUCGCGAGCAUCACAUUCCUGAAGCCCUCAUCGAUCGCAAGAGAGAAGAGUUCUGUAGUUUCACCCAGGGUAAGAUGGUUGUUGAUGCCUAUAGUAGAGAGUUUGAGAACCUCGCCCGUUAUGCCACAGAAGAGGUGUCCACGGACGCCAAGAGGCAGGCUAGGUUCCGCAAGGGUCUCAACCCCAAGUUGCGUCGUGAUCUCCACCUGCAUCAUUGUGAUACAUUCCAAGCCCUUGUGAACAAGGCCAUUAAUGCAGAGACAACUCAACUCACUUACGAGGAGUCUCGUAAGCACACUCAUGAUUUGGGAUCUUCCUCCGGUUGUAGCUCUCAGAAGCGCCGGAUUUGGGUUCCAAAUUCCGCUCUUCCUUCCGGUUAUGCACCGAGGCUAUCCCAUGUGGUGCCUCCUCCAGCUCAGUCAUAUGUUCCACCCAGGCCUACUGGUAGACCGCUUGUUAAUGCGGGUCCACAUCCUACCUCCAAGAUUUGUUACAAGUGCGGAGAGCCAGGCCACAUUGCCCGUAUUUGCACUCAGACCAGAGUUGCUCCACCCCAGCCCGAGAAGUCUAUUGGCCAUGGUAAGCCAUCACGCAAGAUGAUCAGUGCCAAGACAGCUCCCACUGAACAUGGACGUGUGCAUCACGUCUCAGCUACAGCCGCUCAUGAUGAUCCAUAUGUCGUUCUUGGUACACUCCUUGUCAACUGUCAUCCGGCAUCGGUUUUGUUCGAUACUGGAGCGUCUCAUUCCUUCAUUUCUGAAAGCUAUGCCUGCUUGCACGACAUGUCAUUUUGUGAUAUGCCCUCCCCAUUACUUAUUCAAACUCCUGGAUCCAAAUGGCAAACUUCUAGGAUAAGUUAUGGCAAUGAAAUUCUUGUUGACAGACUUGUAUUCCUUGCUUCCUUGAUAUCUCUCAAGUCUUCGGAUAUUAACAUCAUCUUGGGUAUGGACUGGAUGACAGCUCAUCAUGCCAAGAUUGAUUGUUUCACCAGGUCUGUUCAGCUCACACACCCAUCUGGCAAGAUAGUCACUGUCUCCACUAGAGUUGCAAAGCGUCAGCUCUAUUCCCUUAAUGCCAGCCCUCUUCCAGACCUUGAAGAUAUCCCGAUAGUCCGUGACUUUCCGGAUGUCUUUCCAGAGGAACUGCCAGGUGUUCUGCCUGACAGAGAUGUAGAGUUCGUCAUAGAUCUUAUCCCAGGAACUGCUCCAAUCUCUAGGAGACUCUACAAGAUGGCACCCUUAGAACUAGCCGAGCUUAAGAAACAACUUGAUGAGUCCUUGCAAAAGGGUUUCAUCUGUCCCAGUUCUUCUCCUUGGGCUUGCCCCAUCCUCUUCGUCAAGAAGAAGGAUGGUACGGACCGGAUGGUUGUAGAUUAUCGUCCCGUUAAUUUGGUCACGAUAAAGAACAAAUAUCCGCUCCCCAGGAUCAACGAUCUGUAUGAUCAGCUCGCUGGAUCCUCAGUUUUCUCCAAGAUGGAUUUGAGGUUAGGAUACCACCAAAUUAAGAUCAGAAACGAGGACAUUCCCAAGACAGCUUUUGUCACUCGUUAUGGCCAGUACGAGUACACCGUCAUGUCCUUUGGCCUAACCAACGCCCCAGCCACAUUCUCCCGCUUGAUGAACUCGAUCUUCAUGGAGUACUUAGAUAAGUUCGUCGUGGUUUACCUCGAUGAUAUUCUUAUCUACUCGAAGAACGAGGAAGAGCAUGCCGAACAUCUUAGACUUGUGUUAGAAAAACUCAGAGAGCACCGCCUUUAUGCCAAGUUCUCCAAGUGUGAAUUUUGGUUGCCAGAAGUGACCUACCUAGGCCACGUAAUCUCUGGUAAGGGCAUUGCUGUCAAUCCCGAGAGAGUUCAGGCUGUUCUCGAUUGGACUCCACCUGAGACCGUUAAACAAGUUAGGAGUUUCCUUGGUCUAGCCAGCUAUUGUCACCGCUUUGUUGAAAACUUCUCCAAAGUAGCCAAACCCCUCACGGAACUUCUCAAGAAAGAUAAAAAGUUUGAGUGGUCCCCAUAGUGUGAGUACAGUUUUCAGGAACUGAAAAGGCGCCUGACUUCUGCCCCCAUACUUGUGCCACCGGAUUUCACAAAGGACUUUGUUAUCUAUUGUGACGCCUCACGACAGGGACUAGGUUGCAUUCUUAUGCAGGAUCGUCAUGUGAUUGCCUAUGCAUCUCGACAGUUGCAUCCACAUGAGGAGAAUUAUCCUACGCAUGAUCUAGAGCUUGCAGCCGUAGUCUAUGCACUCAAGACCUGGCGACAUUACCUCCUUGGUAAACGUUGCGAGAUCUACACUGAUCACCAGAGCCUCAAGUAUAUGUUCACCCAACCGGAUCUGAACCUUAGGCAAAGACGUUGGUUGGAGUUAAUCACAGAUUAUGAUCUAGGGAUUACCUACACCCCAGGCAAAGCCAAUGUCAUGGCUGAUGCUCUAAGCCGUAAAUCCUAUUGCAACAAUCUCAUGUUGCAGCAAGGCCAACCACUUCUCCAUGAGGAAUUCUGUAAGCUUAAUCUUCACAUAGCUCCUCGCGGAUUUCUUUCUACCUUGGUGGCGAAACCUACCCUUGUGGAUCUUAUCAUAGAAGCCCAGAAGCAUGAUAAGGGGAUUACCCGGAUCAAGAGAAACAUUGCCAAGGGUAUUGCUGGUAGUUUCUCUAUAGAUGAUCGAGGUGUUGUUUUCUUUGGGAACCGCCUGGUGGUCCCCAAGAAGCAACAUCUUCGACAAUUGAUUCUCAAGGAGGCGCAUGAAUCUCCUCUCACGAUUCAUCCCGGUAGUACUAAGUUGUAUCAGGACCUACACCAGAGGUUCUGGUGGACUAGGAUGAAGAGAGAAAUCGCUGAGUUCAUUGCUAAAUGUGACGUUUGUCGUCGCGUUAAGGCAGAGCAUCAAAGACCUGCUGGCACCCUUCAGCCUUUAGCUAUUCCUGAAUGGAAAUGGGAUAAAGUUGGUAUGGACUUCAUCACCGGCUUUCCCAGGACCAAAAGAGGGAAUAACGCUAUCUUCGUAGUCGUUGAUCGUCUUUCCAAAGUGGCUCACUUCCUACCUGUUCGAGAGAGUAUCACUGCUAGUCAGCUUGCUGACUUAUACAUUUCUCGAAUAGUGUCACUCCAUGGUGUUCCACUAGAGAUCAAUUCAGACCGUGGCAGUCUUUUCACUUCUCAUUUCUGGGAGAGUUUCCAAACUGCCAUGGGAACCCAUCUUUCCUUCAGUACCGCUUUCCACCCUCAGUCGAGUGGUCAGGUGGAACGGGUCAAUCAAAUUCUCGAAGACAUGCUCAGAGCUUGCGUUAUCUCAUUCGGUAUGGAUUGGGAGAAAUGUCUUCCUUUUGCCGAGUUUGCUUAAAACAAUAGCUAUCAAUCCAGCCUCAAGAAAGCUCCUUUUGAGGUUCUCUAUGGACGAAGAUGUCGAACACCUUUGAACUGGUCAGAAACCGGUGAAAGAAAAUUCUUUGGACCGGACAUGAUCCAGGAGGCAGAAGAGCAAGUUCGCAUCAUUCGUGAGAAUUUGAAAACAUCCCAAUCUCGUCAAAAGAGCCAGUAUGACUGUCGUCAUAAGGAAGUGGCUUACGAAAUUGGUGACAAGGCUUACCUUCGGGUUACUCCUUUGAAGGGUACCCAUCGUUUCGGUAUCAAGGGCAAGUUGGCUCCUCGUUACAUUGGUCCUUUUCGUAUUCUCGCUAAACGAGGAGAGGUUGCCUACCAAUUGGAACUACCCCCACAUCUUUCUCGAGUUCAUGAUGUCUUCCACGUCUCUCAACUCAGGCGUUGCUUCUCGGAUCCCAUCCGCGGAGUGGACCACGAAACGCUUGAUCUCCAAGAUAACCUCACAUACCGAGAGUACCCGGUUCGCAUUCUUGAUCAAGCAGAGCGUGUCACUCGACGUCAGAACAUCAAGUUUCUCAAAGUUCAGUGGUCUCAUCAUUCCGAGAGAGAAGCUACUUGGGAGCGAGAAGAUCGUCUUCGACUGGAGUAUCCCGCUUUCUUUCCGUCGACCCCUGAAUCUCGCGACGAGAUUCUUUCAAGUGGGGGCGAGUUGUCACAUCCCUAGUUCUGGUAUGACCUAGACUAGCUAGUCAUUUGUGCAUCAUGUUUAUAUUCCAUUUAAAUUUGAAAUGAGGAUUGGUGGAACCCUCAGAAUCAUUUUUGAAAAUGACCCAAAUAAAAAUUUCUCCAAAAGGGUCCAAGAAAAUGCUCAUGUUGCUCUCUGAAAAUAUUGGGCAGAGAUAAAAAAAUCAAACCAAUAUUUCUAGGAUCUCAUAAGUAUUUAAUUUUGGCCAUUUGGAUUAAUCCGAUAAUUAUUUGCCUUGGAUAUAUAUUGUUAUAUAUAUAAAAUAUGGUCCAAAAACUAUGCCAUUUAUUAAGGAGCUCUGGAAUAAUAUAAUUAGCUCCUGCAAAAAUUGGCAUAGGGUAAUAAAUUGAUUUAGUAUUAUUACUAAAUCAAAACAAAUGUCAGAGAAAAUAGAAAACAGAAAAACAGAAAAAAAAACCUUACCUGGGCUUCUUACCUGGCGCCUCUGGGCCAGCAAGCCAGCCCAGCCCACCACCGUCAUCGUCCUCCUGGCGCCAGUCGGCCAGGCGUGUGGCCGACGCGCGCGCACGGGCGGAGCGCCACGCCACCAGCUCGCCUGCCUGCCUACCCUGCCAGCGCGACGCCGCGACGCUUCUUCUCGGUGCCGCCCCGAUCCCCUGGCCUCACCCCCCUCUCUCCCGUGCUUUUCCCCUUCUCUCUCUCUCUCUCACCCGAAGCACCGCCGCCACCGCAGCUCACCACCGACGCGCUCCCCGCCGUCCCCUCGCCCCUCCGUAGAGUCCACGGGCUCCGCCACGACCCCCUCCACCUCCUCGUCGAGCCACGCACCUCCGGACGGCCUCCAUCGUCACCACCCUCGUCGUCUCCAUCGCCGGCUGCCCGAGAUCGCCGACGACGCUCCGACCGCACCAGUGCUUCCCCGAGCCCAAUGACGCCUUCGCUGGAUCCACCGUGAGCAUCGCCACCGUUCCCCUCUCUUCUCCCCCUCGUCUCCGCGCCGUAGCUCCGUUCCCCACCAUGGCCGAAGCCAUCGCCGCCGCAGCACCUCGCCGUCGUGGCCACAGCCGCUGCAGGCCGCAACCGAGCUCGCCGUUGCACUCAGUGCACUCUAGCGAGUCGCGCGGACACGCUCGCAGCCUCCGUAGCGCCCUGCAGCGCCUAACCCGCAUAGACCGAACUCCGGCAGCCGCAGCCGAGCUCGCCACCGUCGACUCCGGCCAUCCCAGGCCCAGCCACGGCCACCGCCCGACGCGCCAUCGAGCUAGCUUUCCAACGCACCUAGCCGCGCGCCAUUUGGAGCACCACAGAGGAAACCCGGGGCACAUGUACGCCGCGGACCUCGCCGGCGACUAACCGCCAGCGGGUUUGACUUGUUUGACCUGGGGUUUGACCCCCCAGGGUCACUGACGCGUGAGCCCCGUCGGCCAGGUGAUUAGCUUAGUGCUAAUCACCGUUAACUAACCCCCUGACACUGACAGUGGGCCCCAGCGCCACUAACCUUUUUAAUUAAGUUAAUCUAACCCUGUUUAACCCCCUGACACUGACGUGUGGACCCCACACGUCAGGUUUGACCCUAGCCAGCCGCAGUUGACCUGCUGACAUCAUGCUUACUCAAUGCUGACGCAAUAAAAUGAUUUCUGGAUUUAAAUUAAAUCAGGAAAUUCCAGAAAUUGAUUUAAACUUCAAAAAUUCAUAUCAAUUCAACCGUAGCUCAGAUUAAAAUAAUUUAUAUAUGAAAAAUUAUCAGAAAAAUGCAAUCUUUCGAUCUGUACUAGUUUCAUGCAUGACAAACCAACUUAUAAUUGCUGUAUAGGUGAAAACACAUUAUGGCAUAUAUAGGAGCUUAAUUUGGAGAUGCAUUUGAACCUUUGGUUCAAAUGGACUUCAAACCAAAUGGAUACCAGUUGCAUUAGCUCAAACAACAUCACAUCUUCAUGCCAUGUUCAUGCAUCAUAUUGUUGCAUAUGUUUGUGUAUUGAUUGCCGACACUGUUCCUUCUCGAUAGGUCCUGCUCCGGAGUCCGUUCCAGAGUGCCUGUCUAUGAAGCAGUGCCUCCCUUGUUGAUCUACCAGGCAAGCAAAACCCCUUGUUCAUUCCGAUAAAAUCCUACUCUCUCGCUCCUUCUCUCAGUUAUUGCAUUAGGACAACAACGAUUCAUCUGCUACUUUGUGCUGCGGUAGUUGAACCCAUUCCUCUGCAUGACCUGUCAUUGUCACAGUAAAUAGUUGAAACCCACUAGCAUGUGUAGGAGUUGAUUGAAGCCAUUGUUGUGUUCCUACCAUGCUAUGCCUGCUAUUGCUUAGAGUUGUGUCAGGUCUGAUUCAUUGGGAAUGAAUUGGAGUGUUACGAUAUGUUCUGGUGCUGAGAGUUAAGUGUGUGAACACGAUUUGGUAAAGGUAGCGGUGAGAGGCCAUGUAGGAGUACAUGGUGGGUUGUCUCACUGGAACCGCCCUUAAGCAUUGAGUUCUAUGUAUGUUGUCCAAUGACUCGAUACUCCACACAUUGGGUUCCGGUGACUCGACCCCUCUCGACUUAUUAACCAAUUUGAUCUUUGUCCAGGAGUCGCAACUAGUUUCUGGUGUUUGUAGGUAGUGUUAGUAGUCUACCAAGUGGCACCCGGCCAGGUGGGUUUGGGACAGACUAGGCACCAGUGGCACGGUGUACCAAGCGUAGAUCCAUCCGGUGAGGUGGGCUUGGGAACCCUGCACACAUCUUUUGGGGCCGUGAGUGAAACCCCGGCCGGAUCUCCUUGCGGAUGGAACCCGAAUAGGCGAUAAACCUGGAUUGGAGUCUUGUGUGGUUAGUCAGGUCGUGGCCGACACCCUCGCCAGGCUUCCGCUUGAAGGUUGCCGAGAUACAUGACGUGUACAUGGCGGUAAGUGGCGAGAGCGUGUGUGAAGAAGUACACCCCUGCAGGGUUAACAUGAUCUAUUCGAAUAGCCGGGUCCGCGGUUAUGGACUUCUUGGAUGCCUACAUGGUACAUAGACAACUUGAAGUGGAUACUCUAAAAUGCUCAAGACAAGUGUGAGUGCUAUGGAUGGCCUUCUCGUAGGGAGACGGGGAUGAAUCCAUAGUAGUGUAUUGUGUGGUGAUUAGUGGACUCGUGUACGUUGUCUCACCUCAAGAUUUUCUGGUAGUCGUAGAACAGGAUAGCCAUAGAGUCAAAGUUGGCUUGCUGCAACUAAACCCCACAUUACCCUCUUGAUACAAAUGCAUGUAUGAUAGGAUCUGAUGUAAGUCUUGCUGAGUACCUUUGUACUCAUGUUGCUUUAUUUAUGUUUUUGCAGCGGAGACUUCGGUCUUAUUAGUGUUCUCGUGGACUUCGACGAGUAGCUUGUACCUCAGCUACGAUCUUGAUCGGACGUUGUAGAUAGUCAGGCUUUCAGCCUUUUUCAUUUAUAAAUGUCUGUACUUAGACAUAUAAUGCUUCCGUUUGUUGCUUGAUUGCUCUGACUGUUGGGUCAUGUGACCCCUGUUUGUAAUAAUGCUAUGAUGGCUCUUCUGAGCCUUUAUCUAUAUGAGUUGUUGAGUUAUGCUGUGAUGCCAUGUUGUACAGCACAUACUUGCAUGUUAUGCGUACGUGUAAUGUGUAUUGCUAUGUGUGGGAUCUGACUAUCUAGUUGUUUAUCCUUAGUAGUCUCUCUUACCGGGAAAUGUCUCCUAGUGCUUCCACUGAGCCCUGGUAGCUUGCUACUGCUCCGGAACACUUAGGCUGGCCGGCAUGUGUCCUUCUUCGUUCCUGUGUCUGUCCCUUUGGGGAAAUGUCACGCGAUGAAUACCGGAGUGCUGUUAGCCCGCUACAGUCCGGUUCACCGGAGUCCUGUUAGCCCAGUGCUACAGCCUGGAUUCACUCGCUGAUGACCGACACGUUCGAUGCUGGGUCAUGGAUGCCUGUCCCUGUAAGUUAGUGCCACUUUGGGUUUACGACUAGCCAUGUCAGCCCGGGCUCUUUAUCAUAUGGAUGCUAGCGACACCAUCAUAUACGUGUGCCAAAAGACGCAAACGGUCCCGGGCAAAGGUAAGGCGACACCCGUGGGGAUACCGUGCGUGAGGCCGCAAAGUGAUAUGAGGUGUUACAUGCUAGAUCGAUGUGGCAUUGAGUCGGGGUCCUGACAAUAGGUUAGUCCCAAAAAUAAUAUAAAAGUGGAUAAUAAAGCCCAAUAUUACCUAAAACAGUAGAUAAAGUAGCAUGGAGCAACCAAAAAUUAUAGAUAUGUUGGAGACAUAUCAGGAUCCCUCCCGAUCCACCUCGUCUUCAGUCAGCCACCAGCCAGAGCAUCGCCCGAUCCUCUCUGUCACAUCUAUCCCAAUCGAUCCACUCGGCCCUCCCCCGCAAGCAGCCUCCCAGGCACCCCUUUCAUCCCUCACCGUGCCCCAUUUCUCCUGCCCGAGGCCCCAUGAGUUUUCACCGCCUCCAGCAACACCGCCAUCCCCGCCGAUGACCAAGACCAGCUGCAGGUCGUCGCCCCAUUCGUCCUCGACCUCGUGCCUCCCCGAGCGGAGGGGCUCAUCCUCGAGCUCGAACGAGCCCCUCUCCCACGAGCGUCCGAGACCUUGCCUCGUCCCCAAGUUCCAGUGUCGUGUCGUCUCCUCCCGUGCAGGAGCCCGCGCCCGCCUCCGUUCGCCUCCGGCAGCCGCGUCGAUGAGCGUCACCACCAGAGACUCGCCGCCGAGCAGCAGAUCCAGGCCGUGCCCUUGCUUCCUCUCUAUCUCUCCCUCUCUCUCUCUCUCUCCCUCUCUCUCUCUCUCUCUCUCUCUCUUUCCCUCCUCGUUUUCGCUCUCUCUCCCUCUCGCGAUCUUCAUUUCUCUCUGUACUCUCAUAGGGAGCUCCGCCACCCGAACUCCGGCCAAGAUCUGGCCGUCGCAGCUCCGCCCCAUCCUUGCCUUGCCAGGAGAGGCUCCGCCUUCGCCAAGUCCCCCACCAAGCCGCUGCCGUUGCCUCUGUUUCCCGCCGCUGCAUCGCGCUGCAACGAGUGCCUGCUCGAUCCAGCUCCGCCCCGUUCGGCCUCCUCACCGAUGCUGGGCUAGGCCCAUGGUGAGCACCAAAUCUAGCCCCUCCUCUCUUUUCAGCCCAGCAGUGCACCAGAUGCAGCCCAUGUUGUUUUUUCCCUGCGCUGCAAUUUUCUCUAUUAUCCAGUGAAUUAUAGUUUUGCAGAAAAAUCCUCUAACUUCAUGCAUAUAAUAACUCAUGAACUAUGCAGCAUAUUUAAAAACUUCAUAUAUGUAAAGUGCUUAGAAUUUCAUCUAGUUUCAUAUUUUCCAACUUUCAUCCAUGUUAAGAAUGUUUAACUUGCCGUUUGCUACUAUUUUGCAUAAAUCGCAUGCUAAAAUGCUUAUUUCAUAACUAAUUAACCGUAGCUCCUAAUUUAAUAAACUUUAUAUGUAAAUGGUCUACAAAAAUGCAUAGAUUAACAUGGUGCACUUUUUUUACUGUUUAAUAAUAUUAAAAUAUGUUUUAAGGCAGAACCGUAGCAAAUUCAAAAUAUGCACAUGGGGAUUUUCCGGAAUUGUUGCUUGUUGUUCCGGCCUCAUUUAAACUUGCCUAGAUACGUAGUUUUCAUAUGCUUCACCCCUUGCCAUGUUUAAUAACAUUUAAUAUUGUUGGGUACUGAUAACCCGCAAGUAUACGGGAUAGUUGUAGCCUCUUUCGGUAAGUAAGAGUGUCGAACCCAACGAGGAGCUAAAGGUAGAACAAAUACUCUCUCAAGUCCUAUCGGCCACUGAUACGAUUGUACGGACGCUUGACGUUCGCUUUACCUAGAACAAGUAUGAAACUAGAAGUACUUUGUAGGUGUGAUAGGACAGGUUUGCAAGAUAAUAAAGAACACAUAAAUAAAAAGUAGGGGAUGUUUAGAUAAAGAUGCAAUGAAGUAAAUAUAGCGAGUGUGGAAAAUUGGUGGUAGGAGUUGUGAAAUUUUCCCUAAGCAAUUGACUAUGUUACUAGACCGGUAAUCACUAUUGCAAUUCUAUUUGAGGGAGAGGCAUAAGCUAACAUACUUUCUCUACUUGGAUCAUAUGCACUUAUGAUUGGAACUCUAGCAAGCAUCCGCAACUACUAAAGAUUCAUUAAGGUAAAACCCAAUCAUAGCAUUAAAGCAUCAAGUCCCCUUUAUCCCCUACGCAACAAUCCCCUUACUAGGGUUUGUGUUUCAGUCACUCACGCAACCCACUAUAAGCGAAUCAUGAAUGCAUUGCAACACCCUACAGCGGGAAUCCCUCAUGCUUGCGCGACACGGAGGGCACCAUAGGAUAGCACCAAUAACAAAACAUGCAACUCAAACCAAUCAUAGCAAUUCAUCAAUCACUGAUAGGACAAUGGAAAUCUACUCAGACAUCAUAGGAUGGCAACACAUCAUUGGAUAAUAAUAUGAAGCAUAAAGCACCAUGUUCAAGUAGAGGGUACAGAGGGUUGCGGGAGAGUGGACCGCUCAAUAUAGAAGGGGGAAGGUGAUGGAGAUGUUGGUGAAGAUGGCGGAGGUGUUGGUGAAGAUCGCGGUGAUGAUGAUGGCCCCCGGCGGUGUUCCGGCGCCACCGGAAUCAAGGGGGAGAGAGCCCACCUUCUUCUUCUUCUUCCUUGACCUCCUCCCUAGAUGGGAGAAGGGUUUCCCCUCUGGUCCUUGGUUCCCAUGGCGUGGGAGGGGCGAGAGCCCCUUCGAGAUUGGAUCUAUCUCUCUAUUUCUGCGUUCUCAGAUUCUAUCCCUUCACCGUUUCUUUUAUAUACGGAGAUCCGUAACUCCGAUUGGGGUGAAUCUUUCGCCCAGAUCUUUCUCAUAAAAUUAGCUUUCUUGCGGCAAAAGAAGAGCGUCAACCGCCUUAGGGGCGGCCCACGAGAGUCCAGGGUGCGCCUGCCUCCCUGGGUCCGCCCCUAUCUCCUGGCCCCCUCAGGCACCGUCUCGCGUUGAUUUUACUUCUCAAAAAUCACAAAUAUUCCAAAAUAAUUCUCCGUCCGUUUUUAUCCCGUUAGGACUCCAUUUGAUAUUGGGUUUCUGCGAAACAAAAAACAUGCAACAGACAAGAACUGGCACUGGGCACUGGAUCAAUAUGUUAGUCCCAAAAAAUAGUAUAAAAAGUUGCCAAAAGUAUAUAAAAGUUGAAUAAUAUUGCCAUGGAACAAUCAAAAAUUAUAGAUACGGCGGAGACGUAUCAGCAUCCCCAAGCUUAAUUCCUCCUCGUCCUUGAGUAGGUAAAUGAUAAAAAAGAUAAUUUUUUAUAUGGAAUGCUACCUACCAUAAUCUUGAUCAUAUAUCUAAUCAUGGCAUGAAUAUUGGAGACACGAGUGAUUCAAAGCAAUAGUCUAUCAUUUGACAUAAAAAACAAUAUUACUUCGAGCAUACUAAUAAAGCAAUCAUGUCUUUUCAAAACAACAAGGCCAAAGCAAGCUUAUCCCUACAAAAUCAUAUAGUUUGGCCAUGCUUCAUUUUCGUCACACAAAAUGCCCCCAUCAUGCACAACCCCGAUGACAAGCCGAGCAAUUGGUUCAUACUUUUUAACGCGCUUCAGCUUUUUCAACCCUCAUGCAAUACAUGAGCGCAAGCCAUGGAUAUAGCACUAUAGGUGGAAUAGAAUAUAAUGAUGGAGGUUAUGUGGAGAAGAUAAAAAGGAGAAAGUCUCACAUCGACGCGGCUAAUCAACGGGCUAUGGAGAUGCCCAUCAAUUGAUGUCAAUGCGAGGAGUAGGGAUUGCCAUGCAACAGAUGCACUAAGAGCUAUAAGUGUAUGAAAGCUCAACAAAAGAAACUAAGUGGGUGUGCAUCCAACUUGCUUGCUCAUGAAGGCCUAGGGCAUUUGAGGAAGCCCAUUGUUGGAAUAUACAAGCCAAGUUCUAUAAUGAAAAUUCCCACUAGUACAUGAAAGUGAUAACAUAGGAGACUCUCUAUAUGAAGAACAUGGUGCUACUCUGAAGCACAAGUGUGGAAAAAGGAUAGUAACAUUUCCCCUUUUCUUUUUCUUUUUUUCUUUUUUUCCUCUUUUUUUUCUUUUUGGGUGGGCUUCUUUGGCCCCUUUUUUCAUUUAGGCUUCUUUGGCCUUUCCUUUUUUUCUUUUUUUCUUUUUCUUUUUUUCAUGGGGCAAUGUUCUAUAAUGAUGAUCAUCACACUUUUCUUUACUUACAACUCAAUAUUACAACUCGAUACUUGAACAAAGAUAUGACUCUAUAUGAAUGCUUCCGGCGGUGUACCAGGAUGUGCAAUGAUCUAGCGUAGCAAUGACAUCAAAAAACGGACAAGCCAUGAAAACAUCAUGCUAGCUAUCUUACGAUCAUGCAAAGUAAUAUGACAAUGAAUGCUCAAGUCAUGUAUAUGAUGAUGAUGAAAGUUGCAUGGCAAUAUAUCUCGGAAUGGCUAUGGAAAUGCCAUGAUAGGUAGGUAUGGUGGCUGUUUUGAGGAAGAUAUAAUGAGGCUUAUGUGUGAUAGAGCGUAUCGUAUCACGGGGUUUGGAUGCACCGGCGAAGUUUGCACCAACUCUCUAGGUGAGAAAGGGCAAUGCACGGUACCGAAGAGGCUAGCAAUGAUGGAAAGGUAAAAGUGUGUAUAAUCCAUGGACUCACAUUAGUCAUAAAGAACUCAUAUACUUAUUGAAAAAGUUUAUUAGCCCUCGAAGCAAAGUACUACUACGCAUGCCCCUAGGGGGAUAGAUUGGUAGGAAAAGACCAUCGCUUGUCCCCGACCGCCACUCAUAAGGAAGACAAUCAAAGAAACACCCCAUGCUUCAAAUUUGUCACACAACGGUUACCAUACGUGCAUGCUACGGGACUUGCAAACCUCAACACAAGUGUCUCUACAAUCCAAAACCACCCACUAUCAUGACUCUAAUAUCACCACCUUUAUAUCGCAAAACUAUUGCAAGGAAUCAAACAUAUCAUAUUCAGUGAUCUACAAGUUUAUGUAGGAUUUUAUGACUAACCAUGUGAUUGACCAAUUCCUGUCAUCUCUCUAAAAUAGAUAUAAGUGAAGCAAGAGAGUUUAAUUCUUUCUACAAAAGAUAUGCCCACGCUCUAACAAAUAUGAGUGAAGCAAAAGAGCAUUCUAUAAAUGGCGGUUUUCUAUGUGAAGAAAAACAGGCAAUCCAAACUUCAAAUGAAAUAAGUGAAGCACAUGAAGCAUUCUAUAAAGCCAUACUCAAAAGAUUUAAGUGAAGUGCAAUGAGCAUUCUAUAAAUCAACCAAGGACUAUCUAAUACCAGCAUGGUGCAUAAAAUAAAAAUGAAAACUAAAUGCAAAAGACGCUCCGAGACUUGCACAUAAUGCAUGAACGAAAUGAAUUCGAAAACAUACCGAUACUUGUUGAAGAAAGAGGGGAUGUCUUCCGGGGCAUCCCCAAGCUUAGAUGCUUGAGUCUACUUGAAUAUUUACUUGGGGUGCCUCAGGCAUCCCCAAGCUUGAUCUCUUGCCUCUCUUCCUUUUCCUCAUAUCGAGACAUCCUCGAUUAGACACUACAUCCACACAAAACUUCAAUAGAAAACUCGGUAAGAUCCGUUAGUAUAAUAAAGCAAGUCACCACUCUAAGUACUGUUGCAAACCAAUUCAUAUUUUGUUUUUUCAUUGUGUCUACUGUAAUAUAGCUUUUCCAUGGCUUAAUCCACUAUUAUAAAUAGAUAGAUUCAUCAAAACAAGCAAACUAUGCAUCAAAAACAGAAUCUGUCAAAAACAGAACAGUCUAUAGCAAUCUGAACAUUCACCAUACUUCUGUUACCCCAAAAAUUCUACCAAAAUUAGGAAAACUAAACAAGUUAUACAGCAAGACAAUGAAAAAGGAAUCAGAACUAUUUGACGUUUCAGCUAAAAAUGUAAAAUCGCGCACUACAGCCCAAGUUUCUGUCCUGCACCGUACAAACCAACACGCAUUGUAAACAUCCUAAAGGCAAACCUUGGCAAAUUAUUUUUAUAAUACAAUGGAAUUGUAUAAGGGGAUAAUUAUUUUUUUUGAAAAGUUUCUGUAAUUAAGAUUCACAAAGUUUCCGUGAGCAUGAACAAAGUUCAAGGACUCUCCCACUUCAACAAUGCUUGUCUUUCUCACUCUCACUUUCCUUUUUGAAAAGUUUUUUAGGUUCCCCUCUUUAUUUUUUUGUUUUUAAACUAUAUAAAAGCACACAACAGAAAUAAAUGACUCCCUAAAACAUCCGGGUUGUCUCCCUGGCGGCGCUUUCUUUAAAGCCAUUAAGCUAGGCAUUUAGUGCUCAAGUAAUGAAUCCACCCGGAUCCCAUGGCACCCGGAUCCCAUGCACACCAAGUAAAGGCCAAUGCAUAGUAUAAGCAGUUUCUUGCAAUUUCAUCAUGUUGGAAACAUAAAGAGGCGGAGAUGUAGUCCUCUCUCAUAAUAAUUGCAAGUAGGAGCAGCAAGCACAUGCUUAUUAAAUCUAUCAAAAUCAUCAUGCGCAAUGGUAAAAGGCAACCCAUCAAUAUAAUCCUUAAUAAGCACAAACUUCUCCGAUAAAGUGUAGUAGGGAGAAUUCGAAAAGAUAAUAGGACUAUUAUGCGUGGGUGCAAUAGCAACAAUUUCAUGUUUAACAUAAGGUACUAUAGCAAGUUCAUCUCCAUAAGCAUAAUUCAUAUUGGCAUCUUGGCCAAAAGCAUAGCAAGCAUCAUCAAAAAGGGAUAUUUCGAGAGAAUCAACCGGAUCAUAGCAAUAAUCAUCAUAGCAAUCAUCCUUCGGUAAGCACGAAGGGGAAUUGACCAAUGUAUGAGUUGAAGAGUUACUCUCAUUAGAAGGUGGGCACGGGUGAUCAAUCCGCUCUUCCUCCUUUUGUUCUUCACUCUCCUCAUCAUCUUUUUCAUCUAAUGAGCUCACAGUUUCAUCAAUUUCUUCUUCCAUAGCUUCCUGCAAAAUAUUAGUCUCUUCUUGGACAGCGGAGACUUUCUCAAUAAAUGCAUUAAUAUAGUAAUUGUAUUCAUAAUUUUCAUAGCAAUAUCUAAGUAUAGGAAGAUUUUCUGGUCUAUAAACUGAAUCAUCAAAAUCAUCAAACGCUUUAAACAUAGAUUCAACCUCAUAAGCACCCAUAAAAGCAACAAAUUCUUCUAUUUGUUCCACAUCAUAGUAAUCAUAGAUACCAUUAGCAUAAGAAGCUAAGGUUUCAUUAUCAUUGAAUUUGCAUGAAAAGGGAAGGUGUGGAGCCUUCAUCCUAGAGCAACAAGUAUAAUCAUGUAUCACGCAUAGUUGACGAGCAUACCAACGCAACAUAGAAAUUUGAUCCCAUAAUAGUUUCCCUUUUUGUGUCAAGCGAUAAUCCCUAAAGUAUUCACGUUGAUCCAACGUGUCUCCCAUAACAUAACGGAAUGGGGUUUUCUCAGGAUUAUUAAAGUAGUACAUAAUUUCUUUCACAUAACGAGCAUCAAGGGUUUUAGGAGGUUCCCCAUCUCCAUGAGUACCAUAUACACCUAAUUUUUUUGGUAUUUCGUGUUCCAUAUCCAUAACUAAAGAUAGAGAACAACUAGGAACAUCAAAUAAAAAUUACUUAGUGAUAAAGCAAACAAGCACACACGAGAAUAUUCACCCCACGCUAUGACUCCCCAGCAACGGCGCCAGAAAAAGGUCUUGAUAACCCGCAAGUAUACGGGAUAGUUGUAGCCUCUUUCGAUAAGUAAGAGUGUCGAACCAAAUGAGGAGCUAAAGGUAGAACAAAUACUCUCUCAAGUCCUAUCGACCACUGAUACGAUUCUACGCACGCUUGACGUUCGCUUUACCUAGAACAAGUAUGAAACUAGAAGUACUUUGUAGGUGUGAUAGGAUAGGUUUGCAAGAUAAUAAAGAACACGUAAAUAAAAAGUAGGGGCUGUUUAGAUAAAGAUGCAAUAAAGUAAAUAUAGCGAGUGUGGAAAAGUGGUAGUAGGAGAUGUGAAAUUGUCCCUAAGCAAUUGACUAUGUUACUAGACCGGUAAUCACUAUUGCAAUUCUAUUUGAGGGAGAGGCAUAAGCUAACAUACUUUCUCUACUUGGAUCAUAUGCACUUAUCAUUGGAACUCUAGCAAGCUUGCGCAACUACUAAAGAUUCAUUAAGGUAAAAUCCAACCAUAGUUGAUGCGGAGCAUCCUUCCAUCAUCCCCAUGGACUCUACAUCAACACAUCCAACCCCACAAGGACCCAUGACUCGAGCACGUGCAAGAGCUCUUGAAACCGAGGUGACAUCACUCCUCUCACAUUUCCCUUUCGAUUCACAUGAGACAUGGUUACUACCUCAAACGGAAAUGCUAUGCAUACUCAGGUACCAAGGAGUCAACCAUGAAGAGGCUAGGAAGCAAGGAGAACCGGAAGCGGAAGACAUGCGAGAAGACGGAGAGGAAAAAGCACCAAGGACCAGGGUGGCCGGACGAUCCGGACGGCGGCCCGGACGAUCCGGACCCCGGUCCGGACGAUCCGGCUAAAUCGACCGAAGCCUACAGAAGCUCCACCCUGAAGCCGGAUCAUCCGGACCCCGUCCCGGAUCAUCCGGACCCGGCCCGGACAUCCGGACCUCCAGCCGGACAUCCGGCCCUGCGCGACCACCAGCCGACCCUCCGGCUCAUCCGGGCCUCCACCCGGAUCAUCCGUACCAGCCCGGAUCAUCCGGACCCUCAUCCGGAUCAUCCGGCCAGCGCCUGCGCGCGCGUGUUGGGCUGAGCCCAUGUACCCCUUCGCCCCCCAACUCUAUAUAUAGGACCCCAUCUCCUCACUUUGAGACUUAGCGUUGAUUUAGCUCGUUUUUGAGAUAGAGCCUCACUCAUCCAUCGGAUCUCCUCCUCGUGAGAGACCGCGGCCUCUUCGGAGAAGAUCCUCUCAGAUUCAAGACCCCUUUAUGGGAAGAUCCCCUCGUGGAUUCAAGACCUCCUCUCGGAGAAGAACGGCUACCUUUGUAUCUUUCCUUUGUUGAUUUUGGACCAUGUGUUACUCGUGCUUCGAUGAUCUAGACCUUGUGUGAUUGAUCUCUUGUCGAUUGAGUGUCUCUCUCGUUCUUCCCCGUGAUUUCCUCGUGCGUUCUUCGUGUUUCUCCCAUAGUAUCCACUCCAAACGUGAAAGAUCGUCGCUAUAGGGUUCCACCCUACAUCAUAUGGUAUCAUGAGCCAGGUUGAUCACGUUUUUGGAGCCCCUACCCCUCUUUUUCUAGCUUGAUUUUGUUGUUUUUGUCCUAAAUCCGAAAAUCCCCACCAAAAAUAACCCCCAAAUUUUUUUGUGAUUUGUUAGUUUUGAUGAUGUUUUGUUGUUUUUGAUCCGUGGAUUCGGUGUGUAACUCGUGGAUCUUGCUUUUCCCCACCUUCUCCCCCUCGAAAUCCAUCCAAAAUCCCCGAAAUCGUCAAAUUUCUCCCUGUUUUCAUGUUCUUCCUGAGUAGUUCCCGUGCGAGGUUGACCUGCCCGGAUCAUCCGGACUCCGACCCGGAUCAUCCGGACGUGCCUGGAUCAUCCGGCUCCUGGCCCGGAUCAUCCGGCUUCCUCUGCCGAAACUGCACUUGUGCAGUCCCCCUCCACCACCAUCACCACCUACACCUACAUACCACCUCCCCACUCCAACCACCACCACUUCCACUUGCCAAAACCCCACAACACAACCUCCGUACUACCAUUCGAAUUUGAGUUCGAGAAUUUGAGUUAAGAUUUCUGUGUCCUAUUGUGUUUCGGCUAUUUAGGUGCGGUGAGACAUCAACAACAAACGCUCAUUUUUGUCGACUACUCAUCUUCGCUACGGACGGUAACUUCGACGACAUCUUUGUCAUACCUUGCAAUUGCAUUGAUAACCAUCAUAGACCAUCUUUUGCGUUGCUUACCCAUCGACACUAGCCAUUGAGUAUUGCCGGCAAUGUGACUUCUGCACAUUAGUUGCAUAAACCAUAUCAUACAUACCAUCGUGGUGCAUAUCUCGGAAUCAACUUGUGUGUCACAAAGUUGUCAUCGCAUACACAAUUGCUAUCUUGGUUCUUCAAGUUUGCAUAAGAAAAGAGCUCAAAAGAGAAAGAGCCACUCAAGCUUUUAAGCAAAGAGGAAAGAUAAUCAAAGAGCUUAUAAGCAACAAGCAUAGCAUCAUACAACAUUAAGAUUGUCAUAUAAAAUCAUCUUGGAUCAUUGCACCGAAAUACCAUACAUAUAGCAUACUUGGGAUAGAGAUCGUCGUAUUUUUGCCUAGUAGGUUGUGCACAAGCUCCGUAUCCGCCUAUUGUGCAAUCGUGCUAGCGUCUCUCUAGUAUUGUGCAACAAGAGCAUUUUCGUGGAUUCCACAUUUUGGCUCACUUUUGGUUUGCACAAUCCCAUUUAUCUAUUUGCGUGUGUGUUUCCGUGUACCACUACUUGCUUGGUCUACUUGUUGCAUAUGCGAAUUUGCGAAUCUUCUUCAACAUUUUUGAGUCAAGCUAACGAUUGCAAUCAAUUUUGUGCCACCAUCCUAACCAAGCUCCACCAAAAGCUUUUACUUGUGUAGGUGUGAGAAUCGACAAGGAUCGGUACCAAUAGUGCUAUUUCAUUGUCCGCAUUUCAGUGAACUUGAUUCAUCUUCAACUUCAGUCAAAGGUACAUUGGUAUUUGUUCUUCUCCUUCUACCACUCACAAUUUGCUUGAAAUGAUGGAUAGGCCAAGUUCUUCUACAAAUCCACUCUUCAUCGAGCAAGACGAUGACAUGUCAUCAUACGUCACCAAGAGCCACCUCUUUGGCGCACAACGAGCUCUCCAUCAAGAGCAACAAGCAAUGAGCGAACGCAUCGACAACCUCGCCACCGACUUGCGACUCUCCGAGCAACGUACAAGAGACUACUUCGACAACAAGCUCGACGCGCACAAGAAAGAGAACGAUGCAAGAAUGGACGAGAUCCGCGCCUUGUUGGUGAACCGGCGUCCUUCUACUUCCUCACACUCAAGACGGAGCCACUCAAGUCGCCACUUCGACGACUCCUUCUCCGACACAAGUACACCAUCAUCGAACACUCUUCGACGAGCCGCGCGUCAAGACCGUCAUGCAUCUCGCAACCCGCUACACGACAAGAAUUCCCAAGAGCAAGUUGAUGAACAAGUUCCUCGUCCUCAAUCAAACCAAGUAGCGUUUGCUCAAGCUCAAGAACGACAACGUCUUCGUCGCCAACAAGAACAAGAACGAGCGCGCCUACACCAAGAGCAACAAGAUGCCGAGGCUCAACAUCUUCAACAACAACAACGAGAAGCACAAGCUCUUGAGGCGGAACGUGCCCUUCAAGCAUCAAGUCGCGCUAUCGCCAACCGCAAUCGCGAAAGGCGCAAUCAAGAGGAAGCCCUUCGAGAAGAAAUACAUGAGAGGAACUACCAUCCGCAUGCGCAACGUCAAGCCCCACAAGCUCCUCCGCAAGUUCCUCAAGCUCAUCCCCAACCUCAAGGUCAACAAGAACAAGUUGAUAAUGGACUUCCUCCUCGACAAGAGCAACAUGAGGAUGAUUACCCUCCACGUCAAGAACGUCAUCAUCAACAUCGACCUCAACACAAUGAAGAACAACGCUAUGGCAAGCUCAAGUUCACAAUGCCCAAGUUCAAUGGAACCAAUGAUCCCGAAGAGUACCUCUCAUGGGCAUUGAAGGUCGACAAAAUCUUUCAUUUGCACAACUAUGAGGAAGAGAAGAAGAUCGCUAUGGCAUCACUUGAGUUCCAAGACUAUGUGCUCAUAUGGUGGGAACAAGUACUUGAGCGCCGACGAGCAAGAGGUGACCCUCCAAUCACCACUUGGGCUCAAAUGAAGGAUGUCAUGCGAGCACGCUUUGUGCCCACCUACUACAACCGUGAUCUUUUCAAGAAGCUACAACUCCUCAAGCAAGGAACAAAGAGUGUUGAAGAAUACUACAAAGAAAUGGAGAUUGCCAUGAUUCGAGCCAAUGUCACAGAGGAUGAUGAGAAAACAAUGGCACGAUUCUUGAAUGGACUCAACCAUCCCAUCAAGAAGAUCGCCGACUUCCAACCCUACUCCAACCUCAUUGAGCUCGUGCAUCAAUCUACAAAGGCGGAACGACAAGGGCAAGAUGACUUCAAGUACGCCAAGUAAUCAUCCAAGACAUACGGCUUCUCCAACAACCAAGCUUCAACAACUACUCCAACUUCGACAUCAACCAAGCCCUCUCCAAGCAACGACGACAAGUCAAGUUACAAGAAAACUUCUACAAGUUCAAGUCGUCCUCCUCCUAUUACAAGAAACUCCAAGCCGCGUGCUUCAUCAUCCACUCCAACCGAUGAGGCCGUCAAGACAAUCUCCUUCAAGUGCUUCACUUGCGGCGGCCGAGGCCACAAGUCCUAUGAAUGCACCAACAAGCGCACCAUGAUACUCAACGACGAUGGCACAUAUGACUCAAUGAGUGAAGAUGAAAUGGAAGCUAUUGAGAAAGUGGCCAUGCACCGGCGCAUCAACGAGAAUGAAGAUGAUCAAGUCUUUUGUGAUGAAGAUACGAGCCCCGCUCUUGUUGUUUCCAAGGUCUUGACACUUCAACAUCAACAAGAAGAAGAUCAAAGAUUCCACAUCUUCCACAAAAAGGCCGGCAUCAAUGGACGCUCCGUCAAGGUCAUCAUCGAUGGAGGUAGUUGCCACAACUUGGCAAGCGAAGAACUAUGCUCCAAGCUCCAAUUGGUCAAGAAGAAGCAUCCGCAACCCUACAAGGUUCAAUGGCUAAGUGACUCCGGCACUAUAGGAGUUGAGCAUACGGUCCAAGUAUCCUUCAAAAUCGGUGCAUAUGAAGACACUUUGGAGUGUGAUGUGGUCCCAAUGACCGUUUGCCACCUCCUCCUUGGUCGGCCAUGGCAAUUUGACCGUGGUGUCUACCACAAUGGGCGUACAAACCACUAUAGCUUCAAGAUGAAAGGCAAAGAAUAUAUCCUACGACCCAUGUCUCCUAGUCAAGUGAUAGCCGACAAACAAGCCACCAACCAAAGAGAGAAGAGUGAGAAAGUGAGCCACCAAAAAGUGAAUGAGAGCCACAAGCCAAAUUUGAGCGCCUCUUCGCCUAGAGAGAAAAACCUCAUACUAUUCGCCACCAAACAUGAGAUGAGAGAAGUGUGUGAGAACUCAUCGAGUGUGAUGGACUUUGUCCUUGUGUGCAAGGAUGGAGAACCAAAAGCUAACACCACUCAUGAGCUACCUUUGGUGUUUCAAUCUCUUUUGCAGGAAUUUCAAGAUGUUUUCCCCGAUGAGCUACCUCCGGGUCUACCUCCUCUAUGAGGCAUUGAGCAUCGAAUCGACCUCAUCCCCGGAGCGCCACUUCCAAACAAAGCUCCAUACCGUGUCAAUCCCGAAGAAACCAAGGAGAUUCAACGGCAAGUACAACAACUAAUCGACAACGGUCAUGUACGUGAAAGCUUAAGCCCUUGUGCCGUACCCGUUAUACUUGUGCCUAAGCCCGAUGGAAGUUUCCGCUUGUGCUCCGAUUGUAGACCUAUAAAUGCUAUCACCGUGCGCUAUAGGCAUCCCAUUCCUCGCUUAGAUGAUAUGCUUGAUGAACUUAGUGGAGCCAAUUUUUUCUCAAAAAUUGAUCUUAAAAGUGGAUAUUAUCAAAUCCACAUUCAUGAGGGCGAUGAAUGGAAAACUGCUUUCAAAACAAAAUUUGGCUUAUAUGAAUGGUUGGUCAUGCCUAUGGGUUUGUCGGAAGCACCCGGAACUUUUGUGCGUCUCAUGCAUCAUGUACUUCGACCCUACAUUGGAAUCUUUGUUGUGGUUUACUUCAAUGAUAUUCUUGUGUUUAGCAAAACCAUGAAAGAACAUCUUGAUCAUGUUAAGCUUGUUUUACAAACACUUCGAAAAGAAAGUCUUUAUGCCAACUUGAAAAAAUGCACUUUUGGCAUUGACAAAGUGGUUUUCUUGGGUUUCGUUGUCUCUUCCAAGGGUGUCCAUGUUGAUGAAACUAAGAUCAAAGCAAUUAAAACUUGGCCCCAACCCACCAAUUGGCAACAAGUGCGAAGUUUCCUUGGUCUUGCAGGUUUUUAUCGUUGCUUUGUGAAAAUCUUUAGCACUAUCGCAGCUCCUUUGCAUGCUUUGAGUAAGAAGAAUACUCCUUUUGUUUGGGGACCUUUGCAAUCCAAGACUUUCGAUGAGCUCAAGUCUUUGCUUACUCAUGCUCCGAUUCUUGCUUUGCCCAAUUUUGACAAAACUUUUGAGGUUCAUUGUGAUGCAAGUGGUACCGGAAUUGGCGGAGUUUUAAUGCAAGAAAAACGAGUCAUUGCCUAUUUUAGUGAAAAACUCUCCGGUGCUCAACUUAACUACCCCAUCUAUGACAAAGAAUUGUAUGCCUUAGUGCGUGUCCUACAUGUUUGGGAACAUUAUCUUAGACCUCAUGAGUUUGUCAUCCAUACCGAUCAUGAAACGCUUAAAUACUUAAAAGGUCAAACUAAAUUGAACAAGCAUCAUGCCAAAUGGAGUGAAUUUAUUGAAUCUUUCCCAUAUGUGAUCAAGUACAUUAAGGGCAAGGAAAAUGUAGUUGCCGAUGCACUUUCACGCAUAUGUACGCUUGUCACCCAACUUGAGUUGAAUGUUAUUGGCUUUGAGCACAUCAAAGAUUUAUAUGCUAGUGAUCCAUCUUUUGCACCUCAUUAUGCUAAAUGUUUGACGCAUACAUCUUGGGAACAAUAUUACCUCAAGAAUGGUUAUCUUAUGAGAGCUAACAAACUAUGCAUUCCCGAGUCUUCUCUUCAUUUGCUACUUUUGCAAGAGGCUCAUGGAGGUGGACUCAUGGGACACUUUGGACACGACAAGACCUUCGCCACGCUCUCCAAGAACUACUUUUGGCCAAAGAUGUUUCGAGACGUCUCACGCUUCACCACCCGAUGCUCUACAUGCUGCAAAGCUAAGUCAAAAGCCCAAUCUCAUGGUCUUUACAUGCCUCUUCCAAUUCCAUAUCAACCUUGGGAAGACAUUAGCAUGGACUUUGUACUUGGUUUGCCUAGAACUCAAAAUGGAAAGGAUUCCGUGUUUGUUGUUGUGGAUAGAUUUUCUAAGAUGGCACAUUUUAUUCCUUGCAACAAGGUAGACGAUGCUUCACAUAUUGCAAAUCUCUUUUGUACGGAAAUCUUGCGCCUCCAUGGAGUACUAAAGACAAUCGUCUCCGACCGCGACGUCAAGUUCUUGAGUUACUUUUGGAAGACCCUAUGUGCCAAGCUCGGAAUCAAGCUCUUGUUCUCAUCCGCAUACCAUCCUCAAACCGACGGCCAAACGGAGGUGACGAACCGGACGCUCUCCACUCUACUUCGCUAGUUGAUCAAGAAGAACAUCAAGGAGUGGGAGGCGUGUCUACCCAUCGCCGAGUAUGCCUACAACCGCGCAAGACAUUCGACGACCGGCAAGUCCCCCUUCGAGGUCGUCUACGGCUUCAACCCAUUGUCCCCAUUGGACAUUCUACCUCUACCUCUACAAGAGCACACCAACCUCGACGCAAGUGCCCGUGCAAGCUACAUCAAAAAGAUGCAUGAAGAUACAAGAAACACCAUCGAGCGCCAUGUACAACGACUAGCGACCAAGCUCAACAUCAACAAGCAACCCAUGAUCUUCAACAUAGGCGAUCUCGUGUGGCUACACCUUCGCAAGGAACGCUUCCCCAACGAACGCAAGUCCAAACUUAUACCUCGAGCCGAUGGACCCUUCAAGGUGUUAGCACGCUACAACAACAACGCCUACAAGCUCGACCUACCAAGCGACAAGUACAACGUGAGCGACACCUUCAACGUCAAAGACCUCUCGCCUUUCCAUGGUGAUGAAGAUCUAGAUCCGAGGUCGGAUCCUUUCGAAGGGAGGGGAUAUGAUGCGGAGCAUCCUUCCAUCAUCCCCAUGGACUCUACAUCAACACAUCCAACCCCACAAGGACCCAUGACUCGAGCAUGUGCAAGAGCUCUUGAAACCGAGGUGACAUCACUCCUCUCACAUUUCCCUUUCGAUUCACAUGAGACAUGGUUACUACCUCAAACGGAAAUGCUAUGCAUACUCAGGUACCAAGGAGUCAACCAUGAAGAGGCUAGGAAGCAAGGAGAACCGGAAGCGGAAGACAUGCAAGAAGACGGAGAGGAAAAAGCACCAAGGACCAGGGUGGCCGGACGAUCCGGACGGCGGCCUGGACGAUCCGGACAGAGCCCGGACGAUCCGGACCCCGGUCCGGACGAUCCGGCUAAAUCUACCGAAGCCUACAGAAGCUCCACCCUGAAGCCGGAUCAUCCGGACCCCGUCCCGGAUCAUCCGGACCCGGCCAGGACAUCUAGACCUCCAGCCGGACAUCCGGCCCUGCGCGACCACCAGCCGACCCUCCGGCUCAUCCGGGCCUCCACCCGGAUCAUCCGGACCAGCCCGGAUCAUCCAGACCCUCGUCCGGAUCAUCCGGCCAGCGCCUACGCGCGCGUGUUGGGCUGAGCCCAUGUACCCCUUCGCCCCCCAACUCUAUAUAUAGGACCCCAUCUCCUCACUUUGAGACAUAUCGUUGAUUUAGCUCGUUUUUGAGAUAGAGCCUCACUCAUCCAUCGGAUCUCCUCCUCGUGAGAGACCGCGGCCUCUUCGGAGAAGAUCCUCUCGGAUUCAAGACCCCUUUACGGGAAGAUCCCCUCGUGGAUUCAAGACCUCCUCUCGGAGAAGAACGGCUACCUUUGUAUCUUUCCUUUGUUGAUUUUGGACCAUGUGUUACUCGUGCUUCGAUGAUCUAGACCUUGUGUGAUUGAUCUCUUGUCGAUUGAGUGUCUCUCUCGUUCUUCCCCGUGAUUUCCUCGUGCGUUCUUCGUGUUUCUCCCGUAGGAUCCACUCCAAACGUGAAAGAUCGUUGCUAUAGGGUUCCACCCAACAUCAAUAGCAUUAAAGCUUCAAGUCCCCUUUAUCCCCUAUGCAACAAUCCCCUUACUCGGGUUUGUGUUUCAGUCACUCAUGCAACCCACUAUAAGCGAAUCAUGAACGCAUUGCAACACCCUACAGCGAGAAUCCCUCACGCUUGCGUGACACGGAGGGCACCAUAGGACAGAACCAAUAAUAAAACAUGCAACUCAAACCAAUAUAGCAAUUCAUCAAUCACCAAUAGGACAAUGGAAAUCUACUCAGACAUCAUAGGAUGGCAACACAUCAUUGGAUAAUAAUAUGAAGCAUAAAGCACCAUGUUCAAGUAGAGGGUACAGCGGGUUGCGAGAGAGUGGGCCACUGAAUAUAGAAGGGGGAAGGUGAUGGAGAUGUUGGUGAAGAUGGUGGAGGUAUUGGUGAAGAUCGCGGUGAUGAUGAUGGCCCCCGGCGGCGUUCCGGCGCCACCAGAAGCAAGGGGGAGAGAGCCCCCUUCUUCUUCUUCUUCCUUGACCUCCUCCCUAGAUGGGAGAAGGGUUUCCCCUCUGGUCCUUGGUUCCCAUGGCGUGGGACGGGCGAGAGCCCCUCCGAGAUUGGAUCUAUCUCUCUAUUUCUGCAUUCUCAGAUUCUAUCCCUUCACCAUUUCUUUUAUAUCUGGAUAUCCGUAACUCCAAUUGGGGUGAAUCUUUCGCCCAGAUCUUUCUCAUAAAAUUAGCUUUCUUGCGGCAAAAGAAGAGCAUCAACCGCCUUACGGGAGGCCCACGAGAGUCCAGGGCGCGCCUGCCUCCCUGGGACGCGCCCCUAUCUCCUGGCCCCCUCGGGCAUCGUCUCGCAUUGAUUUUACUUCCCAAAAAUCACAAAUAUUCCAAAAUAAUUCUCCGUAUGUUUUUAUCCCGUCUGGACGCUGUUUGAUAUUGGGUUUCUACGAAACAACAAACAUGCAACAGACAGGAACUGGCACUGGGCACUGGAUCAAUAUGUUAGUCCCAAAAAAUAGUAUAAAAAGUUGCCAAAAGUAUAUAAAAGUUGAAUAAUAUUGGCAUGGAACAAUCAAAAAAUAUAGAUACAACGGAGACGUAUCAGGUACAUAAACGAGAGAGAACUAAAUAAUUGAUGUGGUGUUUUGUCAAUAGGCAACUCGUUGCAUAUUGAGCUCCACUUAAUUUGUAGUAUUGAUUGUGCACUUUGCCAUGCCAUGCCUCAUUAAAUCGGACAUGCAUCAUACUUGAUUUUGCAUCAUGCCAUGUUUAUGUGAUGGUUGUUUACCAUGUUGUUUGCUUCUUUCCGGUUGCACUUCUCCUUGAUAGUUCCAAUAACGUUGCGUUUGUGAGGUUUCGUUCGACUACGUUGGUUCGUCUACUUCAUGGAUUCAGUCUUCUUCCUAGCGGAAUUUCAUGCAAGAUGACCAUUACCCUCGAUAUCACUUCUAUCUUUUCUUGCUAUUUGUUUGUUCUAUCGCUAUGUCGCACUUCCUAUCACUGGUUUAUCAUGCCUCCCAUAUUGCCAUGUCAAGCCUCUAACCCACCUUCCUAGCAAACCUUGUUUGGCUAUGUUACUGCUUUUGCUCAUCCCCCUCUUAUAGCGUUCUUAGUUGCAGGUGAAGUUGAAGAUUGUUCUAUGUUGGAACAUGAACAUGUUGGGAUAUCACAAUAUCUCUUAAUUUUAAUUAAUGCAUCUAUAUACUUGGUAAAGGGUGGAAGGCUCGGCCUUAUGCCUGGUGUUUUGUUCCACUCUUGCGGCCCUAGUUUCCGUCAUACCGGUGUUAUGUUCCUUGAUUUUGCGUUCCUUACGUGGUUGGGGUUAUGGGCCCCCCUUGACAGUUCGCCUUGAAUGAAACUCCUCUAGCAAGGCCCAAUCUUGGUUUUAACAUUUGCCGACCUACCACCUAUACCUUUCCCUUGGGUUCUGCAGACUCAAGGGUCAUCUUUAUUUUAACCCCCCCCCCAGGCCAGUGCUCCUCUGUGUGUUGGUCCGAACCGGGCAACCUGCGGGGCCACCUCGGGGAAACUUGAGGGCUAGUUUUACUCAUAGAUUGACCUAUCCGGUGUGCCGUGAGAAUGAGAUAUGUGCCGCUCCUAUCGGGAUUUGUCGGCACAUUCGAGCGGACUUGCUGGUCUUGUUUUACCAUUGUCGAAAUGUCUUGUAACCGGGAUUCCGAGUCUGAUCGGUGAUUCCGGGAGAAGGAAUAUCCUUCGUUGAUCAUGAGAGCUUGUGAUGGGCUAAGUUGGGACACCCCUGUAGGGUAUAAACUUUUGAGAGCCGUGCCCGAGGUUAUGUGGCAGAUGUGAAUUUGUUAAUAUCCGGUUGUAGAGAACUUGACACUUGACUUAAUUAAAAUGCAUCAACCGUGUGUGUAGCCGUGAUGGUCUCUUUUCGGUGGAGUCCGGGAAGUGAACACGAAUUGGGUUAUGAUUGAACGUAAGUAGUUUCAGGACCACUUCUUGAUCACUUCUAGCUUCACGACCGUUGCGUAGUUUCUCAUCUUACUCUUAUUUGCGUAUGUUAGCCACCAUAUUUGCUUAGCACUUGCUGCAACUCCACCUCAUUACCUUAUCCUACUCGUAAGCUUAAAUAGUCUUGAUCUCGCGGGUUUUGAGAUUGUUGAGUCCUCGUGACUCACAGAUACUACCAAAAGAUUUGCAGGUGCCGAUGAUACCAGUGCAGGCGAUGCUACCGAACUCAAGUGGGAGUUCGACGAGGACCUUGGUCAUUACUAUGUUUUGUUUCCUGAUGAUCAGUAGUGGAGCCUAGUUGGGACGAUCGGGGAUCUAGCCUUUGGGGUUAUCUUCUUUUCAUUUGGAUUUGUCUGUAGUCGGACUAUGUGUGUACUCUGAAUGAUGUAUGAAUUAUUUUUUCAUUGUGUGAAGUGGCCAUUGUAAGCCAACUACUUAUCUAUCCUUGUUCUUGUACUUGGGAUUGUCUGAAGAUGACCCUUCUUGCGACAAAACCACAAUGUGGUUAUGCCUUUAAGUCAUGCCUCGACACGUGGGCGAUAUAGCCGCAUCGUGGGCGUUACAAGUUGGUAAUCAGAGCCAUCCCCGACUUAGGAGCCCUCUGCUUGAUCGAAUCACUGACGUUGUCGAGUCUAGAAAAAAAUGUUUUGAGUCUUAAGAUUAUAUAUAUCGAAGAGUAGGAUUCUUUUUACUCCUCAGUCCCUUUGUCGCUCUGGUGAGGUCUCCCGACGUAGAUGUUUUGUCUUUCCUCUCCUCAAAUUUCACUAUUUUUUUAGGAUGACACGGGUAUCUCGGGAUCAUUCUGAUAUUCUUAUGACGAGAACAUUGUUCUUGGUGCCUCCUGACAUCUAGGGGUUGUGGCAGUGUCCCGGGGAGUUGAGCUCCGAGGUGUUGUCGUCACAAUUUUAUCAUUGCAGUUCUGGAAUACCUGAGUUUCACCGACAUCGAGAAUCUCUUUUAUGAAGUUGUUGGUGAGAUAACCUCGAUGCCACCUGGUACUGGGGCGGGAGUUCGGCAGUAUUGCCAUAGCUCGUAUAACGGAUGCUUUUCGAAGGUUGAGGUACAUGAUUUCCAGAGUUUUGUUGGUUAUGUGUUGACGGAUGGAUACAACUGGAUGUAGGGAUUGUGUAGUUGGGUGAGAUAUAUUGCUUCCCUUGUAUCCCCAACACCAGAUUGCAUAACCACAAGGUUUCAGGAGUUUUAUAGGUGGAAAUUCAAGUAGCUCCUAGAAUAUCUGUUUGACAGAUGCAUGAUAUGGGAUUGGGUAAAUCUCUAUCAUAUGUAUUUGUUCCGGCUUAUCCUGCAAGCCAAAUCCUUUGUUUUGUUUUGAGUUGUGGUAUUCGAGUUGCUUUGAUGUCAAGUGUUGAUCCAUACCUUCUCUAAAUGGUGUUCUCAUAUUUCUGUUGGAGUGCUAAUCCUUUUUUAUCAUUGAGGUUGUCAUGUUAAUUCUUUUCCAACCGGCGUGCUUCUCUUCAAGUGGAUCCGAUCAUUUCAACAUCCACAAGAUCAAUUCUAAGUUUCCUCAACGGUAUCCAUUCCAUCUGCCCCAAGUUGCCUUUGUUUUCCCGCCCUCCCACCCCUUUUCUUCAAGGACUCGGAUUUCUUAAUCAUGUAUCCUUUUAUUUGUGAGAAGUAUCUUCAUUCUUUUCUUUCAAUGUUCUAAUCCGGUGAUUUCCUUGAAGAUGCUCAACACUUUCAGGUUCAUCAUCCUUCGUUGUUGUUUCUUAUCCGGUGGAUCCAAUUCAAGCUUUUGGGGUUGAUCAUAUUCCUUUCCUUUUUGCAAAUGCUUUCUCAUGCCGAUGCACCUCUUAAUCAUUCACUUCUCGCUAUUCAUUUGUUCUAGAGUGCUGAAGAUAUCUCAGAAGGCUCGUCUUUUCAUUCAAGAUCCGUUCAAGCUAUUUGGAGAUUAUUAUCUCAUUCAAGUCAUUUAAUUCAACAGCUGCAAUCUCUCUUUAAAAUCAUUUCAAUGGUGUUUCUCUUGAGUGGGCCCUAACCCAUAGGUCUUUUCCGAGGAUCUUACCUGGCUCUUUUAUUUUUUCGGAGCUAUUCUCAAAUCUUUUGAAGUUUGAGGUAAGAAUGAAUUUUUGAUUAGUCACAUGCCUUCUCCAAGGUCGCUUUCAAAUUCUUUUCAUCUUUGGCUCAACCUUUCCUCUUUUAAUCCUUCCGGAGUGUCUCAACAAUUCAUGGUGGUGUUUCUCAUCAUCAUUCUCAGAUUUUGAAGACCGAAGAAGAGUUCCUCUUAAAUCCUUACCCAUUCUUCCAGUUCAUGGUUCUAGCUUUAUACCAUCCUCUCAUAAUUGUUUUCGAUUGUGAGAAUUCUUUUGACCCAUCCGACACAUUUCAGGAGUUUCUUUCCUUUCUCUAUCACCCGAAGGCCAUCAUUUUUGAAUAUUAUUCAUUCUCAACUUUCAGCUCUCGUUCUCGAAUUCUUCUGGUGCAUCGCUCAAAUAUCCUCUAAUCAGUUCAUUAUCUCUUUGUUCUCUUGUAUCUAAAUUCUCUUAAGAAUCUUUGUUCAUUUUCCAAUUCGUCCUGGUGAUGUGUUCGUUUUCUUCGUUCAUUCUUUUAAUCCUUAUGGUGGUUCGUCCAAUAUUCCUCUCCUAUUGUUAUCAUACCAAUUCAUUCGUUCUUCCAAAUCCCACCGGUGGUUCCAUCAAUACCUUCUCAAGUUUGCACUAUAUCUCUCUUAAUCCUUUCUACGAGUAUAAGUAGUAUACUAAAUCCGUUGCUUGUCAUCAAUUCAAAUUGGUAAAGGAUAUGCAUAAUGUAAUUCUUAUUAUUGUUUCAUCCAAGUGAUCUAGUUUCUUCUUUCCAGAGUUGUUCAUCAUGUCACAUUUCUUGGUUCCAGAUGCUCCAUCUUUUCUUUUCCGGAGUUCCAAGUUUUCCGCAUUAUCUCGUCGCGAAGCUUCAUCUAAAUCAUCGCAAGGCUUCACCUUGUGUUCUCAACUUAUUUUUUUUAUCAUCCUUUUAUUACCGGAGUUCUUCAUGGAGACUCUACAUGGUGGUUCGUCAAGGAUUCUUUUUAUUCUUCAAUUGUUCUUCAAGAUUUCUCUCGAAGCUAAGAUCCGCCAAGCUAUACUCAAAAAUAAACAUGGUGCCCAACACAUGUUUUUCUCUGAGGAGUUCAAGCAUUCUUCAUCUUGCAUUCCAAAGUGCGAUUCUCCUACCUUAUCUUUUGAGAUGGUGUUAUAUCAUUCUUGACAAUUUCCAUUCAUGUUCGUGAUUCACAUGUUGUCAAGAAUGAGGUAUUUUAAAUCCAUCAAUCUCUUCGUUGGAGUUAUCUUGGUAUAGAUUUCACUUAAAGCCUUCCCUAAGGAAUGUUGCUAAUUGUGGUGUCUAUCGAUUAUCCAAGUUUCCACCUAUUCUCGCGGUGAAAGAAGUUUUUCAUCUCUUUGGUGCUCUCAAUCAAAUCAAUGGUUUCCAUUAGUGGCCGGUUGUCACCACAUAGUCUUGAGAUGUUUUCCAUAAGCCCAUAACAAGCUUGUGCUUUCGUUGUUGAUUUUCCAACAUUGCGUUCAACCCUUCUCCGUAAGGAUGUUUUUCAAAUUCGUCUGUGGUAGAAGUUGUUGUUCUCUUCUCCGUUCUUUUAAUACCACUCUUUUGUUCCAGAGGCGUUGUGAUGUUGCUCUCUUCACCCAUCAUAUAUUCAUAUCGCUUUGUCAAGAUCAUGUUCUCUUCUUGCUUACCCAUUUAACCAGAGUGUUGCGUCCUAUUUUCAAGCUCUUUCUGUCUUAUUAAUUUCCUUCUAUUUUCAAUUGGAGUGUUGCCCGGAUUAUUCUUUUCUCAUCUCGUUUUAACCACAAUGGUUUCAAACUCUAUUUUGCCCCUUAAGCUCUUGGUUCUCGUCAUAUUCGUUGUUACUCUUGUCCAACGUACUGUUUGUAAUCUCAUUCAUCACUGUUGUAUUCUUUCUUUCAAGUUGUUCAACCUCUCGAGGUUCGUGGUUUCACUCGUUUGUCAAAGAAACAACUUUGUUUUACCUCUUCCUCUUCCGCUUUUCUCCGGUGCCAUCCUUAGAUCUCGGGACGAGAUCUCUUGUAGUGGUGGAGUGUUGUAACACCCCGGAUGUAACUUUCCAUAAUUGUAACUCCAACUCUUGCCAUUUCCACCUAUGUGUUGUGAUAUUUCUUUCGUGGUGGGCUUUUGUCUUUCAUUUUGCAUUUUGUUCAUGCCAUGCAUCUCAUCUCAUAGCAUCAUGCACAUUGCAUCUGCAUGUUUUCAUAAAGCUUGCAUCCGUUCGUAGUUGCCGUGUUCCCCCCUUGCCUUCGUUGACCGAUCCGAGUCCAACCGGGUUUUCGAUUCCCUCUUGUCUGACCGUUUGACCCUCUCUACACUUUACUUAGACGCCUCGCGCGCAUCCGAAAGUUGUCCCGAACCCGAUCCGGUCUGUUGUGACCGAUGAGUCCGGAUCAUCCCCAAACAUCCCUAAAAUAUCUUCGGUUCUUUGUUUGAGCUUCCUAACCUAUUUAUCUAGACGGUAUGAUUUUGAUCGGAGGGACUAGGUAGCCCCUAACCUAAUCCCACCUGCUAUAUAAGUAGCCUAACCCUAGAUUUUAGGCAGGCUGUCCCAUCCAUCUCAUCCCCGCCGCCACUCCAUCAAAUCCCCCUCGGGAUCCCUCCCGAUCCACCAUGUCUUUAGCCACCCACCAACCAGAGCAUUGCCCCAUCCUCUCUAUCCCAUCCAUCCCAAUCUAUCCACUCGGCCCUCCCCCGCAAGCAGCCUCCCAGGCGCCCCUUGCAUCCCUCGCAGUGCCCCGUUUCUCCUGCCCGAGGCCCCAUGAGUCUUCCGCUCAUUUGUGUCCCUGCCUUCGGCAACACCGCCAUCCCUGCCGACGACCAAGACCAACUGCAGGUCAUCGCCCCAGUCGUCCUCGACCUCGUGCCUCCCCGAGCGGAGGGGCUCAUCCCCGAGCUCGACCGAGCACCUCGCCCGCGAGCGUUCAAGACCCUGCCUCGUCCCCAAGUUCCAGCGCCGUGCCCUCUCCUCCCGCACAAGAGCCCGCACUCGCCUCCAUUCGCCUUCAGCAGCCGCGUCGACGAGCAUCACCACCAGAGACUCGCCACCGAGCAGCAGCUCCAGCCCGUGCCCGCGCUUCCCCUGUCUCUCUCUCUCUCUCUCUCUCUCUCUCUCUCUCUCUCUCUCUCUCUCUCUCUCUUUCUCUCUCUUUCCCUCCUCGUUUUCCCUCUCUCCUCUCACAGGUAGCUCCGCCGCCCGAACUCCGGCAAAGAUCCGGCCAUCGCAGCUCCGUCCCGUCCUUGCCUUGCCAGGAGAGGCUCCGCCUUUGCCAAGUCCCCCGCCAAGGCGCCGCUGCAUCGUGCUGCAACGAGUGCCUGCUCGACCCAGAUCCGCCCCGCUGGGCCUCCUCACCGACGCUGAGCUAGGCCCAUGGUGAGCACCAAAUCCAGCCCCUCAUCUCUGUUCGUCCCAGCAGUGCACCAGAUGCGGCCUGUGUUUUUUUUCCUGCACUGCGGUUUUCUCUAUUAUCAAGUGAAUUACAGUUUUGCAGAAAAACCCUCUAACUUCAUGCAUAUAAUAACUCAUGAACUAUGCAUCAUAUGUAAAAACUUCAUAUAUGUAAAGUGCUAAGAAUUUCAUCUUGUUUCAUACUUUCCAACUUUCAUCCAAGUUAAAAAUGUUUAACUUGUUGUUUGCUACUAUUUUGCAUAAAUCGCAUGCUAAAAUUCUUUAUUUCAUAACUAAUUAACCGUAGCUCUGAAUUUAAUAAACUUUAUAUGUAAAUGGUAUAGAAAAAUGCAUAGGUUAACAUGGCGCACUUUGUUUUACUAUUUAAUAAUAUUAAAAUAUGUUUUAAGGAAGAACAGUAGCAAAUUCAAAAUAUGCACAUGGGGAUUUUCCAGAAUUGUUGUUUGUUGUUCCGGCCUCAUUUAAACUUGCCUAGAUAGGUAGUUUUCAUAUGCUUCACCCCUUGCCAUGUUUAAUAACAUUCAAUAUUUUUUGGUACAUAAAUGAGAGAGAACUAAAUAAUUGAUGUGGUGUUUCGUCAAUAUGCAACUCCUUGCAUAUUGAGCUCCACUUUAUUUGUAGUAUUGUUUGUGCACUUUGCCAUGCCAUGCCUCAUUAAACCGGACAUGCAUCAUACUUGAUUUUGCAUCAUGCCAUGUUUAUGUGAUGGUUGUUUGCCAUGUUGUUUUCUUCUUUCCAGUUAUGCUUCUUUCCGGUAACAUUGCGUUCGUGAGUUUUCAUUCGACUACGUUGGUUCGUCUACUUCAUGGAUUCGGUCUUCUUCCUAGCAGAAUUUUAGGCAAGAUGACCAUUACCCUCGAUAUCACUUCUAUCUUUGCUUGAUAGUUAUUCAUUCUAUCGCUAUGUCGUGCUGCCUACCACUUGUUUAUCAUGCCUCCCAUAUUGCCAUGUCAAGCCUCUUACCCACCUUCCUAGCAAACCGUUGUUUUGCUAUGUUACCGCUUUUGCUCAGCCCCCUCUUUUAGCGUUGUUAGUUGCAGGUGAAGUUGAAGAUUGCUCCAUGUUGGAACAUGAACAUGUUGGGAUAUCACAAAAUCUCUUAAUUUUAAUUAAUGCAUCUAUAUAAUUGGUAAAGGGUGGAAGGCUCGGCCUUAUGCCUGGUGUUUUGUUCCACUCUUGCCGCCCUAGUUUCCGUCAUACCGGUGUUAUGUUCCUUGAUUUUGCGUUCCUUACGCGGUUGGGGUUAUGGGACCCCCUUGACAGUUCGCCUUGAAUAAAACUCCUCCAGCAAGGCCAAUCUUGGUUUUAACAUUUGCCUACCUACCACCUAUACCUUUCCCUUGGGUUCUGCAGACUCAAGGGUCAUCUUUAUUUUACCCCCCCCCCCCCGGGGGGGCCAGUGCUCCUCUGUGUGUUGGUCCGAACCGGGCAACCUGCGGGGCCACCUCAGGGAAACUUGAGGGCUGGUUUUACUCGUAGCUUGACCUAUCUGGUGUUCCCUGAGAACGAGAUAUGUGCAGCUCCUAUCCGGAUUUGUCGGCACAUUCGGGCGGACUUGCUGGACUUAUUUUACCAUUGUCGAAAUGUUUUGUAACCGAGAUUCUGAGUCUGAUCGGGUGAUUCCGAGAGAAGGAAUAUCCUUCCUUGAUCGUGAGAGCUUGUGAUGAGCUAAGUUGGGACACCCCUGCAGGGUAUAAACUUUCGAGAGCCAUGCCCGCGGUUAUGUGGCAGAUAGGAAUUUUUUAAUAUCCGUUUUAGAGAACUUGACACUUACGUGUGUGUAGCCGUGAUGGUCUCUUUUCGGUGGAGUCCGGGAAGUGAACACGGUUUGGGUUAUGAUUGAACAUAAGUAGUUUUAGGAUCACUUCCAGCUUCACGGUCGUUGCGUAGUUUCUCAUCUUACUCUUGUUUGCGUAUGUUAGCCACCAUAUUUGCUUAGCGGUUAGUGCAACUCCACCUCAUUACCUUAUCCUACCCAUAAGCUUAAAUAGUCUUGACCUUGCGGGUUUUGAGAUUGCUGAGUCCUCGUGACUCACAGAUACUACCAAAACAGUUGCAGGUGCCAAUGAUACCAGUGCAGGCGAUGCUACCGAACUCAAGUGGGAGUUCAACAAGGACCUUGGUCGUUACUAUGUUUCGUUUCCUGAUGAUCAGCAGUGGAGCCCAGUUAGGACAAUCGGGGAUGUAGCAUUUUGGGUUAUCUUCUUUUCAUUUGGAUUUGUUCGUAGUCGGACUAUGUGUCUACUCUGAAUGAUGUAUGAAUUUUUGUUCAUUGUGUGAAGUGGCGAUUGUAAGCCAACUAUUUAUCUAUCCAUGUUCUUGUACAUGGGAUUGUGUGAAGAUGAACCUUCUUGCGACAAAACCACAAUGCGGUUAUGCCUCUAAGUCAUGCCUCGACACGUGGGAGAUAUAGGCGCAUCAUGGGCGUUACAAGUUGGUAAUCAGAGCAAUCCCCGACUUAGGAGCCACUUGCUUGAUCGAAUCGCUGAUGUUGUCGAGUCUAGAACAAAAAUGUUUUGAGUCUUAGGAUUAUAUAUAUCGGAGAGUAGGAUUCUUUUUACUCCUCAGUCCCUUCGUCGCUCUGGUGUGGUCUCCUGACAUAGAUGUUUUGUCUUUCCUCUCCUCAAAUUUCAUUAAAUUAUUUUUAGGAUCACACGGGUAUCUUGGGAUCGUUCUGAUAUUUUUGUGAUGAGAACAUUUUUCUUGGUGCCUCCUGACAUUUAGGGGUUGUGGCAGUGUCCUGGGGAGUUGAGCUCCGAGGUGUUGUCGUCACAAUUUUAUGUCAUGCCACCAAGAUGAUGUGGUACAAAAAUAGGCAUGUUUGACGAAAGUUUAUACACACACCCCUCACAAACUGGAGCAACUCACUAGAAGGCUCGUGGUUUCGAGAGGGAACAAUACAUGUUUGAUGACAAAUGGGAGAUAGCUUCCUCUUAUGGCCUACAAAUUUUUUCUACGUUUAACAUGCACUAUGACAACUGUCAUGUGAAAAUUUGGAAAAUUCUAGGGGUCAUUUGACAUUUUAAAGACAUUUAAGUUAUUUUUGCUAGCCAUUUCAUGAACAUAAUUAAAAUUUGAUGUAUAUCUACAUGCAAAGGCUAACCAUAAUGGUUCGAAAAGUCAUAUUUUUGUGUACUUGUAUGCGAGUUAAAAAAUCAUCAGACGAUGUAAAUAUAUGGUGUUCAAAAAAGAAAAUGUAAAGAUCUGGAAAGACGAUCGGCCCCACACGAAGAGAUUUGGAAGGUGUGUGGCGGGGGUUAUUAAUCAGACAUGGUUCUGUAUUGGAAACCAUCAGCUAUUAUGUUCACACAUAGAUUUUGCUGUGGGGAUCGUGUGUAAUUCAAAGUACAGAUUUCAGCGACCGGCGUGUGUACUGUAUCCGUCGAUCUAGAUUCCGUCCGCCAAUAAAUACUACCUUGCUUGCGUUGUCCCGCCUGCAUUCUCAUCUCUACAUCCUCACCUCGCUCUCUCUCUCAAAUUGCUACCAUGGAGCCGCCGGUCUGCCCGCGCGUCCACGAGGAGUCGCUGCCCCCCAAGGACACUCACUCGAAGAGCAGCGACGAAGACCCCUACACGCCGCAAGACGAGGUUGCGCCGGACCCCCCAAAUUUGGAUUGGUUUUGGGGCCUGUCGGUGUCAAAACCGGCGGAUCUCGGGUAGGGGGUCCCGAUCUAUGCAUCAAGGCUGAUGGUAAUAGGAAGCAAGGGACACAGAUGUUUAUCCAGGUUCGGGCCCUCUCGAUGGAGUUAAACCCUACUUCCUGCUUGAUUAAUAUUGAAGAUAUGGGUAGUACAAGAGUAGAUCUACCACGAGAUCGUAGAGGCUAAACCCUAAGAGCUAGCCUAUGAUGGUAUGAUUGUAAUUGUGAUCGGCCUUCUAAGGACCAACCUCUCCGGUUUAUAUAGACACCGGAGAGGGCUAGGGUUUACAUGGAGUCGGUUACAAGGAAGGAAAUACAAUAUCCGGAUCGCCAAACUUGCCUUCCACGCAAAGGAGAGUCCCAUCCGGACACGGGCCGAAGUCUUGAGUCUUGUAUCUUCACGCUUCGAUAGUCCGAAUGUUGUACACAGUCCGGCUGUCCGGAUACCCCUAAUCUAGGACUCCCUCAGUAGCCCCUGAAUCAGGCUUCAAUGACAAUGAGUCCAGCACGUAGUAUUGUCUUCGACAUUGCAAGGCGGGUUCCUUCUCCAAAUACUCCAAAGUAAUUAUUGAACAUUUGAAUCGUGUCCGGAUCCACAAAAUGGUCUUCACAUGCCACCAUAGAGAGAAUGAUAUUUCACAAAUGCAAUCUGCUGACAACUUUUUUAGGCGACGUGACAUGUUACAACGGUCGGAUUAUUAUUCGAACUGUUUUCCCACAACCUGCCACAGCGCAUAUUGUGAGGCGGUUUCUUUGACACAUCUUGUCAAGGCAGAGAUCAUGUCCCCUUAUCGCGGGAUUCUCAUCAAUACGGGUAUGGGUAAUCCCACCAUGCCAUCAAUCGUGGCGCUUGGGAAGCAAGCGAUUCCCAACGGGCAAGUGGGGAGGCGCACCGCUUUCGUCGCCUCUAUAAAGGGAUAAGAUUUCCUCAUUUUUACCCAUGCCUUCCUUCUCCCUUGCCCACUCUUGCCCCCUCGAGCUCCAGCGCCCAAGCCCAAGUCUUCUCCGCACAGCUAAACAUGUCCGGAGCAGGAGACAAGUGGGUGGCUUCCACCGUCAAGGAGAAGCAUGUCACAAAUCUUCGGGCGGCCGGAUACUUGGCCGCAGACAUAGUGCACCGGCUACUGGACACCGGGCAGGUCAUUCCGACCACAGGACCCCACGAGAGGGUCGUGUUCGUUGCCCACUUCGUCCGUGGACUGGGAUUUCCACUUCAUCCCUUCAUCCGCGGGCUUAUGUUCUACUAUGGGCUAGAUUUCCAUGAUCUAGCCCCAAAUUUCGUCCUCAACAUCUCGCCGUUCAUCGUCGUAUGCGAGGCCUUCCUCCACAUUCGGCCUCACUUUGGCCUGUGGCUGCAAACCUUCUGCAUGAAGCCGAAGAUUGUAAGCGGCCAGCAAGCGGAGUGCGGAGGAGCCAUGGUGGGCAAGAUGCCUAAUGUCACCUGGCUAGACGGCUCCUUUGUGGAGACCAUAAAAGGGUGGCAAUCGGGGUGGUUCUACAUCACCGAGCCGCGUGGUGCCAACUGGGCAGCGACCCCCGAGUUCUGAUCUGGAGCCCCCAUGCGGCUCACCUCCUGGGAAAGGAAGGGCCUGUCCUGGGGCGAAUCUAUGGAGCUGACCGGACUCCAGACCUGCAUCAAGAGCAUGAAGGACAAGAACAUCAAGCUUGUUAAUGUGAUCUAGGUCAUGCUCGUUCGCCGGAUUCUGCCAUGCCAAAGGCGGGCAUUCAAUCUGUGGGAGUUUGUCCCGUCCGAACACCAGACACUCCGGAAGCUCUACGACAUGACGCACAAAGGCGCAUGGAAGGUGUUGUUCAAGGCCUCCUAAGUACCUCCUCCCACAUCCAAGGACCGCGGGCUUCACGCCGCGCGGGCUUCACGCUGCGCGGGCUUCACGCCACGCGGGCUCCUAGUCAGGUGAGAUCUCAGACUACCACUUGAUUCGGUUCUUCCCAAUAUAUUCAUGGGAGAGCCUUAAGUAGUCAUGCACAUUUGUUCAUGAUUAUGUGGAGAUAGCGGAGUAGGUUUAUUGUCCGGCUCCGUUGCCAAAAGGCCCAGCUGAUGCUCUCCUGACGGGGAUGCUGGUCCCGGCACCGUACAAGGUGCCGGAGAAGAAGGCCAAAAAGAAGGCCCCGGGGACCCGAAAGGGUCUCCGGCGUAAGGUUAUGCCAGAAGCCCCGUCCGAAGACGACGAGGCACACUCCUCCCACGAAGGGGAGGAAGAAGAAGAAGAAGAAGAAGCCCCAUCCGGAAAGGAUGAGGGGCCCGGGGAGGUAGACCAGGGGCCGGAAAAGGCCCUCGGCGUAAGGCCAUCAUACCCCUGUCGUCUGAUGACGAUGAGACAAAUUCCUCCCGCGGAAGCGGGGGAAUCAAGAAGAAAUUCUACCUCCCCACCCUGGAGGGGAGAAGAAGAGAAAAGCCGCCCCGGAGGGGGAGGCUGGGGCGUCCAAGAAGGGGAAGGUGUCCCUUCCGGACUACUCCGCCACGGCCGCUCACAGCGAGGAGGGGUGGCUACCCAGGGGGAAGCCCCCAGUGCGAUCGUAAGUGUCCGCACUCCAUCAUAACUUCACUCUAUAGCUUUUAUUUAACGCCGAACAUAUGUGCAGUCCGACCAGGGCUCACCCCGAGGUAUCUUCCUUCGGGUCUCUGAGCAAUUCGGAGAUGAAUUCGCUUCCGACAGCCACUACUCCUCAGCCCGCGGUUGACACAGAGGUGUUGUCCCGAAGACUCCCAGAGCGGGGGAGGUGACUCUGGAGACACCCCGAGGCAGGGUGCCAGAUGUCGGACAAGCGGGGUUCAAGAUCCCCGCGGAUCGUGUCGACGAGAGCCACAGUAGGCCGAGCUCUCAGCCGAACACUGUCCCGGAACCUUCAACGGUUCCGAACUCAGGCAGACAGCCCCUCGUUAGGGAGGGUGCGCCGUCUGCAUCGAGCACUUCCGUUGCACACGAGGCGCCAGAUUGUCUGCACCUAUGAGUUCGGUGAUUCGGAAGGUUUCGUCCGACAAGAGCGGACUAACCGAAGCGUGCACCAGCCUCUUGACAGGCUUUGAGGUAAGUAAUAAAUAUUUGUAAAAUUACCACCCGAUAGGUAGUAGCCCCUGAUACUCUGUUUGGUGUUCGGAAAGAAAAGCCAAACGGAGGGUCCAUUAUAAUCCACAGGAGUCUAAUAGUAAGUAUUCGUGUGAAUAAGCAGGCUGUGUUGCUUGCCGCCGCUGCCCGCACCGCCAAGGUUGCCAAACUAAAGCGGGGCCUGGAGCAAGCGCAGGGAGAGCUCGGCCUCACGAAGAGGCAGCUCGAGGAGAAGAAAGGUAAGCGAUUCCCCGCUCGCAUGUAUUUAAAGAUAGGCAAAAUUGGCUAGUCUAACGCCAAAGCGUCGUGACUGUGUGACAGGGGCCACCGCCGAAGUGGCAUCCCUGAAGAAAGUGUUCUCCAAGGCCGAAGACAAAGCGGCCUUGGAAUGCAAGGAGCGUGAAAAGCACAGUGCUAGAGUGGGCGAGGUACAUCAAGAGCUCCGGGACCUCGGCAAGAAGUACGAGUCCGUGGAGCAUGAUCUGAAGAUGAAAGAGGCCGAGAUUGCGAAGGCCCUUGUGAGUUUGAAGGACGCCAAGGCCGAAGCCAAGAAGGCACAACAGGAGAUCCAGGAGGCCAAAAAGAUAGCAGCGGGUAAGAAGUUCUUUAUUGAAAGGAAACAUGUGGAGGAGGCGUUUCUUUUACUUACUCGAAUUCGGAGCUCUCCAGGGGCAUUCGCAGAUCUGCCAUGCAGCGUAUCAGACGCUGCAGAGUUCUACCGUGCCCAGGAGGGGUGCUCAACGGAGAAGCUGUUCUAGUCCUAGUAUGCUGGGGUUGAACAUCCAAUGCCUCUGAGUGACCAAGUUAAGCAGUUGGUCGAACUCCACAGGGCGGCCGAAUUGUCUAUGAAAGGUUUCAUAGUCUGGAUGUGGCCUGGUGAGCUCCUGCCCAGUAGCUACUUUGGCCUGAUCAAGCGGAUGGUGGAUGCCUGUCCGCGGCUUGAAGUGAUCAAGCGAUCCGUUUGCAUCGAGGGUGUCUGCCGGGCCUUUGCCCGCGUCAAGGUGCAUUGGGGCAAGCUGGAUGCGGAGAAGCUGGUAAAGGACGGGCCGCCGGAGGGCAAGGCGCAUCGCUAUCUCGAGAUGUACUAUGAUGGUGUUAUGAAGGAUGCUCUUCUCGUGGCCGAUGAAUGUACCAAGGACACUAUUUUAAAGUGAAUUCACUUCUUUCAUGUUUGUAAUUUAAAGACGAAGUUACUUGUGCUAUGUAGCGCUUUUGUUAUUUAAAAUAUUAGCUUCUGUGUGGCCAUUUAUAAAAUUCUGAAAGUAGGCCAGUCGUCGGCUUCCGCCCCCACGUAACUAGUACUGGGGUGUUCGUGGAAAACCCAGACACUCUUUAUCCCAAUGUUUUGCUCCCUUAAGGAGGUGUCUGGCGCAGCGAACAAGGCAAUCGGACUAUGCGGCUUUAUAACUUUCACUUAGCCAUAGAAGUCUACAAUUUUAAAUUUCGGCGAAGCCCCUAAAAUCCGGACGGCCGAAUUGGGGCGCUAUACACGCCUAUAUCGGACGAAGCUGAUUUAUCGCCUAAAGCGGAAAAUCUUUAAGAAUUUUAAGACCUCUCGAACAGCGACCAGCUCUCGCCACAUCAUGCCGGUCAGUUUUCGGCUUUCUCUACUGAGGUGCUCAUCCGGAAGAACUGGGACACAAUCGCAGUAGUUCUCCCUACGCUACCUUAGCCGAUAUAACAGAAUGUAAGGCACCAAAACAAGGGAGCCGGGCUAUCCCAACUAUAGACCCAUGCAUAUAAUGCUAUAAGUUCGGGGUGCCGCACAGUUGAAAGUGUUCGGACUUGUCUUGCCGUAUUAUGGGGCGCCAUGAGAAGCCCCUGGCAAACUGACCGUACCAAGGUGUACGGAUGCAAUAUCAAAUAAACAUUUAUAAGAGAAAAAAUGCUCAAAUAAGAAUAAUAAGCUGACGCUAUAGAUAAUCUCCCAUUGUCGAAGAAUACAUUUAAGCGUAUGUUUACAAUGGAUGCAUUUAAGCGGAAAUAAAUAGGACUAUUUGACAUGUCCUAUCCAGGGGCAGGCUAUGUACAGAUAGAUAAGGCAGGUAUAAUGAUCGUAAAUAGAUUCUACCUGGGUAUUUCCUUAUGUGCACAACGUCUGUUGCCUCUUUGGAGGUCUCUCCCAUGUAAGUCUGGCAAUCCGGCUCUUCUGAGGAUGCUGCACUAAAGCGAUGUCCUGAAAGGUAAGAGGGAAAGAUUAUGAAGGUAUUUGACGGUUACCCGCACUAUUGACUGAGUCGUUGAUGCGUCUCCGCCCAUGCCCAUGGUAUCUCGAGUGCGUAAUUGUGUACGCGUGGCACGAAUGCUGCUUUGAUGGGGCUUGAGCGGAGGCCGGACUGCUAAUCACGCUCUUGGUGUUCCUGAUGAGCCUGUUGCAGGGUGCUCCGGACGCGCUUGAUGGUGCUUGAGGUCGCUGUCGCCAUUGGUGGUUUGCCGGAGGAGGCCGCAUUGUACUUCUGCCGCGAGGGCUGCAGUAUGCUCUUCUGUACGGAGAGAGCGGUCCAUGUUUCCGUUGACUGUUAUGACCCCGCGCGGACCUGGCAUCUUGAGCUUGAGGUAUGCAUAAUGUGGUACCGCAUUGAAUCUAGCGAAUGCGGUUCGUUCGAGCAGUGCGUGGUAACCACUACGGAAAGGGCGAUAUCAAAGAUUAGUUCUUCACUCCGGAAGUUGUCCGGGGAUCCGAAGACGACUUCCAAUGUUAUAGAGCCCGUACAGCGGGCCUCUACUCCAGGAAUUACACCUUUAAAUGUGGUUUUGGUGGGCUUGAUCCUUGAAGGGUCAAUGCCCAUUUUGCGCACUGUGUCCUGAUAAAGCAGGUUCAGGCUGCUGCCGCCGUCCAUGAGGACUCGCGUGAGGUGGAAUCCGUCGAUGAUUGGGUCUAAGAGCAAUGCGGCUGAGCCGCCAUGACGGAUACUAGUAGGAUGAUCCCUACGAUCAAAGGUGAUCGGACAAGCUAACCAUGGGUUGAAUUUGGGGGCGACUGGCUCCAUCGCAUAGACGUCCCGUAGAGCUCGCUUCUGUUCCCGUUUGGGGAUGUGAGUGGUGUAGAUCAUGAUGACCGUUUUCACCUGGGGGGGAACUUCUUUUGUCCCCUAGUGUUCGGACGCCAGGGCUCUCCGUCAUCGUCGUUGUGCAGCCCCUUGUCCUUGUUUUCGGCGCUUAUUUUGCCGGCCUGUUUGAACACCCAGCAGUCUCUAUUGGUGUGGUUGGCUGGCUUGUCCAGGGUGCCAUGAAUUUGGCACGAGCGCUCCAGUAUGCGGUCCAGACUGGACGGUCCCUAAUUAUUUCUUUUGAACGGCUUUUUCCGCUGACCGGACUUAGAUCCGCUGAAUCCGGCGUUGACUGUCGUGUCUUCAGUGCUGUCAUCGUUGUUCCUUCUCUUAUGUCUGUUACGCCGUGGCUUGCCGUUAGUAUCGCGUCCGUCCAAAGUGCCGGAAUGUGGCGUGAUGCCGCUGCGGGCCAACCAGCUGUCCUCACCCGCGCGGGUCAUUAGUGUUGUGAGAGCUGCCAUGGACUUGGGUUUUUCCUGGCCAAGGUGUCGAGCAAGCCACUCGUCACGAAUAUUAUGCUUAACUGCCGCCAGGGCUUCGGCGUCCGGACAGUCGACUAUUAGGUUCUUUUUAGUUAGGAACCGAGUCCAGAAUUUCCUGGCUGACUCUCCAGGCUGUUGAGUAAUGUGGCUCAGGUCAUCAGCGUCUGGUGGUCGCACAUAUGUUCCCUGGAAGUUGUUGAGGAAUGCGCCUUCCAGGUUUUCCCAACUGCCAAUGGAUUUUGCUGGCAGGUUGUUUAACCAGUGCCGGGCUGGUCCUUUGACCUUAAGGGGAAGAUACUUGAUGGCGUGUAGAUCAUCUCCGCGGGCCAUUUGAAUGUGGAGAAGGAAAUCUUUGAUCCAUACUGCGGGGUCUGUUGUGCCAUCGUAUGAUUCGAUGUUUACGGGUUUGAACCCUUCUGGGAAUUCAUGAUCCAUUACUUCGUCAGUGAAGCAGAGGGGGUGUGCGGCGCCUCUGUGCCGGGCUAUGUGGCUACGCAGUUCGAAUUGGUCUGGGUUUGCUGUGUUCGGCCCGGCCGGACUUGUUAAUAAUGUAUCCAGUGUGACGGUCAUCAUCGCGCGUUGGGGCGCGCCCCCGCGAUCCGUAGAUCGAUCUUGGCUGUCCUGCUUUGUUUUCUAGAAUAUCUUGCAGGUCUUGCCUGUUGCCCUGGGUUGUAGUGUAUCAGCAUGGGGGUGUGGGCUGGUAUUCAGGCUGAUAUCCCGUUUUAUCCCGGCCACGGAGUGGCCGGUCAGCCGUUUGGCGCUCGAGUCCAUAUUCCUCGGCUACCAGGACUUCAGUCCAUCUGUCGGUGAGCAGGUCUUGAUCAGCUUGGAGUUGCUGCUGCUGCUUCUUCAGGCUUCUCGCAGUGGCUAUAAGCCGACGCUUGAAGCGCUCCUGCUCCACGGGAUCCUUAGGCAUGCUGAACUUGUCGUCACCGAGGCUAAUCUCGUCUUCGGAGGGGGGCAUGUAGUUGUCCUCCUCUGGGUAUCCAUCCGUCGCCUGUUCUUAUGGGCUGACCUGCUCAUAUUCCCGUUCGGCCUGGUCCAAGGCGGGCUGGUCAGGGUUAUAUUCCUCUUUGGUGCCAUCCGGAUUGCUUUCAUCUCCGGGGCCAGUAUUGCUAUGGCGGGGCUUGGAGCGGCGCCGACGAUGCCCAUGCUUUGCUUUUCUUCCUGAGGGGUUAUCAUCUGUUGCCUCGUCGCCAUUGGCUUCCUUUGGAGUGUCCACCAUAUAUAUAUCGUAUGAGGAGGUGGCCGUCCACCGCCUUGUGAGCGGCGGCUCCUGUAAUUCUCCUACAUCGUCGACCAUACCGUCGAUGUCAUCGGCGUCGAAGUCAAGCACGUCGGUUAAAUCAUCGAUCAUGGCAAUGAAGUGGGUGGUGGGUGGGCAACGAAUUCCUUCAUCGUCCGCUUCCCACUCAAACCGGACAUAGUUCGGCCCAGAGCCUCUUGACAAAGAGAGAUACUUUAAUGAGUUUAGCAUGUCGCCAAAGGGCGAGUGCUGAAAGAUGUCCGCUGCGGUGAACUCCAUUACCGGAGCCCAACCCGGCUCGGCAGGCUCGGGAACGUGCAGACUGGAACCUACAUCCGAAUACGAAUCCGGGGGUCUGGAGUCACAGGCUUCCUCGGAAGCGAGGCCUGUGUUCGGCUCUACCGCUGAUGAGGGUACGCCCUGCGGGGCGGGGUCCAUCCCUCCGUCCCUAGGCAACACAGCCUGCUCCGGAUUUGAGUCCGGGGCUACUGCAGGGGUGAUAUCCCGAGCGUUGUCCGACAGCAGGUCCAGGCCAUGCUCGUCAUGACUGUCCGGUGCUCCUGGCGCGGGCCCGAAUCCGUCAAAGAUCAAGUCUCCGCCGAAAUCCGCCGUGUAGUUCAGGUUUCCGAACCUGAGUUGAUGGCCCGGGGCGUAGCUGUCGAUCUGCUCCAGAUGACCAAGCGAAUUGGCACGCAGCGCGAAGCCGCCAAACACGAAUUAUCUUGCUAUCAAACUACUCCUUACUUAUAAUUUUAGUACUUGCAAAGAAUACCUUGCUUAAAAUCACUUUUCAUUUUCUUCUGCUCUUCAUUGGGUUCGACACUCUUACUUAUCGAAAGGACUACGAUUGAUCUCCUAAACUUGUGGGUUAGCAGAGGCUCCAACCCCUGACGCCCAAGGUCGAGCCGGCGCCGACGGAGUGCUACUUUUGGACCGGUGGGCUGCGUGAGCGGGUCAGCGCCCCCUCCCCCCGUGUGGCUCGACGUGACGCUGCCGCACGAGGUGGCAUACCUUAAGCAGUGGAGGCAGCGCGCUGUGGAGGACGAGCACGCCGACGGCGAGCGGCUCAUGGAGAUCGAGCGCGAGGAGGAGGAACGCCAUGAGAAGGAGGAUGAGGAACGCUGAUACGUCUCUGUCGUAUCUAUAAUUUUUGAUUGUUCCAUGCCAAUAUUAUUCACUUUUAUAUACUUUUGGCAACUUUUUAUACUAUUUUUUUGGGACUAACAUAUUGAUCCAGUACCCAGUGCCAGUUCCUGUCCGUUGCAUGUUUUUUGUUUCGCAGAAACCCAAUAUCAAACGGAGUCCAAACGGGAUAAAAAUGGGCGGAGAUUUUCUUUGGAAUAUUUAUGAUAUUUGGGAAGUAAAAUCAACGCUAGACGGUGUCCGAGGUAGGGGGGCGCGCCCUACCCCCCCAGGCGCGCCCCUGACCCUCGUGGUCCACCCGUAAGGCAGUUGAUGCCCUUCUUUUGGCGCAAGAAAUAUAAUUUUAUGAGAAAGAUCUGGGCGAAAGAUUCACCCAAAUCUGAGUUAUGGAUCUCCAGAUAUAAAGGAAACGGUGAAGGGGUAGAAUCAGAGAACACAGAAACAGAGAGAUAGAUCCAAUCUCGGAGGGGCUCUCGCCCCUCCCAAGCCAUGGGAGCCAAGGACCAGAGGGGAAACCCUUCUCUCAUCUAGGGAGAAGGUCAAGGAGGAAGAAGAAGAAGGGGGGCUCUCUCCCCCUUGCUUCCGGUGGCGCCGGAGCGCCGCCGGGGGCCAUCAUCAUCACCCGAUCUUCACCAACACCUCCAUCAUCUUCACCAACAUCUCCAUCACCUUCCCCCUUUUAUCUACAGCGGUCCACUCUCCCGCAACCCACUGUACCCUCUACUUGAACAUAGUGCUUUAUGCUUCAUAUUAUUUUUCAAUGAUGUGUUGCCAUCCUAUGAUGUCUGAGUAGAUUUUCGUUGUCCUAUCGGUGAUUGAUGAAUUGCUAUGAUUGGUUUGAGUUGCAUGUUUUAUUAUUGGUGCUGUCCUAUUGUGCCCUCCGUGUCACGCAAGCGUGAGGGAUUCCUGCUGUAGGGUUUGCAAUAUGUUUAUAAUUUGCUUAUGGUGGGUGGCGUGAGUGACAGAAGCACAUACCCGAGUAAGUAGGUUGUUUGCGUAUGGGAUAAAAGGGGACUUGAUACUUUAAUGCUAUGGUUGGGUUUUACCUUAAUGAAUCUUUAGUAGUUGCGGAUGCUUGCUAGAGUUCCAAUCAUAAGUGCAUAGAAUUCAAGUAAGGGAUGAUAUGUUAGCUUAUGCCUCUCCCUCAAAUAGAAUUGCAAUAGUGAUUACCGGUCUAGUAACAGUCAAUUGCUUAGGGACAAUUCCACAACUCCUACCACCACUUUUCCACACUCGCUAUAUUUACUUUAGUUGUGUCUUUAUCUAAACAGCCCCUUGUUUAUAUUUACGUGUUGUUUACUUUCUUGCAAGCUUAUCCAACAACACCUACAAAGUACUUCUAGUUUCAUACUUGUUCUAGGUAAAGCGAACGUCAAGCGUGCGUAGAGUCGUAUCAGUGGCCGGUAGGACUUGAGAGAGUAUUUGUUCUACCUUUAGCUCAUCGUUGGGUUCGACACUCUUACUUAUCGAAAGAGGCUACAACUAUCCCCUAUACUUGUGGGUGAUCAAGACCUUUUUCUGGCGCCGUUGCCGGGGAGUCAUAGCGUGGGGUGAAUAUUCUCAUGUGUGCUUCUUUGCUUUGUCACUAAGUAAUUUUUAUCUGUUGUUCUUAGUUGUUCUUUAUCUUUAGUUAUGGAUAUGGAACACAAAAUACCAAAAAAAUAGGUGUACUUGCUACUCAUGGAGAUGGGGAACCUCCUAAAACCCUCGAUGCUAGUUAUGUGAAAGAUAUUAUGUACUACUUUGAUAAUCCUGAGAAAACCCCAUUCAACUAUGUAAUGGGAGUAAUGUUGGGUCAACGUGAAUACUUCAGGGAUUAUCGCUUGACAGAAAAAGGGAAACUAUUAUGGGAUCAAAUUCAUAUAUUGAAGUAUUAUGCUUGGCAACUAUGCGUGGAAUAUGAUUAUACUUGUUGCUCUAGGAUGAAUUCUCCGCACCUUCCCUUUUCAUGCAAAUUUAAUGAUAAUAAAACCUUAGCUUCUUAUGCUAAUGGUAUAUAUGAUUACUAUGAUGUGGAACAAAUAGAAGAAUUUGUUGCUUUUAUGGGUGCUUAUGAAAUUGAAGCUAUGUGUAAAGAGUUUGAGGAUUUUGAUGAUGUUGUUUAUAGAUCUGAAAAUUUAGCUAUCCUCAAAUAUUGCUAUGAGAAUUAUAAAUACAAUUAUGAAAUUAAUGCACUUAUUAAGAAAGUCUCCGCUGUCCAAGAAGAGACUAAUAUUUUGCAGGAAGCUAUGGAAGAAGAAAUUGAUGAAAAUGUGAGCUCAUUGGAUGAAAAAGAUGAUGAGGAGAGCGAAGAACAAAAGGAGGAAACGCGGAUUGAUCACCCGUGCCCACCUUCUAAUGAGAGUAACCCUCCAAUUCAUACAUUAUUUAAUUCCCCUUCAUGCUUACCGAAGGAUGGUUGCUAUGAUGAUUGCCAUGAUGAUUGCUAUGAUGAUUGUUAUGAUCCCGUUGAUUCUCUUUAAAUAUCCCUUUUUGAUGAUGCUUGCUAUGCUUAUGGCCAAGAUGCCAAUAUGAAUUAUGCUUAUGGAGAUGAACUUGCUAUAGUUCCUUAUGUUAAACAUGAAAUUGUUGCUAUUGCACCCACGCAUGAUAGUCCUAUUAUCUUUUUGAAUUCUCCCGAAUAUACUAUAUCGGAGAAGUUUGCGCUUAUUAAGGAUUAUAUUGAUGGGUUGCCUUUUACUACUACACAUGAUGAUUUUGAUAGAUAUAAUAUGCAUGUGCUUGCUGCUCCUACUUGCAAUUAUUAUGAGAGAGGAACUAUAUCCCCGCCUCUCUAUGUUUCCCAUACGAUAAAAUUGCAAGAAACUGUUUAUACUAUGCAUUGGCCUUUACUAUGUGUGCAUGAAUUGUUCUUUUAUGACAUGCCGGUGCAUAGGAAGAGAGUUAGACUUCGUCAUUAUAUGAUUUAUGUUACUUUGUGCUCACUGCUAAAUUACAAAUCAUUGUUAAUUAAAAUUGGCUUUGAUAUACCUUGGGAUCCGGGUGGAUUCACUACUUCAGCACUAUAUGCCUAGCUUAAUGGCUUUAAAGAAAGCGCUGCCAGGGAGACAACCCGGAAGUUUUAGAGAGUCAUUUAUUUCUGUUGCGUGCUUUCAUAUAGUUUAAAAAACAAAAAUAAAGAGGGGAACCCAAAACUUUUCAAAAAAGAGAAGUGAAAGAGAGAGACGAGCAUUGUGAAAGUGGGGGACGUCCUUAAACUUGUUCAGGCCCGUGGGAACUUUGUGAAUCUUAAUUACAGAAACUUUUCAAUAAAAAUAAUUAUCCCCUUGUACAAUUUCAUUGUAUUAUAAAAAUAAUGUGCCAAGGUUUGCCUUUAGGAUGUUUACAAUGCUUGUUGGUUUGUACGGUGCCGGACAGAAACUUUGGCUGUAGUGCACGAUUUUACAUUUUUAGCUGGACAUCAAAUGGUUCUGAUUCCUUAUGCACUGUCUUGCUAUAAAACUUGUUUAUUUUUCCUAAUUUUGGUAGAAUUUUUGGGGUACCAGAAGUAUGGUGGAUGUUCAGAUUGCUACAGACUAUUCUGUUUUUGACAGAUUCUGUUUUUGAUGCAUAGUUUGCUUGUUUUGAUGAAUCUAUCAAUUUAUAUCAGUGGAUUAGGCCAUGAAAAUGUUAUAUUACAGUAUACAAAAUGAAAAAAAAUAUGAAUUGGUUUGCAACAGUACUUAGAGUGGUGAUUUGCUUUAUUAUACUAACGGAUCUUACCGAGUUUUCUGUUGAAGUUUUGUGUGGAUGUAGUGUCUAAUCGAGGAUGUCUCGAUAUGAGGAAAAUGAAGAGAGGCAAGAGCUCAAGCUUGGGGAUGCCUGAGGCACCCCAAGUAAAUAUUCAAGUAGACUCAAGCAUCUAAGCAUGGGGAUGCCCCGAAAGGCAUCCCCUCUUUCUUCAACAAGUAUCGGUAUGUUUUCGAAUUUUUUUUGUUCAUGCAUUAUGUGCAAGUCUUGGAGCAUCUUUUGCAUUUAGUUUUCAUUUUUAUUUUAUGCACCAUGCUGGUAUGAGAUAGUCCUUGGUUGAUUUAUAGAAUGCUCAUUGCACUUCACUUAAAUCUUUUGACACUAGUGCAGAACCGGGCAAUAGCACCGGUUCGUAAGGCCCUGUAGUGCCGGUUACAUAACCGGCACUAAAUUAUGGUCACUAAAGGCCCCCCCUUUAGUACCGGUUCAGCACGAACCGGUGCUAAAGGGCAACCACGUGGCACGAGCCAGCUCCGGGGGCCUGGAGCCCUUUAGUACCGGUUGGUAAGGUAAGACCAACCGGUACUAUAAGGUUUGGGGGGUUUUAGUUUUAUGAUUUCUUUUUCAUUUAAUUUUGUGUUUCCAUUUUAAUUCUUUUUCGUUUGCUGGUAUUUUACGGUACUACACAUUGUACACGUUAUAUAUAUAUAUAUAUAUAUAUAUAUAAAAUUUCUAGUAGAACCAAUCAUGCAUAUAUAUAUCAUCAAUGUAUCACAAACCACCAUAUUAAUUAAUUCACACAUACACACAUGUAUAGCUAUAUACAAUUUCUCCUACAUAUGCAUGUUGCCUUCGGAGCCAGUGGCAUUAGCCUAAUUGGUGCCUUCGGAGCACGAUGACAAUUGGAAGUGGUUUUCAUGGGGGCGGUAGCGGGUAAUAGAAUUCUCCCUUCGGAUUUAUGACCUGGUCGAGCAAAAAUCCCGCUAUUUCCUUUUGAAGUGCUUCUACGCGCUCCGUUUCUAUGAGCUUCUCCCGCACCUCUUUGAACUGUUAAGGAGAUCAAUAUGCAUGUAUAUUAGUUGUGUGAGCUAGAUAUCGAUAAUGGUGUAAAAAUUGUGAAUAGUGUUCUGACAAGCGUACCCAUUCCUGUCUUUGAGAUCUGCUCCUUUCGGACGCCAUCAUGCGAAUGUUCUCGCAAAUGCAGAAUGCACACAGAUCAGUCCCCUGCGCCUGCUUCAGGGCCUUUACGAGAGAAUGGAAUUUGAUUAGAUAAAAAUUAAUCAAGCAUGAUAAUUAAAGAGAUGGCAGUCUAGUACUACUUAAUUGCUUACCUUGGGUCGAAACCAUCGAAGCUUUUGUUUCCAUUCGCCGGGCGUGACAGCGAUGAACCUUGCCCAAGCCCUGCCCGCCGACAAAGAAAAUGAAUAAAGGGGUUAUUAAAUAGUUCAUAUCAUGAAAUGACGAACUAAAUAGGCCGAGAUAUAUAGUUAAUAAUGAUUGAAAUUACCUGUUGACUAUCCCAUACAAGAUGUUAUAGUCAGUUUUUUCUGAGAUUAGCGAGUCUAGUACUUUAACUGUUCCGGCGUCAACUUUAAUGAUACACAAGACCCAGUGAAAUUUGCAUGUGCACACACGUUUGCAUGUCUUAAUUAAGCGGCAUAUGUAAGCAAAAACAUGUAGCUAGCUAGUAGGCAAAAACAGAGAAUUUGUAGUACAAGACAGUGUGACUCACUGGAAGUUGUAAGGAAGUAGUAUAUCUUGAUUGUAUUUGAGGCGCUUCAAAAACUCUAGCAUGCUGUCCUCUACAUUCUUUUGCUGAUGUUGAUUUAUCUUCCAUGUGUAUUCAUUAACGGUGUUUGGGUCAAUGAACCCAAUGCCAAAGCGUCCACCUUUUCUCAUUUCAUAUAUCUUCAUCCUGCAUAAUACCACAGAAAAGAAUAUACUAAGGAUAAUUACAGGUAAUGAUUGAUCAAAAGGAUCACUAUAGCUAGCUUGAGACUUAAAUUAUGGAAAGAAAUCACUUACAGACAAUAGCAACUGACGAUAGAUUUGUCGAGUGCGUCUUGAUUGUAUAACUGAAACAGUUCUAAAUACUCAACGGACACAGCUUUCUCAUGGAAGUAAUGCUCCUCCUUGACAUUCACCAUGAGGGACAAUCGAUCUAAAAUAUUGGUAAUGUUCAUGUACCAUUGAUGCAAUUCAUACAUUCUCGUUGGGAGGUUCUUGACCUUGUCUAGCGCGACCAAAGGUUGGCCCCGGACAUAUUUCUGUUUUAUUUCAUCCUCUCUAAGCAAAGGCAUGGGCUCGAUCUCGAGGAGUUGUCCAACAGUGAUGUUGAGAACUUCAGCCUGCAUUAUAUGCUCCUCCAUUAUUACCACAUUGCCCACCUCGGGAACGUGCACUGUUUGCCCACAAUAAUAUUGGGCGCGCGUACUGUCACCUGUUGUUGGCACAACAAGCGAGGGGAUCGAUUGCGCCGCCUGUUCUCCCAGCUGGGGAAUGGUUUUCCCGCACUUUUUGGCAGCUGCUUCUUGUUUGCUCGAUACGGUGUAGACGUGCUCGCCUCCCUUUGUAGACGUGAUCGAUUUAACUUCCUGAUGUGGUGCUCAUAGUCUGUGUCAGCAGGCUUGGGAGCUGGUGGUUGAGCCAUACGAAGUAGUCAAUCGUUUCCUCAGGCACUUUCUCCCUUGGCGGCGGUGGCGGUUUCGGUGCAAAAUGGGCUUCCACCUCGGCCUUCGAUAUGGCUGUGAUUUCCUCCUCGGACCUGUCAUAAGACCUCUGCGGAAGAGGCUUGAGGCUUGGACCAUAUUUAUAUCGCUUGCCUCCGCCUGUACUUCCUGUACUACCUCGACUCGUAUCGCUACGCACCAUAGCUGCGGGGUGUCUCUUCUGCGAUUGCUGAAGGGGCGGAGACGGCUGACGGGGCUGAGUUGGACGAGGAGGAGUGGCUUGAGGUUGUGCCGGACUUGGAGGAGGAGUGGACGUCUGACGCUGUGGCGGACUUGGAGGAGGAGGAUUGUCCUGACACUUUGCCGGACUUGGAGGAGGAGGAGUGGCCUGACACUUUGCCGGACUUGGUGGACUUGCAGGAGCGGGAGUCUGCUGACUCGGUGGCGGACUUCGACAAGGACUCGGCUGACGCGGUGUCGGUGGCCUUCAAAAGAUGAUGCAAUCCUUUUUCCAUAGAAUGAUACGAUGUUUGGCCUCUCCGAGAAAGCGCUCGCUGUCACCUCCAGCAAUGUCAAGUUGUAGCCCCGAAUAUGGUGGGUCCACCACCUCAUCAACCAAGACACGAGCAUAGCCCGCUGGAAUCGGGUUGCAAUGGAAGGUUUCCUGAGGGGGAUUUGUGAAAGCAAAGCCGUCUGCCACCUUCAUGGAUAUGUUCUUCAUUUUGACGUGUAGCUCGCAGUUAGUGUUCUCCGUGAUGUCAUCCACGGGGUAUCUACCCAGCAUUGCGUCGUCCGGGACGGAACCCACGCUGCUUCUCAGCAUGGAUGGGCCGGUGCUAUCCAAUGCUGGAUCAUCCGCUAGCUGCUGCAGCUGCUGAGACCCCCUUUGAUGGGUAACUGAGUCGAUCUGCUCCUACUGCCGCUGGAAUUUGACUGCCAAUUCCGCUUGACUUGCUUCUAGGCCUUCAAGGCGUUCAUAGUCCCGCUUCCUCUGCUCCUCCUCCAUCUUCGUCUUCUUCUCCUCCGCAAUCUUCUUUCUCGCACGGGUUCUGUAGUCGGCGUUCCAUUCUGAAAACCCCUCAUACCACGGAAUAGCGCCCUUGCCUUGUGUUCUUCCCGGGUGUUCAGGAUUUCCCAUGGCAUGCGUAAGCUCGUCGUUCUCUCUGUUGGGCUGGAACACCCCCGAUCGUGCCUCUUCUAUUGCAACAAGUAUCGCAUCGUCGGCUCCCUUCAGACUUGCCCUCGUCGAAACAUUGCCUGUCUCCGGGUCCAACUCCCCCCCAUGUGCAUAGAACCAAGUCCUGACCCUGGGGGGCCAGCUCUUAGUAGCCGGAGUGACACCUGCAUCCUCCAUCUCUUUCUCAGACUUAUCCCACUUAGGCAUUGCCACCGCAUAGCCACCUGGCCCCAGCUUAUGGAACUUAUCCUUUUUUUCGGCAUUCUUCUUGUUUAUUCUCGACCGUUCCUCAGCUACUUCCGAAUCCUUGAAUUUCACAAAAUCGUCCCAAUGAUCACGUUGGUUCUCUAGUGUUCCCUUGAAUACUGGAGUCUUCCUUCCUCCCUUGACGUACUUCUUCCAUUCACGAUUCUUGUGGUUCUUGAAUGCAAUCGCCAUCAUCCUAAGAGCAGCCUCCUUGACUUUCUGCACAUCUGCUUCUGUGAAAUGAUCUGGUAGGGUGAAAUGUUCCAUGAGAGUAUCCCAAAGCAGAUCUUUUUGAUUCUUGUCGACAAAAGUAACAUCUGGACGUGGCUUUGCUGGCUCUCUCCAUUCUUGAAGUUUGAUCGGGAGUUGGUCCUUCACAAGAACUCCGCACUGACGAACGAACUUGUCCGCAAUCUUCUUAGGCGCUAAUGGUUUGCCGGUAGGGCUGCAUGCCUCAAUAUUGUACAUUACGCCCGGCUUCAACUUUUUGUUCGGGCCUCAUUUUGUCAUUUUGCCUGAAGAUUUGCUCGAUUCGGAUGGCUGAAAGAACAAAGAUCGAUUCGUUAAUAUAUCUUCAAGUCAUUUAAAACAUGUGAUGAUCACCAGAUGCCUGCUUAUAUAAAUAUAUAUACCUCACCGGUCUUUGUUGUUUCAGGAUCAACAUGUUCUUUGUCAUCGUCAUAAUCGUAGUUCAUGACUUCAUCAAUUUGGUCGUCGCGAUCGAAUAUCAUAUCACCCUCUCCGGUGUUGUUUAGAAAUUCAGAGCCGUCAUAAUCUUCUUCAUUCUGAUUAUCAUCUGGCCCGCGUAUCAUAUCGAACAUGGUCUGUUCUCCCUCUCUGUCGGUAUUGUCUGUCAUAGCUUUUGUUUAACUAAUCCAAAAGAAAUAUAAAACAAUUUAGUAUUCAAAUUACAUCGUCUCGAAUAAUAGAUAUAAUCUCGAAUACAUCAUCCAGAAUAAUAGAUAUAAUCUCGAAUACAUUGUCUCGAAUAAUAUAUAAUAUUGAAUAGUACAUCACUGGCUAUUAGCUAAUAAAGAUCGAAUACUACAGAAGAAUCUAGGACACUCGCGGUUCCUCCGGCACGGGCGCUGGACACCCAAAGAGAAGGAACCCUCACAGGAUCAUAGCUGAAGUGAGAUCCCCGAAGAAACUGCCACGUAUUGGAGAACCUGUCGCCCUCUAACGCAACCAUGUAGCGAUGGACGUGCUCGUCCUCCUCCCUGACACGGCGACGUACCACCUCCGGUGGGGCCGGGUCCCUCCGCACCGAAACUGGCCCACACGAACGCCACCAAACGAGAUCAGGGUCUACGACGGGACCCGGGGCCGGGUUCCUCAUCAAGCGGCGCGCCCUUCCAUGCAGCACCUCCCAGUGCCAGCCCGGCGGAGCCCAGUCCCGGACAUGGGUCGGCUGGACGUCGUCGCAGACGGGUCGACGGCGAGGAUGCGGGCCGGGCAUCGUCGAGAACAAAUACUAGCUAUAUGCCCGCAAAAAGUUACAUUUUUUAAUGAUUGGAUUUUGAUAACUAAAAUUUCUAACAUUUCUAUAUAACACUAAUUAUGCUAAUCUAAAUAAUCUAAAUAACACUAAAAUUUCUAAAAUUUCUAACAUUUCUAUAUAACACUAAUUUCUAACAUUUCUAUAUAACACUAAUUUCUAACUGAUUAAACACUAAUUAUAUCCAUCUAACAUGCAUUCAUACAUAUAUAAUAGUGAAAAAAUAAUAAUCUAAAUAAUCUAAACUAAUUAAACAUACAAAAUACGUGUGUGUGUGUGCUAAUUAAACACUAAUUAUCUAAACUAAUUAAACAUACAAAAUAAUAAUCUAAAUAAUCUAAACUAAUUAAAGACUAAUUAUCUAAACUAAUUAAACAUGCUUGUGUGUGUGUGUACGGGCUCGGGGAGGGCUCACAGCGGGCGACGGCGACGGUGAGGCGACGGCGAGGUGACNNNNNNNNNNNNNNNNNNNNNNNNNNNNNNNNNNNNNNNNNNNNNNNNNNNNNNNNNNNNNNNNNNNNNNNNNNNNNNNNNNNNNNNNNNNNNNNNNNNNNNNNNNNNNNNNNNNNNNNNNNNNNNNNNNNNNNNNNNNNNNNNNNNNNNNNNNNNNNNNNNNNNNNNNNNNNNNNNNNNNNNNNNNNNNNNNNNNNNNNNNNNNNNNNNNNNNNNNNNNNNNNNNNNNNNNNNNNNNNNNNNNNNNNNNNNNNNNNNNNNNNNNNNNNNNNNNNNNNNNNNNNNNNNNNNNNNNNNNNNNNNNNNNNNNNNNNNNNNNNNNNNNNNNNNNNNNNNNNNNNNNNNNNNNNNNNNNNNNNNNNNNNNNNNNNNNNNNNNNNNNNNNNNNNNNNNNNNNNNNNNNNNNNNNNNNNNNNNNNNNNNNNNNNNNNNNNNNNNNNNNNNNNNNNNNNNNNNNNNNNNNNNNNNNNNNNNNNNNNNNNNNNNNNNNNNNNNNNNNNNNNNNNNNNNNNNNNNNNNNNNNNNNNNNNNNNCCCGGGGCGGCGACGGAGACGAGGGUGGCGACGGGGACGGGGGCGGCGAUGGGGACGGGGGCGGCAACGGAGACGAGUGGCGACGGAGACAAUCGAGGGCGGCGGCGACGGCGACGGAGACGACGGAACAGAGGAACAAACAGAGGGAAACUGAAAUUUUCGUAGCUGUUGUAUAUAUAGAAGGCACCUUUAGUACCGGUUGGAGCCACCAACCGGUACUAAGGGCCUGUUUUGGCCAGGCCAAGCGGCGGGAAGCGACCCCCUUUAGUACCGGGUGGUGGCACAAACCGGUACUAAAGGCCCCCCUUUAGUACCGGUUUGUGCCACGACCCGGUACUAAAGGGGGUGCGCUGGCGCAGGUGCGGUGCGGCAAGUUUAGUCCCACCUCCCUAGUCGAGGGGCUACCGCACUGGUUUAUAAGCCCCAGUGCGGUAGCUCUCUCGAGCUCCUCUCCUAACCAGGCCUACUGGGCCUACCUGUCCCCUUCGCCUAGUGGGCCUACUGGGCCUUCGCGGGCCUGCAUCCUGGCCCAACGAAAGGUUGUGUCGCUAGUCGUAUGCAGGCCACUUUGGCCCAGUAGGCGGGCUUUUUUUUCUCAAUUUUUUUUGCUUUAUUUUUUUUUGCUUUAUUUUUUUUGUUUUAUUUAUUUUUGAGUUGUUUUUUUUUUGCUGUAUUUAGUGUUUCUUUGUGAAUAUUUUUUGCUUUAGGUACAAAAAAUUACUAACUUUCUGUUAGUGCCGGUAGAUUUCAAAUUUGAAUAGUUUAAAUUUUGAAUUAUUUGAAACUUGUGUCAAUCACUAGUUUGUGAAUAACUUAACUUUGAAAAAAGUUUUUCCAGUGAUUCUUUUUUCUUAUGUUUAAUAUUAGUGUGUUUUAUCAUUAUAUUCAAUUUAGUAAUGCUUAGGUUAUUUAAAAAUGAAAUGCCUUUGUAACAGUUCAGUUUUCGUCGAAAACCUUGAUACUUCGAAAGAGAUUGUCAUUUUGUACACGAAGUGCAUCCAGUUUUUGCCGUAACCCUCUCUACUUUCUUGCACAUGCUAUUUGUAUGAAAUUAUGAUACCAUGCCAACUUUCAACCUUUUCUGAGUUCAUUUGAAUUGCUUUCCAAUUUCAGGGUCAUUUAGCUGGAAAAAGUCAGUAAAUGCUUGAAAAGAAUUUGUUUGCACAUAAAAUUUCUUCGCGUUUCAAAUUCCAAAACACAUAACUACCCUAACUAUUACAGACAUUCCCUCCUGGGUGUGAAACACAGAAGAAAGUGAUGAUAGUGAAGCCGAUCACAUCCCAAAUCUUUGGGUGUGAAACUUUUUCUUCGCGUGUGUCCCUUUGCGCCGUAACCAUGGAAAUUCUUCAUCAUUUAACGGGAUGCUCGGGUCAAUAUUCACUGUGAAUGGAGCAAUUUCAUCAAACUUUUCAUAAUCUUCUGACUUGUCUGUCUUGUCAUCCACUCCCACGAUGUUUCUCUUCCCAGAAAGAACUAUGUGCCGCUUUGGCUCAUCGUAUGAUGCAUUCGCUUCCUUAUCUUUUCUUUUUCUUGGCUUGGUAGACAUGUCCUUCAGAUAGAAAACCUGUGCCACAUCAUUGGCUAGGACGAAUGGUUCGUCUGCAUACGCAAGAUUGUUGAGAUCCACUAUUGUCAUUCUGUACUGCGGGUCUUCCGUUACCCCGCCUCGUGUCAUAUUGACCCAUUUGCACCGAAACAAAGGGACCUUUAAACCACGUCGAUAGUCAAGUUCCCUUAUGUCCUGUAUAUAACCAUAAUAUGUUUCCUUUCCCGUCUUAGUUUCUGCAUCAAAGCGGACACCACUGUUUUGGUUGGUGCUCUUCUUAUCUUGGGGGAUCGUGUAAAAUGUAUUACCAUUUAUCUCGUACCCUUUGAAAGUCAUUAUAUUCGAAGAUGGUAACUGGGACAGCAAGUACAGGUCAUCUUCAAUAGAGGUGUCAUGCAUGGUACGUGUCUGCAACCAGUUGGCGAAACUCCUGGUUUGUUCACGUGUAAUCCAGUCAUCAGACCGCUCCGGGUGUUUCGAGCGUAGCAAAUUCUUGUGUUCAUCCAUAUAUGGAGCCACCAAGGUGGAAUUCUGUAGAACUGUGUGGUGUGCUUCAGUGAGAGAAUGUCUGUCCAUACAUAUUAUUUGUUCCCCUCCUAGCGUGCCUUUUCCAUCCAGUCUGCCCUUAUGCCGCGAUUCAGGAACACCAAUUGGCUUAAGGUCAGGAAUAAAGUCAAUACAAAACUCAAUGACCUCCUCAUUUUGAUGGCCCUUGGAGAUGAUUCCUUCUGGCCUAGCACGGUUAUGAACAUAUUUCUUUAAGACUCCCAUGAACCUCUCAAAGGGGAACAUAUUGUGUAGAAAUACAGGACCCAAAAUGUUAAUCUCUUCGCAUAGGUGAACUAGGACGUGCGUCAUGAUGUUGAAGAAGGAUGGUGGGAACACCAACUCGAAACUGACAAGACAUUGCACCAAAUCAUUCUGUAACCUUGGUAUGAUUUCUGGACCGAUUACCUUCUGAGAGAUUGCGUUGAGAAAUGCACAUAGCUUCACAAUGGCUAAUCGAACGUUUUCCGGUAGAAGCCCCCUCAAUGCAACCGGAAGCAGUUGUGUCAUAAUCACGUGGCAGUCAUGAGACUUUAGGUUCUGGAACUUUUUCUCUGCCAUGUUUAUUAUUCCCUUUAUAUUCGACGAGAAGCCAGACGGUACCUUAAUACUGAGCAGGCAUUCAAAGAAGAUUUCCUUCUCUUCUUUGGUAAGAGCGUAGCUUGAUGUAUGUCGUCUUCUCCGUGCAUAUGUUGCUGGUCCUCCCAUGCCUCAGGUGUAUCUUUUGUCUUCCCAUACACGCCCAAGAAGCCAAGCAGGGUCACGCAAAGAUUCUUCGUCACGUGCAUCACGUCAAUUGCAGAGCGGACCUCUAGGUCUUUCCAAUAUGGCAGGUCCCAAAAUAUAGAUUUCUUCUUCCACAUGGGUACGCGUCCGUCCGCGUCCUUCGGAACAGGUUGUCCGCCAGGACUCUUUCCAAAUAUCACCUUCAAAUCCUUGACCAUAUCAUGUACAUCAGCACCAGUACGGUGGCGAGGCUUCGUCCGGUGAUCCGCCUCACCUUUGAAAUGCUUGCCUUUCUUUCUUACGGGAUGCCUGCUCGGAAGAAAUCGACGAUGUCCCAGGUACACAUUCUUCUUACAACUAUUCAAAUAUAUACUGUCGGUAUCAUCCAAACAGUGCGUGCAUCCGCGGUAUCCCUUGUUUGUCUGUCCUGAAAGGUUACUGAGAGCAGGCCAAUCAUUGAUGGUCACGAACAGCAACGCCUUUAGGUCAAAUUCUUCCCCCAUGUGCUCAUCCCACUCACGUACACCUUUUCCAUUCCACAGUUGUAAGAGUUCUUCAACUAAUGGCCUUAGGUACACAUCAAUGUCGUUGCCGGGUUGCUUAGGGCCUUGGAUGAGCACUGGCAUCAUAAUGAACUUCCGCUUCAUGCACAACCAAGGAGGAAGGUUAUACAAACAUAGAGUCAUAGGCCAGGUGCUAUGGUUGCUGCUCUGCUCACCAAAAGGAUUAAUGGCAUCUACGCUUAGACCAAACCAUACGCUCCUUGCGUCAUCUGCAAACUCCUUCCCGUACUUUCUUUCAAUUUUUCUCCACUGCGACCCGUCAGCGGGUACUCUCAACUUUCUUACAGUCUUCUCUGUGCCAUCGCAUCGCCUUGGCAUGCUCUUUGUUUUGGAACAAACGUUUCAACCGUGGUAUUAUAGGAGAAUACCACAUCACCUUGGCAGGAAUCUUCUUCCUAGGGCGCUCGCCCUCGACAUCACCAGGCUCAUCACGGCUGAUCAUAUAGCGCAAUGCACCACAUACCGGGCAAGCGUUCAAACCCUCGUACUCACCGCGGUAGAGGAUGCAAUCAUUAGGGCAUGCAUGUAUAUUCUACACCUCUAACCCUAGAGGGCAGACAGCCUUCUUUGCUUCGUACGUACUCUCGGGCAAUUCGUUGUCCUUUGGAAGCAUAUCCUUUAUCAUUACCAGCAACUUUCCAAAUACCUUGUCAGAUACACCAUUCUCUUCCUUCCAUUGCAGCAAUUCCAGUGUGGUGCCCAGCUUUUUCUUGUCACCUACACAAUUCGGGUACAACAAUUUUUUGUGAUCCUCUAACAUGCGCUGCAACUUCUUCUUCUCCAAAUCACUUGCGCAGUUUCUCUUUGCAUCGGCAAUGGCCCGACCUAGAUCAUCAACGGGCUCAUCUGAUGCCUCUUCUUCAGCUUCUUCCCGCAUUGCCGGCUCAGCUUCUUCCCACAUUACCGGCUCAGCUUCUUCCCCCAUUGUUGUAUCAUCGUAUUCAGGGAACCCAUGGCCAAGAUAGCUGUCGUCAUCCUCUUCUUCUUCAUUGUCUUCCAUCGUAACCCCUCUUUCUCCGUGCUUGGUCCAAACAUUAUAGUGGGGCAUGAAACCGGAAUCAAACAGGUGGACGUGAAUGGUUCUUGACGUAGAGUAAUUGUGACCAUUCUUACAGCCAGCACAUGGACAAGGCAUAAAACCAUCCGCCCGCUUGUUUGCCUCAGCCGCAAGCAGAAAAGUAUGCACGCCCUCAACGAACUGGGGAGAGCAUUGGUCAUCGUACAUCCAUUGCCGGCUCAUCUUCAUUACACAACACCGAAUAGACAAAAUUAAUACAAGUUCAUACAUAAAGUUCAUACAACACUUAAAUGCAAGAAACAAAUAACUCUCUGGCUAAAGCAUUUAAAUGCAACAAUAAAUGCGAUCAAGAUUGCAACUAAGGUAACAACUGAUCCAACAGCAUAAUGAUACCAAGCCUCACUAUCGAUGGCAUAUUUUCUAAUCUUUCUAAUCUUCAAGCGCAUUUUCUCCAUCUUGAUCUUGUGAUCAUCGACGACAUCGGCAACAUGCAACUCCAAUUCCAUCUUCUCCCCCUCAAUUCUUUUCAAUUUUUCUUUCAAGUACUCGUUUUCUCUUUCAACUAAAUUUAACCUCUCGACAAUAGGGUCGGUUGGAAUUUCCGGUUCACAUACCUCCUAGAUAAAAAUAUCUAUGUCAACUUGAUGGGCAUAAUUUGUCAUAAACACGAAAUGUAACAAAUAGUUUUAAAAGAGAAUAUACCACAUCCGAAUCAUAACAAGGACGAGGGCCGACGGGGACGGAUAUCAAAACCAUGGCACUAUGUAUAACAAACAACGUACGGGUAAGAUAAUUAUUACAUGAUUAACUAUAUAUCCAAAUCACACAAACAUAAAUUUUUUAUAUAAAAUUUCAUGAACAAGAGGCUCACCACAAGGUGGUGCCGGCGACGGGACGGUGCGGGCGAUCGAUGGUGGUUACGGCGGAGAUUUAGAAGGCACUAAGUAAACCACACCUACAUAUGCAAACUAAGUGUUAUUUUUGACCUCAAAUUGCAUAUAAAUCAAAUACUAGCACAUAUAUAUAUUUCCUCCCAAAUUACUAAACUCACAAAUUAAUAACUAUAUAAAGAAUUGCAAGAGCUAAUCUAGCAGUGAGAGAUGAAAGGACAAAGUUGCUAACCUUUGUGAUCACUUGAAUGGAUGGGGGCCUUCAAAUCUUGACAAAUUUUGGGCAAAAUGUGUGAUGAGCUCGAGGGGAAGAGGAAGAACAGACAGGAGAGGAGAGGGUAAAGGGGGAAGAACAGAGCGAGCUGGACAAAGGGUUUAUAUGCAGGAGGACCUAUAGUACCGGUUCGUGGCAUGGACCGGUACUAAAGGUGCUGGAGGGGGCCCAGACUGACAACAUCCUGCCACCACCCUCAUUAGUACCGGUUCGUGGCACGAACCGGUGCUAAAGGUUAGCCACGAACCGGUACUAAUGAGAGCGGCCCGGCUAGCCGUUGGAACCGGCACUAAUGUAUACAUUUGUGCCGGCUCUAAUACAAACCGACACUAAUGUGCUUCACGUUUGACCCUUUUUCUACUAGUGUGAGUAUGGCUUUAUAGAAUGCUUCAUGUGCUUCACUUAUAUCAUUUGAAGUUUGGAUUACCUGUUUUUCUUCACAUAGAAAACCGCCAUUUAUAGAAUGCUCUUUUGCUUCACUUAUAUUUGUUAGAGCGUGGGCAUAUCUUUUGUAGAAAGAAUUGAACUCUUUUGCUUCACUUAUAUCUAUUUAGAGAGAUGACAGGAAUUGGUCAUUCACAUGGUUAGUCAUAAAAUCCUACAUAAACUUGUAGAUCACUGAAUAUGAUAUGUUUGAUUCCUUGCAAUAGUUUUGCGAUAUAAAGAUGGUGAUAUUAGAGUUAUGCUAGUGGGUGGUUGUGGAUUGUAGAGACACUUGUGUUGAGGUUUGCAAGUCCCGUAGCAUGCACGUAUGGUAACCGUUGUGUGACAAAUUUGAAGCAUGGGGUGUUUCUUUGAUUGUCUUCCUUAUGAGUGGCGGUCGGGGACGAGCGAUGGUCUUUUCCUACCAAUCUAUCCCCCUAGGGGCAUGCGUAGUAGUACUUUGCUUCCAGGGCGAAUAAACUUUUGCAAUAAGUAUAUGAGUUCUUUAUGACUAAUGUGACUCCAUGGAUUAUACGCACUCUCACCCUUCCAUCAUUGCUAGCCUCUUCGGUACCGUACAUUGCCCUUUCUCACCUCGAGAGUUGGUGCAAACUUUGCCGGUGCAUCCAAACCCCGUGAUACGAUACAUUGUAUCACACAUAAGCCUCAUUAUAUCUUCCUCAAAACAGCCACCAUGCCUACCUAUCAUGGCAUUUCCAUAGCCAUUCCGAGAUAUAUUGCCAUGCAACUUCCAUCAUCAUCAUAUUCAUGACUUGAGCAUUCAUUGUCAUAUUGCUUUGCAUGAUGGUAAGAUAGCUAGCAUGAUGUUUUCAUGGAUUGUCCGUUUUUUUGAUGUCAUUGCUACGCUAGAUCAUUGCACAUCCCGGUACACCGCCGGAAGCAUUCAUAUAGAGUCAUAUCUUUGUUCCAGUAUCGAGUUGUAAUAUCGAGUUGUAAGUAAAUAAAAGUGUGAUGAUCAUCAUUAGAACAUUGCCCCACAAAAAAAAGCGAAAGGCCAAAGAAGCCUAAAUAAAAAAGGGGGCCAAAGAAGCUCACCAAAAAAAGAAAGAAAAGGGACAAUGUUACUAUCUCUUUUUCCACACUUGUGCUUCAAAGUAGCACCAUGUUCUUCAUGUAGUGAGUCUCAUAUCUUGUGCUUCAAAGUAGAACCAUGUUCUUCAUAUAGAUUGUCUCCUAUGUUGUCACUUUCAUAUACUAGUGGGAAUUUUCAUUAUAGAACUUGGCUUUUAUAUUCCAACGAUGGGCUUCCUCAAAUGCCCUAGGUCUUCAUGAGCAAGCAAGUUGGAUGCACACCCACUUAGUUUCUUUUGUUGAGCUUUCAUACACUUAUAGCUCUUAGUGCAUCCGUUGCAUGGCAAUCCCUACUCCUCGCAUUGACAUCAAUUGAUGGGCAUCUCCAUAGCCCGUUGAUUAACCGCGUCGAUGUGAGACUUUCUCCUUUUUGUCUUCUCCACAUAACCUCCAUCAUUAUAUUCUAUUCCACCUAUAGUGCUAUAUCCAUGGCUUGCGCUCAUGUAUUGCGUGAGGGUUGAAAAAGCUGAAGCGCGUUAAAAAGUAUGAACCAAUUGCUCGGCUUGUCAUCGGGGUGGUGCAUGAUGGGGGCAUUUUGUGUGACGAAAAUGAAGCAUGGCCAAACUGUAUGAUUUUGUAGGGAUAAACUUGUUUUGGCCUUGUUGUUUUGAAAAGACAUGAUUUCUUUAUUGGUACGCUCAAAGUAUUAUUGUUUUUAUGUCAAAUGAUAGACUAUUGCUUUGAAUCACUCGUGUCUUAAUAUUCAUGCCAUGAUUAGACAUAUGAUCAAGAUUAUGCUAGGUAGCAUUCCAAAAAUUAUUCUUUUUUAUCAUUUACCUACUCGAGGAUGAGCAGGAAUUAAGCUUGGGGAUGCUGAUACAUCUCUGUCGUAUCUAUAAUUUUUGAUUGUUCCAUGCCAAUAUUAUUCACUUUUAUAUACUUUUGGCAAUUUUUUAUACUAUUUUUUGGGACUAACAUAUUGAUCCAGUGCCCAGUGCCAGUUCCUGUCUGUUGCAUGUUUUUUGUUUCGCAGAAACCCAAUAUCAAACGGAGUCCAAACGGGAUAAAAACGGACGGAGAUUUUUUUUGGAAUAUUUAUGAUUUUUGGGAAGUAAAAUCAACGCUAGACGGUGUCCGAGGUGGUCACGAGGUAGGGGGGCGCGCCCUACCCCCCCAGGCGCGCCCCUAACCCUUGUGGUCCACCCGUAAGGCGGUUGAUGCCCUUCUUUUGGCGCAAGAAAGAUAAUUUUAUGAGAAAGAUCUGGGCGAAAGAUUCAUCCCAAUCGGAGUUACAGAUCUCCAGAUAUAAAGGAAACGGUGAAGGGGUAGAAUCAGAGAACGCAGAAACAGAGAGAUAGAUCCAAUCUUGGAGGGGCUCUCGCCCCUCCCAAGCCAUGGGAGCCAAGGACCAGAGGGGAAACCCUUCUCCCAUCUAGGGAGAAGGUCAAGGAAGAAGAAGAAGAAGGGGGGCUCUCUCUCCCUUGCUUCCGGUGGCGCUGGAGCGCCGCCGGGGGCCAUCGUCAUCACCGCGAUCUUCAUCAACACCUCCAUCAUCUUCACCAACAUCUCCAUCACCUUCCCCAUUCUAUCUACAGCGGUCCACUCUCCCGCAACUCGCUGUACCCUCUACUUGAACAUGGUGCUUUAUGCUUCAUAUUAUUUUUCAAUGAUGUGUUGCCAUCCUAUGAUGUCUGAGUAGAUUUUCAUUGUCCUAUCGGUGAUUGAUGAUUGCUAUGAUUGGUUUGAGUUGCAUGUUUUAUUAUUGGUGUCGUCCUAGUGUGCCCUCCGUGUCGCGCAAGCGUGAGGAAUUCCCGUUGUAGGGUUUGCAAUAUGUUUAUGAUUUGCUUAUGGUGUGUGGCGUGAGUAACAGAAGCACGGACCCGAGUAAGUAGGUUGUUUGCGUAUGGAAUAAAAGGGAACUUGAUACUUUAAUGGUAUGGUUGGGUUUUACCUUAAUGAAUCUUUAGUAGUUGCAGAUGCUUGCUAGAGUUCCAAUCAUAAGUGCAUAGAAUUCCAAGUAAAGGAUGAUAUGUUAGCUUAUGCCUCUCCCUCAAAUAUAAUUGCAAUAGUGAUUACCGGUCUAGUAACAUAGUCAAUUGCUUAGGGACAAUUCCACAACUCCUACCACCACUUUUCCACACUCGCUAUAUUUACUUUAGUUGUGUCUUUAUCUAAACAGCCCCUAGUUUAUAUUUACAUGUUCUUUACUUUCUUGCCAGCUUAUUCAACAACACCUACAAAGUACUUCUAGUUUCAUACUUGUUCUAGGUAAAGCGAACGUCAAGCGUGUGUAGAGUCGUAUCAGUGGCCAAUAGGACUUGAGAGAGUAUUUGUUCUACCUUUAGCUCCUCGUUGGGUUCGACACUCUUACUUAUCGAAAGAGGCUACAACUAUCCCCUAUACUUGUGGGUUAUCAAACGCUGUGCUCCGGCCUAGCCGGCGGUGCAGCCGGUGCAGCAGGGCGACGUGGCCCGAGCCUAGGAGGCGUCAUUCCUCUGGGCUGGCCCGGCGCCGGAGCUCGUUGACCUCACCGGCCUUGGGUCGGACGACGAGUACGUCUAGGGCAACGCGCGGUGGCUCGGACUCUUUUUAAUGUUUAUUUAAUUUUUUAAUGUUUAUGUGGACUUUGGCCGGUGGUUGAUCAGUUUUAAUAUUUAAUUAUGUUAAUUUUGAACGUGAUUGUUCUUUCUUUAAAGUUCGCGUUUAAAAAAUAUGGGUCAUAUGCCAGCGUUGGAUGCACGCGAUGAUCCAACUGAAGAAACGGACAUGGGAGUCCAUACGGUUGACCCAAACAGACAAAAAGCAAACAAACUGGCGUCCAUUUGAGUCGGUGAGUUGGAGUCGCUCUAAAAUAGAUAACACAUACUCUUCCUGCUGCAUGCUAUCUUGCUCUCAGAUCAGAGAUAGACAUGUGCACGGAGAGAUUAAAAAUCGUUCGAAACAACGUUUCACUCAUCUGCGAUUUGGCCUUCUCUGUAGCAGCAUGGUGAUUGGAGUCUUCGAAGACUUGGCAGAGGGAGAAAGAUUUGUCCGUUGGCGUGGUCACAUCCCUGGAUACCGUGUGAACUAGCUGUUUUUUCCUUCGGAAAGGAGUGAACUAGCUGUUUACGUCAAUGGUAUUACCACGAGAAGGUUGUGACAAAUAAUUGCGUGUCAAUCAUAUCCACGUAAAACUAUGUUUAUCAUAGAUUAUCACAGAUUUGUUAAGGCUCGCUAAGCCUUUAACGAUUUAAAGUUAAACAAAAAUAUGAAAUAAAUAGUGGAUCGUCACUCUAAUAUAAUAAGAUGAUCCACCGAAGGGAUUGUGACAUUUAUGUGCUUUCACAAAAAGAAACACAAUCAUUUCAGCUCACUGCGAGAUAAAUAUAUACUGAACUAUUUAUUUUUUAAGACACAUGCAAUCAUAGUUUUUUAAUCACUCUAUUGGAUCAUGUUAUAUUAUAGAUGUGUUGUUUUAGUAUAUUUUUAAAAACUUUUGGAAACUUUUACACCGUCAAAACCUUUAACUAGUUAAUGUUAUAUAUGUAGUUGUGAACUGUUAUUCGGUUUAGUGUAUUGCUGUAUUAUUCUUUUAUACACAACUGGAAUGUAAAGAGGGGCUAUAGAUAAAAUGCAAAAAUAUGAUAGUAUUUCGUUGCAUACUUUCAUUGAAGCAUCUACAAGAUUAGGUGAGGACGUGAUUGCAUGGGGGCCGGGCCGGGGAAGCUCGGCGUCUUCACGGUCAAAUCAGAAUAUAUGCUGGCUUUUGAAGCAGCUCACAGAAAUACCGCAGAGGCGUCUAGCACUUCGCCAGAUGGAAGUAGAAAAUGCUGGAAAUAUAUAUGGAGAUGNNNNNNNNNNNNNNNNNNNNNNNNNNNNNNNNNNNNNNNNNNNNNNNNNNNNNNNNNNNNNNNNNNNNNNNNNNNNNNNNNNNNNNNNNNNNNNNNNNNNNNNNNNNNNNNNNNNNNNNNNNNNNNNNNNNNNNNNNNNNNNNNNNNNNNNNNNNNNNNNNNNNNNNNNNNNNNNNNNNNNNNNNNNNNNNNNNNNNNNNNNNNNNNNNNNNNNNNNNNNNNNNNNNNNNNNNNNNNNNNNNNNNNNNNNNNNNNNNNNNNNNNNNNNNNNNNNNNNNNNNNNNNNNNNNNNNNNNNNNNNNNNAUUGACUCUUUGCCGACAUGGAGGAAUAAACACAAGAUUGAACUGGAGCUUUCAAGUAGAUGUCCAGUUUGUGGUAUGGACGAGGAGGACAAUCUUGGUGGUGGUGGCCUUCUUCUUCGUCGGAGUUGGUCGGCCGGCUGGUUGUGCUCGCAUGGUCAUGCACUGACCGGCGGCUUGGCCGGUCGACGGCGGCGGAACUUGGCCGGUGGCGGCGGCAAAGUUCCGCCUCGAUCCCGGGGCGGCGGCCUUGGAGGGUGGCGGCCGGUGAAGCUCGGGCUUCCCGCGGCGGCAUGGCGUGGUGCAGUCCCUGUCCAAGGCGGAUCUGUGACGGCGAUCUGCUAUGGAUUGGUUCGGAUCAGAGACGGUGACGAGCGCGCGGGAUCCUUCUCGUCGGCUCUCACGGCUUGGCGAGGCGGGGUGGGAGCCCUCCUCCUAGGCUCCAGUGGUGGCACACUCAGGCAAUGGCCGGUGCGCCAGGGAUCCCACGGUGGCACUGUUGCUACGGUUGGUCGCCGGAUCUUGGCGGCUGGAUCUGGGGCUUUGAAGGCGGUCGAGACGGUGCACAGGUUGUUGGUUGGAUUUCUUGGGAUGGAUCCGGGUGAAAACCUGAUCUUCGGCCGAUGGCCGGAGCCGGUGAUGACAAUGCCCUUAUCAUCGUUUCCUUCAUGAAGGCAUCAUCGAGGUGAAGCUCCCAACUCCACUUAAUACCUUCGGGGGAAACCCUAGAUCAGUUGAUCGGAUGUUGGCGGCAAUCAUGUGUCGUAACCCCCUUGGGGGCGGCAUUCUUGGAGGUGCACUCGGCUUCACGGGACUAGCGGAUGGCUUCUUUGGUGGAGCGGUGCUUCAUCCAUACAUUGAUGGCGACGGAUCUGGACGGCGUGGCGCAGUGCAGAUUCGGAGUUCGAUGUGGGAGGAUGGACUCGUGCAGAAGGACGAUGCUGUCUGGCGUCGUGGCGGCGUCGAUGGCAGAGAGACCUGGCACGGUAGAUGCAAUAGUACAACUCUGAAGAUGGACUUGUGGCAGGUGGCUGUGGUGGCCCCAUACCCGGUAGGCGUCCUGGUUGAGGAGUGUGUCGGACUGGUAGGUGCCCCAUACCAGGCAGGCGUCCUGGUUGGGACCUCAGGUCUUAGAUGUUUGGGUUUGGCUGCGAUGUCUGUUUGGUAUUAGGCCCAGACUAUCAGCGCCUCUUCAUCAAUUGGAUAGGUGUAGCGACAGUUGUUGCUUAGACGGUGGCUUCAGUCUUACUGUUGUAUGACUUUGUAAGGUCUUGUGUGAAUAAUUAAUAAAGUGGCCGUAUGCAUCACUCGGAUGCAGAGGCCCGGGGUCAUCCUCCUUUUCUAAAAAAAACUCAGGAGCCAUAAUAUUCUCAUCAUGCAGGGCCUUGUUCUCGUGUAGAGACGCUCUGGAGGCGGAGUUAUGUGCAUCUAUGGAAGGCUUAUCUUUCGCAAUUCAACGCUCCAAUCUUCCAAUUGCCAUUGAGAUGGACUCGACUACAGCCGUGGAUUUUAUUCCAUGUGGUGAGGUGAAUCGCUCAGUUUAUGCUUCUUUGGUUAGUGAAAUUAAAUUCUUGUUGAGUCUUAGUCAGAAUUGUAUUACUCAUGUGCCUUGUUGUGAAAAUAAAGCGAGUGAUAGACUAGCUAGUUUUGCUAGAGUAGAAGGUCGUACUAUGACUUGGGUCGGUUCAAGCCCGGAGGAUGUUUUGAAGUUAGUCCUUGAUGAUUGUAAGGACUUGGUGAAUGAGUAAUACAACUAUUAUUCCUGCAAAAAAAAGUGUAUUAGGCUAUUGGUAAAGACUUCUGUAUGUUAGGUUCCAACUUCUGUUGUAUGAAACCACAAAUUUUUAUUUUUGUAACUUGCUUGCUUUUUCAUUUUAAUUAAGGUAUAUCUCAGGUUUUGCUUUUUCUUUAGGAAUGUUAUCUGGCGAACAUUUCCAGGAAGGAGGAUGAUAAACAAAUGCAUUUUCCUAGCAGUUUUAGUUGCAGCGUGAGAUCAAACAGUGACAAUGUUUAGAAUAAAAAUGUGUCUCUGAAGAAACGGUGAUGCUGUAUAUUUCAAAGAAAGUGUCAUUCGAAUAUGAACAAACUACUAGAAAAAACGUACAUAAGUGUCAUCCCUUUCAGCGAACGUUCAUCAGCUAUUGCGGUCCAUUUCUUUUUCACGGGAAGGAUCUAUCUCCAGUUGACUCCAGUUGACCGUAAGUCUCCGCUACGUCAUUUCCGUGUGGGUACGAGAUUCCUUUUUCUGGAGGAUGCUACAGAGACUUGCAGUUGUAGGCUAUCGUGCUCUCACAUCAGAGAUAGACAUGCACCGACAGAUUCAUACACGCCUUAGCUCUGUAGCAUCGGAGUCGUCGGAGACUUGGCUGAUAGCACACACGGAGGGCGAGAGAUUCGUCCGCUCUUACAGAUGAUCAGAUUCAUGUCUUUGGUGGAUCUUAGUGGUCGCGUUCUCCGGUGGAGCGAUUCUGUCGGGGAAACUUCCCUCCGGGAUGGUGAAAUCAAAGCCAUCAGCAUCAUUAACGAUCCUAUCAUCGUAGGAGCACCAAUCUUCAGCAACAUCUUCAUCUGCACCAUCUCCUCUCAAACCCUAAUUCAUCUCUUGUAUUCGAUCUUUGUCCCAAAACCUCAGAUUGGUACUCGUGGAUUGCUAGUAGUGUUGAUUACAUCUUGUAGUUGAUGCUAGUUGGUUUAUGUGGUGGAAGAUUAAAUAUUCAUAUACUCAAGCAUAUUCAGUACACAUCUAAUCUUGAACAUGAAAGUGAUUUGUGAGUAGUUAAUUUUGUUUUUGAGGACAUGGGAGAAGUCUUGUUAUAAUUAAUCAUGUGAAGUUGGUAUUCAUUCGAUAUUUUGAUGAUAUGUAUGUUGUUCUUUCUUUAGUGGUGUCAUGUGAAUGUCGACUACAUGACAUUUCACCAUACUUGGGCCAAGGGGAAGCCAUUAGGGAGUAAUAAGUAGAAGAUGGAUUGCGAGAGUGACAAAAGCUUAAACCCUCCUUUAUGCGUUAUUCCAUAAGGGGUUGAUUUGGAUCCAUAUGUUUCAUACUAUGGCUAGAUUUAUCUUAAUUCUUCUUUCAUAGUUGCGGAUGCUUGCGAGAGGUGGUAAUCAUAAGAGGGUUGCUUGUUCAAGUAUGAACAACAUCUAGCACCGAUCCACCCACAUAUCACCCGCAUGCCGCCAGUUGCUCACAUUCAUGCCAUUUGUAGAGCGUUCGCUCCGUAUUGACGCCGGCCUAGAGUGGACGUGACCUUUCAGUGGCUCCGCCAUUGAAGCAGCGCGUCUGCUGAGGGUGCCGCCCACGACCCGAUCCCGGUGUCCGCGCAUGUUCAAUGUCGGAGAUGCAUUACUAGACGGGGAUGGGACAGAUAUCUACCUUUCCCGUUCAAUGCCAUGUCCGUUGGUAUGCCGCCAUUAAGUAGGCUCGCCGUUCGAGUAACCCACUCCGGCGCCACGCAUUAACGCAUUCGGACGCCUGGCCUCACCGGAAUCCGCUAGUUAAAGGUGGCCACACCGGACUAACUCCACGCAACAACACUAGCCGCUCGACAUCCUCCUCCCAUGCGCCACAUCUGCCGUGACUACAGGCGGCAACGCUUUGUGAGAGAGGGUUUCGAUGGAGACGAAGCUCGACGUGGCCGCCCUUGCGGGCGCCUGGCAGAGCUGCCAUGCCAAGGGCGGCAUGCCGGCCAGCUCGCCCGAGGUCUCCAACAACGAGGAUGACCACACAGUGGAGACGGGCUCCGACGACAUUGCACCGGAGCCCACGCCUGUGCAUGCCAUCUUCACUAUGGAGUAGGCGCAAGCGCACUUCAACGUCGCGAUGGCGGAGGAACAGCCUGCACCGACAACUAUAUGCCGGUGUUCCAGUAGGCGCAGCAGGAAUAACAGUACAACAUAUUCUUCCUGGAACAGAAUCGGCAGGCAGAGGGCCAAAUUGGUAGCGAGUGCGCAAGCCAGGAGGCCAUGGCGGCCAUGGCCACAGGGAGCCCCAACUUCUUCGCGGAGCAGCAUGCAAUCUACGAUGACGCCCGCGCUCAAGCCCUCGGUUGCCAGGAAGCGGCCACAGCGGAGGCGCAGCUGCAUGCGAUCGUGGAUGAGAACAACACCAGCUACGCGUCCUACGCGCCGCCGACGAACUUUUGGGCGGCCCGGUGGGACGAGGACAGCGUCGGCACCACCAUAUACAUAGUGUGGACCUCACGUCCACUGGUGACGGACAAAAUGCGGAUUCCUUCGAGGAUGAGUAGGGCAUGCGAGGCAGUAGGGCCUUGUGUCCCAUGUGGGCCGGUUUGUCUUUCAUGUUCUACUCUUCCUUGCCGGAGACCGCAGCUUUAUUUCAUCAGUCUUAUCGCUAGUGCUCAUGAAGACGGCGGAUGGAGGUGUCUCAGCAAGGGACAAAAAAGUGCUGAGAUGCUAGCUGCCGCUGUAGCUAAAUGUUCGAAAUGUAAUGAAAAUAUGCCGUGUUUGUAUGAAUGUCGUCUGGUUUAUAUGAAAUCAUUCGUGUUUACACAAAUUUUGUCUAGUUAGUUCAAAAAGUUGUUGAAAUGUAUGCGGGCAGUGUUGGAUAGCGGCUUCCGGCAUCAGUGUCCGCGGGCAGAUGCCUGAGCAAAUUUGCGGGUUAGUGUUAGAGAUGCUCUAAUAUCAUGCUUGCUUUUCCAUUUUAAUUAAUGUAUAUCAUUUCCUUUUCUUUUUUUCUGGGAAAGUAUGUGCAGUUGACCGUAAGUCUCCGCUACCUCAUUUUCGUGUGGAUGCGAGUUUCCUGUUUAGUAUGGAAGAAGCUAAAAUAGAGAGUUUACCCUUGCAGUUGCAUGCUAUCAUGCUCUCACAUCAGAGAUAGACAUGCAUCGAGAGAUUCAUACGGCUUCUCCACAGCAGCGUAGUGAGCGGAGUCGUCGGAGACUUGGCCGAUUGCACAGGCAGAGGGCGAAAGAUUCGUCCGUCUGCGUGGCCACGUCCUCUUAUACCGUGUGAACUUACAGAUGAUCAGACUCAUCUCUUUGGUGGAUCUUAGAGGUCGCGUUCUAAGAUGUCGUUGUGCCUCUCGUUCGCGCGGAAUUAAUCAAAGCCAAGGAGAGGGUUACAUCAACGGUAUUGCCUUGAGACGGUUGUGACAACCGUCGAGGCUCUGCAGGGAUAUUCUCCGUUUAGUUAGUUCACGCGCAGAACGUCGGGGUAGCUUCCCAGAAGACAUGGUGGAUUUUGCAAGUCGACUUCGCUGAUGCGGAGUGCCAACGACCAGAUCCACGCCGCGAUAGGGGCGGCCCGUAGAUUGUUGUGUCUAGGGUGGAAAGAUAUCCCAUCAAUCUGCUAGAGUCAUUCUGGCCUGACGUGAAGUACCGGCUAGUUGUGCCAUUAAAAUAGUGAUUUAAACAUCACUUAAUGUAGAGAGUGAAAACUCUUGUCCUGACUUCAUUUGACCGGGCUCAGCAUGGACACACUUAUGUCCUUGUUAGAAGUGUUGUCUUUUGCUAAUACAUGAGUCUUCAUCGGUGGGUGUCGGCAAUGAGGAUGAUAAUCCUUGUCUAGGAUGUCCAAAUUUAGCGACAGGGUGUGAGGGCAUUUAUCCCUUCUGGAAGACGUUAUUGCGGAAGAAGUUGUCUUAAUUAAUCGCCGAUGUGCAUAUUUUAUACUAUAUUUGUUAGAGCAUUUGGCCUCGUUGCCACCCAACUAGUUCAAUAAAAUGAAUAUGACCACGUUGAUGUAGAGGCCAGGAGUCUCAAUCUCGUUUUCGAAACUAAGAAGUUGCAUUUGUUAGAAUUAAAUUAAAUAAGGAAAUCUUAGUGGACUUGGGUGUGAGAGUAAGUGGUUGGAAAUCAAGUGGAUAUUGUGGAACUUUUUCCACAAUAAAGUGUUAUUUAGCAAGGAUUCUGCUAUCCUGAAAUGUCAUUUUGCUUAGCGGAAAAUACCCUAACACACCUAGUUGUAGAUGGACCUGAUUAAAAAGUUUUCGUGUUUUUAGCAAUUUAGAAAAAAAAAGUCAAAAUCUACAAAACUUUUUUCGAACAAACUUGACCUGCUGGUGUACUCAUAUAAAAUUUCGACGAAGAAAAACUCCCUAAAAGAUCUGAGCGAAAGAAACAAAAUUUUCAAGAAUUAUAUAGUGAAUAGUAACUCUAUUAUAGUGGUGAUUUUGUUUUUUUUUUCACGGACAAUACCACAAAAGUCAUUUCUUUGCAAUUUUUGUUACGCGGGUGUAACGCUUGAGCAUGUCCGUUGUCAAAACACUUCUUGAUUUUUGGACCAUUUUUGCACUUAUACUUAAAAAAAAGGCUGCACCUACCCGCAGGUUCCAUUCGUUCCCCUCCUUUGGUUAGCUCGCUUGUUUACAUGGAACCAAGAGUAACAUGCACAUGGGCUGUUGCACGAUGGCGUCAUUCUAGUUUUGCAGGGGUGAAAUGAAAACUAGAAUGGUCUCAUGCGCAAAAGAAGAACAAACUAGAAUGGUCUAUUCGGACUUUCCCCAAUUUUCCAAAGUUCACUCUCCUCCUCAACGAGGUUGCUACAAGAGUGACACAUCCCCACAAGCACUGGUUUAGGGUCAUAUGGUUUCUAAAUGAAAAAGUAAUGUCGCCGUACUACUGUUUGGGGAGUUGAUAAGUUAAUUCAUGUGGAUAUCUACUUGCCGGACUACCUAAACCGGAGGCGGUUAUAGUGCCCUCCCAAAGCUUCGUAAAAAAAUAUCACAAGAAAUAGUAGAGGAUCAAACUCUAUCUCUAAAUUAAAAUAGGUGUUUUACUACCAAUCACUAGCUUUACUUUAGGCACAACACUCAUACUGGAGAAAAUGCCUUGAGCCAAGGUCGGAGCACCAAGCACUAAAGUAUGUGCCCCGUGAACUAGUGAUUGCUUCUCCACGAAGUUCAUACCAAGCGCUACGACGCUGAAGUGUGUAGCCGAUGCCAUUUUCCCAGGAAAAGCUUGAAUGACCUUCAACAAAAGGGUACAUGUACUCAAAACCGCGAUUCAUGGCCAUCAAGCCUAAUGACCCAAAAAUCUAGAAGACCAUACGUUCAUACAAGCCCAACCCAAAUAUCGCUAGAGGAACGUCCUGAAGCCCAACUCCGGGUCAUCUACUAGGGAUGGCAUAGCCUUCAUUGGAUAGAGAUGUUUUUUCAAAAUUAUGCUUUCACCCUACUUUAUAAAUAAAGCAUUUAUCUAUGUUCAUACAAAAAGUCAUCCAAGUAUGGACAAAGGAACUAAUAAGCAUGUUAGGGAAACAACACAAACAUGCAAAAAAAAAUACAAGACACCUCAGGGGAGAGGUGUCAACAUCUAGGGACUGUGGAGAGCUGAUGACUGGCCAACUGCAGCCAACAUGCCACCCAUUUGGCCAUGUCCUACCGCCUAUAGAGAGGACACCACUGAGCAUACAAGGCAACAUUAUAAACAUGCAGUCAGUAGAACAUUGCAACAAGACCUUCCCAAUAACCAUACUAUUAUGAGUUGUCCAUAAGUUCGAGGUCAUCGCCAUGAGCACAGACCUUAAGAGGUGUCCUUUCUUUCUUUUUCUUUUCUUUUUGACGGAAACACUCUAAGGGAGGCCCCUACAACAUAACUGGUGCGAUAAACCUAAAUUGUAAGUACCAUACCUUAAACCCAGGUGGAUGGAAAGACAUCAACCUCUUUUCACCACUAUGAUAUGCCCUUAGUCUACAGACGUCUUCUUCUUCCGCAAAAGAGAAUGUUGUCGAAACUGUGAACAAAUUAACUAAACACUUCAGCACUCCAUCAUCUUCUGUUGUAUCCAAUAUUUAGAGAAUCAUGCAUCUCACUGGUGAGAGCACAACUUUGUGCGUGACAUUUGCACUGGUCUACAAUUUCCAUGAUAAAAAAGUGUUUGGCAAAGUCAAGAAGACCUACGCUAUUCUAAAACAUCAUUUUCACUGUUUCACUUGUUUAUAUGGGGUCAUAGCCACAAUCACGUGGAUACACCAUCUUCAUGUGUUUUUUAUAUGUUUUCCUUGAGGGUCUAAGCGAUACAAAAAAGCCAAAGCCACAACCGGCUGGCAUAAAAAUAUAGAAGCACUAUAUGCCUAUCCUAUUACAUGACCGCCAUUCAAACCUUCCGUGCUACCAUCUCCCAUCGGGUAGACGUAGUAACCAAACGCUCCCUGGCCUCCAUCGGAGUGAGUAGCGACCACAUACGGAUCAACGCAGUGGCCCUGAAGAUAACCUGCAAAAAAGUGCAUGUUUGUUGUUCUGUUAAAAACCAGAUCAUUUCUGCAGUUCCAGACUGCCCAUAAUAAAGCACAAACACCUACACGAACGUGCCUCGCUGUAUCUGAAGCUAUCCCAUCGAGCCACGUCCCAAAUAACGUGUUGAUAGAACACGGCGGAUUAAUAUUAAAAGCAAUAUGAACCGACCGCCACAAAAUCUUGGCCAGCGGACAAUCAAGAAAGAGGUGUUUGAUAGAUUCGUUAUGGUCGCAAAAACUGCAUCUUGCAGAACCAAUCUAGUUACGUUUUGCCAAAUUAUCCUUAGUCAAAAUAACUUGUUUAUGCACAAACCACAUAAACACUUUGAUUCUCAAAGUGACCUUAACUUUCCAGACAUGCUUCGAUGAAGGAAUCACGCUAGAGUUAAUAACAUCCAGAUACAUGGAUUUGACCGAGAACACUCCGUUCUUAGUGAGUUUCCAACACAGCUGAUCUGGCUAUUGAGACAACUGGACAUCCAUCUAUCUUCUCACAAGAUGGAGCCAGGCCUCCCAACGAUUUCCCACUAGCAUCCUCCGAAAAUGAAUAUUGAGUGGGGUGGAGUGGAGAACUGUUGCAACGUAAGCAUCUCUACGUUGAACAAUGUUAUACAAAGAAGGAUAUUGAAGUGCAAGGGGAGUCUCCCCAAGCCACGUAUCCUCCCAGAACCUCGUAGCAGCUCCAUUUCCGACUAAGAACCUUGUCCUAUUGAAAAAGAGUGGUUUAACUCUCAUCAAGCCUUCCGAAAAUGGUGAGUCAGUCGGCCUCACUGUCACCUGGUGUUGGGGAACGUAGUAAUUUCAAAAAAAUUCCUACGCACACGCAAGAUCAUGGUGAUGCAUAGCAACGAGAGGGGAGAGUGUUGUCUACGUACCCUCGUAGACCGAAGCGGAAGCGUUGACGCAACAUAGAGGAAGUAGUCGUACGUCCUCCCGGUUCAACCGAUCCAAGCACCGUUACUCCGGCACCUCCGAGUUCUUGACACACGUACAGCUCGAUGACGCACCCCGAACUCCGAUCCAGCAGAGGCACGGGGAGGAGUUCCGUCAGCACGACGGCGUGGUGACGAUCUUGAUGUUCAACUGUCGCAGGGCUUCGCCUAAGCACCGCUACAAUAUGACUGAGGUGUAAUAUCGUGGAGGGGGGCACCGCACACGGCUAAGGAACGAUCACAAUGAUCAACUUGUGUGUCUAUGGGGUGCCCCCCGCCCCCGUAUAUAAAGGAGGGAGGGAGGAGGGGGCCAGCCUUAAGGGGAGGUGCACCCUAGGAGGGGGAAACCUACUCCAAGUAGGUUUCCCCCCUCUUUUUCCUAAUAGGAGUAGGACAGGGAAGGAAGAGGGGGGAGGAGAGAAGGAAAGGGGGGGCCGGCCCCCCUCCCCAUUCGGAUUGGGCUUGGGGGGGGGGCGCCCCCUCCUUUGCUCCUUCUCCCUCCCUUCCACUAAGGCCCAAUAAGGCCCAUAUACUUACCGGGGGGUUCCGGUAACCUCCCGGAACUCCGGUAUAAUCCCAAUCUCAUCCGGAACCUUUCCGGUGUCCAAAUAUAUCCGUCCAAUAUAUCAAUCUUUAUGUCUCGACCAUUUCGAGACUCCUCGUCAUGUCCGUGAUCACAUCCGGGACCCCGAACAAUCUUCGGUACAUCAAAAUACAUAAACUCAUAAUAUAACUGUCAUCGAAACCUUAAGCGUGCGGACCCUACGGUUCGAGAACAAUGUAGACAUGACCGAGACACAUCUCCGGUCAAUAACCAAUAGCGGGACCUGGAUGCCCAUAUUGGUUCCUACAUAUUCUACGAAGAUCUUUAUCGGUCAAACCGCACAACAACAUACGUUGUUCCCUUUGUCAUCGGCAUGUUACUUGCCCGAGAUUCGAUCGUCGGUAUCCAAUACCUAGUUCAAUCUCGUUACCGGCAAGUCUCUUUACUCGUUCCAUAAUACAUCAUCUCGCAACUAACUCAUUAGUUGAAAUGCUUGCAAGGCUUAAGUGAUGUGCAUUACCGAGAGGGCCCAUAGAUACCUCUCCGACAUUCGGAGUGACAAAUCCUAAUCUCGAAAUACGCCAACUCAACAAGUACCUUCGGAGACACCUGUAGAGCACCUUUAUAAUCACCCAGUUACGUUGUGACGUUUGGUAGCACACAAAGUGUUCCUCCGGUAAACGGGAGUUGCAUAAUCUCAUAGUCAUAGGAACAUGUAUAAGUCAUGAACGAAGCAAUAGCAACAUACUAAAUGAUCGGGUGCUAAGCUAACGGAAUGGGUCAUGUCAAUCAGAUCAUUCAACUAAUGAUGUGACCUUGUUAAUCAAAUAACAACUCCUUGUUCAUGGUUAGGAAACAUAACCAUCUUUGAUUAACAAGCUAGUCAAGUAGAGGCAUACUAGUGACACUCUGUUUUUCUAUAUAUUCACACAUGUAUUAUGUUUCCGGUUAAUACAAUUCUAGCAUGAAUAAUAAACAUUUAUCAUGAUAUAAGGAAAUAAAUAAUAACUUUAUUAUUGCCUCUAGGGCAUAUUUCCUUCAGUCUCCCACUUUCACUAGAGUCAAUAAUCUAGAUUACAUAGUAAUGAUUCUAACACCCAUGGAGUCUUGGUGUUGAUCAUGUUUUGCUCGUGGAAGAGGCUUAGUCAAUGGGUCUGCAACAUUCAGAUUCGUAUGUAUCUUGCAAAUCUCUAUGUCUCCCACCUGGACUAGAUCCCGGAUGGAAUUGAAGCGUCUCUUGAUGUGCUUGGUUCUUUUGUGAAAUCUGGAUUCCUUCGCUAAGGUAAUCGCUCCAGUAUUGUCACAAAAGAUUUUCAUUGGACCCGAUGCACUAGGUAUGACACCUAGAUCAGAUAUGAACUCCUUCGUUCAGACUCCUUCAUUGGCUGCUUCCGAAGCAGCUAUGUAUUCCGCUUCACACGUAGAUCCCGCCACGACGCUUUGCUUUGAACUGCACCAACUGACAGCUCCACCAUUUAAUGUAAACACAUAUCCAGUUUGUGAUUUAGAAUCGUCCGGAUCAGUGUCAAAGCUUGCAUCAACAUAACCAUUUACGAUGAGCUCUUUGUCACCUCCAUAUACGAGAAACAUAUCCUUAGUCCUUUUCAGGUACUUCAGGAUGUUCUUGACCGCUGUCCAGUGAUCCACUCCUGGAUUACUUUGGUACCUCCCUGCUAGACUUAUAGCAAGGCACACAUCAGGUCUGGUACACAGCAUUGCAUACAUGAUAGAGCCUAUGGCUGAAGCAUAGGGAACAUUUUUCCAUUUUCUCUCUAUAUUUUGCAGUGGUCGGGCUUUUAGUCUUACUCAACUUCACACCUUGCAAUACAGGCAAGAACCCUUUCUUUGCUUGAUCCAUUUUGAACUUCUUCAAAACUUUGUCAAGGUCUAUGCUUUGUGAAAGUCCGAUUAAGCGUUUUGAUCUAUCUCUAUAGAUCUUAAUGCCCAAUAUGUAAGCAGCUUCACCGAGGUCUUUCAUUGAAAAACUUUUAUUCAAGUAUCCCUUUAUGCUAUCCAGAAAUUCUAUAUCAUUUCCAAUCAAUAAUAUGUCAUCCACAUAUAAUAUUAGAAAUGCUACAGAGCUCCCACUCACUUUCUUGUAAAUACAGGCUUCUCCAAAAGUCUGUAUAAACCCAAAUGCUUUGAUCACACUAUCAAAACGUUUAUUCCAACUCCGAGAGGCUUGCACCAGUCCAUAAAUGGAUCGCUGGAGCUUGCACACUUUGUUAGCUCCCUUUGGAUCGAUAAAACCUUCUGGUUGCAUCAUAUACAACUCUUCCUCCAGAAAUCCAUUCAGGAAUGCAGUUUUUACAUCCAUUUGCCAAAUUUCAUAAUCAUAAAAUGCGACAAUUGCUAACAUAAUUCGGACAGACUUAAGCAUCGCUACGGGUGAGAAGGUCUCAUCGUAGUCAACCCCUUGAACUUGUCGAAAACCUUUUGCAACAAGUCGAGCUUUGUAGACAGUAACAUUACCGUCAGCGUCAGUCUUCUUCUUGAAGAUCCAUUUAUUCUCAAUUGCUUGCCGACCAUCGGGCAAGUCAACCAAAGUCCAUACUUUGUUCUCAUACAUGGAUCCCAUCUCAGAUUUCAUGGCUUCAAGCCAUUUUGCGGAAUCUGGGCUCACCAUCGCUUCUUCAUAGUUCGUAGGUUCAUCAUGAUCUAGUAGCGCGACUUCCAGAAUAGGAUUACCGUACCACUCUGGUGCGGAUCUUACUCUGUUCGACCUACGAGGUUCUGUAUUAACUUGAUGUGAAGUUCUAUGAUCAUCAUCAUCAACUUCCUCACUAGUUGGUUUUGACGUCACAGAAACCGGUUCCUGUGAUGUAUUAUUUUCCAACAAGGGAGUAGGUACAGUUACCUCAUCAAGUUCUACUUUCCUCCCACUCACUUCUUUCGAGAGAAACUCCUUCUCUAGAAAGGAUCCAUUCUUAGCAACGAAUGUCUUGCCUUCGGAUCUGUGAUAGAAGGUGUACCCAACUGUCUCCUUUGGGUAUCCUAUGAAGACACAUUUCUCCGAUUUGGGUUCGAGCUUAUCAGGUUGAAGCUUUUUCACAUAAGCAUCGCAUCCCCAAACUUUAAGAAACGACAACUUUGGUUUCUUGCCAAACCAUACUUCAUAAGGUGUCGUCUCAACGGAUUUCGACGGUGCCCUAUUUAACGUGAAUGUGGCCGUCUCUAAAGCAUAACCCCAAAACGAUAGCGGUAAAUCUGUAAGAGACAUCAUAGAUCGCACCAUAUCAAGUAAAGUACUAUUACGACGUUCAGACACACCAUUACGGUGUGGUGUUCCAGGUGGCAUGAGUUGCGAAACUAUUCUACAUUGUUUUAAGUGUAGACCAAACUCGUAACUCAAAUAUUCUCCUCCACGAUCAUAUCGUAGAAACUUUAUUUUCUUGUUACGAUGAUUUUCAACUUCACUCUAAAAUUCUUUGAACUUUUCAAAUGUUUUAGACUUAUGCUUCAUUAAUUAGAUAUACCCAUAUCUUCUUAAAUCAUCUGUGAAGGUGAGAAAAUAACAAUAUCCGCCACGAGCCUCAACAUUCAUCGAACCACAUACAUCUGUAUGUAUGAUUUCUAACAAAUCUGUUGUUCUCUCCAUAGUACCGGAGAACGGCGUUUUGGUCAUCUUGCCCAUGAGGCACGGUUCACAAGUACCAAGUGAUUCAUAAUCAAGUGGUUCCAAAAGACCAUCAGUAUGGAGUUUCUUCAUGCGCUUUACACCGAUAUGACCUAAACGGCAGUGCCACAAAUAAGUUGCACUAUCAUUAUCAACUCUGCAUCUUUUGGCUUCAACACUAUGAAUAUGUGUAUCACUACUAUCGAGAUUCAUCAAAAAUAGACCACUCUUCAAGGGUGCAUGACCAUAAAAGAUAUUACUCAUAUAAAUAGAACAACCAUUAUUCUCUAAUUUAAAUGAAUAACCGUCACGCAUCAAACAAGAUCCAGAUAUAAUGUUCAUGUUCAACGCUGGCACCAAAUAACAAUUAUUUAGGUCUAAUACUAAUCCCGAAGGUAGAUGUAGAGGUAGCGUGCCGACCGCGAUCACAUCGACUUUGGAACCAUUUCCCACGCGCAUCGUCACCUCGUCCUUUGCCAGUGUUCUCUUAAUCCGUAGUCCCUGUUUCGAGUUGCAAAUAUUAGCAACAGAACCAGUAUCAAAUACCCAGGUGCUACUGCGAGCUCUAGUAAGGUACACAUCAAUAACAUGUAUAUCACAUAUACCUUUGUUCUCCUUGCCAUCCUUCUUAUCCGCCAAAUACUUGGGGCAGUUCCGCUUCCAGUGACCAGUCUGCUUGCAGUAGAAGCACUCAGUUUCAGGCUUAGGUCCAGACUUGGGUUUCUUCUCUUGAGCAGCAACUUGUUUGCUGUUCUUCUUGAAGUUCCCCUUCUUCUUCCCUUUGCCCUUUUUCUUGAAACUAGUGGUCUUGUUGACCAUCAACACUUGAUGCUCCUUCUUGAUUUCUACCUCCGCAGCAUUUAGCAUUGCGAAUAGCUCGGGAAUCGUCUUAUCCAUCCCAUGCAUAUUAUAGUUCAUCACGAAGCUCUUGUAGCUUGGUGGAAGUGAUUGGAGAAUUCUGUCAAUGAUGCUAUCAUCCGGAAGAGUAACUCCCAGUUGAAUCAAGUGAUUACAAUACCCAGACAUCUUGAGUAUGUGCUCACUGACAGAACUAUUCUCCUCCAUCUUGCAGCUAUAGAACUUAUUGGAGGCUUCGUAUCUCUCAAUCCGGGCAUUCUUCUGGAAUAUUAACUUCAACUCCUGAAACAUCUCAUAUGCUCCAUGACGUUCAAAACGUCGUUGAAGUCCCGGUUCUAAACCGUAAAGCAUGGCACAUUGAACUAUCGAGUAGUCAUCAGCUUUGCUCUGCCAGACGUUCUUAACGUCGUCAGUUGCAUCAGUAGCAGGCCUGGCACCCAGCGGUGCUUCCAGGACGUAAUUUUUCUGUGUAGCAAUGAGGAUAAUCCUCAAGUUAUGGACCCAGUCCGCGUAGUUGCUACCAUCAUCUUUCAACUUAGCUUUCUCAAGGAACGCAUUAAAAUUCAAUGGAACAACAGCACGGGCCAUCUAUCUACAAUCAACAUAGACAAGCAAGAUACUAUCAGGUACUAAGUUCAUGAUAAAUUUAAGUUCAAUUAAUCAUAUUACUUAAGAACUCCCACUUAGACAGACAUCUCUCUAGUCAUCUAAGUGAUCACGUGACCCAAAUCAACUAAACCAUAACCGAUCAUCACGUGAGAUCGAGUAGUUUUCAAUGGUGAACAUCUUAUGUUGAUCAUAUCUACUAUAUGAUUCACGCUCGACCUUUCGGUCUCCGUGUUCCGAGGCCAUAUCUGCAUAUGCUAGGCUCGUCAAGUUUAACCUGAGUAUUCUGCGUGUGCAAAACUGGCUUGCACCCGUUGUAGAUGGACGUAGAGCUUAUCACACCCGAUCAUCACGUGGUGUCUGGGCACGACGAACUUUGGCAACGGUGCAUACUCAGGGAGAACACUUCUUGAUAAUUUUAGUGAGAGAUCAUCUUAAAAUGCUACCGUCAAUCAAAGCAAGAUAAGAUGCAUAAAGGAUAAACAUCACAUGCAAUCAAUAUAAGUGAUAUGAUAUGGCCAUCAUCAUCUUGUGCUUGUGAUCUCCAUCUCCGAAGCACCAUCAUGAUCACCAUCGUCACCGGCGCGACACCUUGAUCUCCAUCGUAGCAUCGUUGUCGUUUACGCCAUCUAUUGCUUCUACGACUAUCACUACCGCUUGGUGAUAAAGUAAAGCAAUUACAGGGCGUUUGCAUUUCAUACAAUAAAGCGACAACCAUAUGGCUCCUGCCAGUUGCCGAUAACUUCGGUUACAAAACAUGAUCAUCUCAUACAAUAAAAUAUAGCAUCAUGUCUUGGCCAUAUCACAUCACAACAUGCCCUGCAAAAACAAGUUAGACGUCCUCUACUUUGUUGUUGCAAGUUUUACGUGGCUGCUACGGGCUUAAGCAAGAACCAAUCUCACCUAUGCAUCAAAACCACAACGAUAGUUUGUCAAGUUGAUGUUGUUUUAACCUUCGCAAGGACCGGGCGUAGCCACACUCGGUUCAACUAAAGUUGGAGAAACUGACACCCGCUAGUCACCUGUGUGCAAAGCACGGCGGUAAAACCAGUCUCGCGUAAGCGUACGCGUAAUGUCGGUCCGGGCCGCUUCAUCCAACAAUACCGCCGAACUAAAGUAUGACAUGCUGGUAAGCAGUAUGACUUAUAUCGCCCACAACUCACUUGUGUUCUACUCGUGCAUAUAAAAUCAAACCAUAAAACCUAGGCUCGGAUGCCACUGUUGGGGAACGUAGUAAUUUCAAAAAAAUUCCUAUGCACACGCAAGAUCAUGGUGAUGCAUAGCAACGAGAGGGGAGAGUGUUGUCUACGUACCCUUGUAGACCGAAGCAGAAGCGUUGACGCAACAUAGAGGAAGUAGUCAUACGUCCUCCCGGUUCAACCGAUCCAAGCACCGUUACUCCGGCACCUCCGAGUUCUUGACACACGUACAGCUCGAUGACGCACCCCGAACUCCGAUCCAGCAGAGGCACGGGGAGGAGUUCCAUCAGCACGACGGCGUGGUGACGAUCUUGAUGUUCAACUGUCGCAGGGCUUCGCCUAAGCACCGCUACAAUAUGACCGAGGUGUAAUAUCAUGGAGGGGGGCACCGCACACGGCUAAGGAACGAUCACAAUGAUCAACUUGUGUGUCUAUGGGGUGCCCCCCGCCCCCGUAUAUAAAGGAGGGAGGGAGGAGGGAGCCGGCCUAAGGGGAGGUGCGCCCUAGGAGGGGGAAACCUACUCCAAGUAGGUUUCCCCCCUCUUUUUCCUAAUAGGAGUAGGAGAGGGAAGGAAGAGGGGGGAGGAGAGNNNNNNNNNNNNNNNNNNNNNNNNNNNNNNNNNNNNNNNNNNNNNNNNNNNNNNNNNNNNNNNNNNNNNNNNNNNNNNNNNNNNNNNNNNNNNNNNNNNNNNNNNNNNNNNNNNNNNNNNNNNNNNNNNNNNNNNNNNNNNNNNNNNNNNNNNNNNNNNNNNNNNNNNNNNNNNNNNNNNNNNNNNNNNNNCUUUGCUCCUUCUCCCUCCCUUCCACUAAGGCCCAAUAAGGCCCAUAUACCUACCGGGGGGUUCCGGUAACCUCCCGGAACUCCGGUAUAAUCCCAAUCUCAUCCGGAACCUUUCCGGUGUCCAAAUAUAUCCGUCCAAUAUAUCAAUCUUUAUGUCUCGACCAUUUCGAGACUCCUCGUCAUGUCCGUGAUCACAUCCAGGACUCCGAACAACCUUCGGUACAUCAAAAUACAUAAACUCAUAAUAUAACUGUCAUCGAAACCUUAAGCGUGCGGACCCUACGGUUCGAGAACAAUGUAGACAUGACCGAGACACGUCUCCGGUCAAUAACCAAUAGCGGGACCUGGAUGCCCAUAUUGGUUCCUACAUAUUCUACGAAGAUCUUUAUCGGUCAAACCGCACAACAACAUACGUUGUUCCCUUUGUCAUCGGUAUGUUACUUGCCCGAGAUUCGAUCGUCGAUAUCCAAUACCUAGUUCAAUCUCGUAACCGGCAAGUCUCUUUACUCGUUCCGUAAUACAUCAUCUCGCAACUAACUCAUUAGUUGAAAUGCUUGCAAGGCUUAAGUGACGUGCAUUACCGAGAGGGCCCAGAGAUACCUCUCCGACAUUUGGAGUGACAAAUCCUAAUCUCGAAAUACGCCAACUCAACAAGUACCUUCGGAGACACCUGUAGAGCACCUUUAUAAUCACCCAGUUACAUUGUGACAUUUGGUAGCACACAAAGUGUUCCUCCGGUAAACGGGAGUUGCAUAAUCUCAUAGUCAUAGGAACAUGUAUAAGUCAUGAAGGAAGCAAUAGCAACAUACUAAACGACCGGGUGCUAAGCUAACGGAAUGGGUCAUGUCAAUCAGAUCAUUCAACUAAUGAUGUGACCUUGUUAAUCAAAUAACAACUCCUUGUUCAUGGUUAGGAAACAUAAACAUCUUUGAUUAACAAGCUAGUCAAGUAGAGGCAUACUAGUGACACUCUGUUUGUCUAUAUAUUCACACAUGUAUUAUGUUUCCGGUUAAUACAAUUCUAGCAUGAAUAAUAAACAUUUAUCAUGAUAUAAGGAAAUAAAUAAUAACUUUAUUAUUGCCUCUAGGGCAUAUUUCCUUCACCUGGGACAAAGUUCUAGAGUGAAGAUACUUAUUUCGCAAGAUCUGAGCCCAAGUGGCCUCCGUCUCAGAAGAAAGCUUAAACAACCAAUUGCUAAGGAGACAUCUGUUCUUGACUUCCAGAUUUUUAAUACCUAGACCCCCUUGGUCCUUCGGCCUACAGAUGAUAUCCCAUUUAGCAAGCCUAUAUUUUCGCUUAAGCUCAUCACUCUGCCAAAAGAAUCGUGAUCGAUAGAAAUCUAGCCUCUUCCUGACUCCAACCGGGACCUCGAAAAAGGAUAGAAGAAACAUAGGCAUACUUGUGAGGACCGAAUUAAUCAAGAUUAAUCGCCCUCCGUAUGACAUGAGCUUACCUUUCCAACAGCUCAGUUUCUUCUCAAAAUGAUCCUCAAUGCACUUCCAUUUUCUGUUGGUCAGCUUACGAUGAUGAAUGGGUAUACCUAAAUAUGUGAACGGUAAAGUCCCCAAUUCACAUCCAAACAAUUAUUAGUAUGCCUCUUGGUCAUCAUUAGCUCUUUCGAAACAGAACAAUUUGCUCUUCUGGAAGUUAAUUUUUAACCUGGUCAAUUGUUCAAAUAAGCAUGACACGAGCUUCAUGUUUCGCGCUUUCGCCAAGUCGUGCUACAUGAAGAUGAUAGUAUCAUCAGCAUACUGAAGGAUGGAUACACCUUCAUCAACUAAGUGCGGAACAAGGCCACCUACCUGCCCCACAUCCUUAGCCUGUCCUAUUAAAAUGGUCAGCAUGUCUACCACUAUGUUGAAUAGGAUCGGUGACAUGGGAUCCCCUUGCCUUAACCCUUUGUGUGUCUGGAAGUAGUGACCUAUGUCAUCAUUCACUUUAAUCCCAACACUCCUUUUUUGCAUAAAGGAUUCUACCUGGUUUCUCCAGGCCUAAUCAAAACCUUUCAUACGCAAAGCCUGUUGAAGAAAGGUCCAUUUGACUUUAUCGUAUGCUUUUUCAAAAUCCACUUUGAAAACAACGUCAUCGAGUUUUUUUGAGUGAAUCUCAUGGAGCGUUUCAUGCAAGACGACAAUCCCUUCUAGGAUAUUUCUAUCUAGCAUAAAAGCAGUUUGGGAAGGUUGCACCAUAGAACGCGCAAUUUGCGUAAGCCUAUUCGUCCCAACCUUGGUGAAAAUUUUGACACUAACAUUAAGAAGAUAAAUAGGUCUGUACUGCUCAAUGCGAACGACCUCUGUCUUCUUAGGAAGUAAAUUUAUUAUUCCAAAAUUCAGCUGAAACAAUUGAAGCUGUCCAGAGAAAAGCUCAUGGAACAUCGGAAGCAAGUCCCCCUUAAUAAAGUGCCAACAUUUUUUAUAAAACUCCGCCGGAAACCCAUCCGGUCUUGGAGCCUUAUUAUUUUUCAUUUGUGCGAUGGCCUCAAACACCUCUUGACACAAAAUUCUCGUCCGGAGGUCCAAACAACUGCUUAUAGUAGUUGGUAAUGUAAACUUUCAGAUUUUCUUGACCUACAAUCGUCCCUUCGUCCUGUUCUAGUUGGAAAAUCCUCUUCUUACGAUGCUUUCCAUUAGCAAUCAUGUGAAAGAAUUGAGUGUUAUCAUCCCCUUGGACGAUUUUGUGAACCUUAGCUCGCAGUGCCCACUUCAAUUCGUCCUCUCGAAGGAGUUCUUUCAGCCUCAACUCAGCCUCCAUCUUAGUUUCCAGCUCGCUGAUACUAAAACAAAAGUUUCGGCUUUUAUUUAUAGGGCUUGAAUAAGUAAAUGGAGCCGUUCCUUUUCAGCCUUAUAUAUCCCAUACGUGUGCUUAGCCCAUCCAUGAAGGAACCUUCGUAGAUGACGAAUCUUACACUGCCAUCUUUCAAUAGGUGACCUUCCUCCCGAGUCUUUAGCCCAUUCUCUAGCUAACAGAUAAAGGAACCCUUCUCUUUCAAACCAUGCAAGUUCAAAAGAGAAUGUGUUCUUGUUACCCACAUGGGUUUGAGCCCCCGAGUCAACUAGUAACGGCGUGUAAUCAGAGAUACCUCGUGACAACGCCUGUACUGUUAAUAGGGGAAAUUUUUAUUCCCAUUCGAUGCUAGCUAAGACACGGUCUAGCUUCUCAAAAGUCAGGAUUGGUAAAGAGUUAGCCCAAGUGAAUUUCCUACCCGACAGCUCUAUCUCUCUAAGAUCCAAGCUCUCGAUGAUGGUAUUGAACAAAAAUGACCAUCUGCCGUCAAAAUUCUCAUUAUUCUUUUCAUCCCGUCUUCGAAUAAUGUUGAAAUCACCCCCCACUAAAAUAGAGAGCUGCUCGUUACCACAAACACGGACAAGAUCGGCCAAAAAGUCUGGUUUGAGUUCUGGUUGCGCGGCACCGUAAACCGCCACCAGAGCCCAAUCAAACCCAUCUGCCUUAGUUUUGACCCGAAACUUUACCGCAAAAUCUCCCAUAACUACACUCUGAACUUCCAAAGAGUCACACUUAACCCCAAGUAAAACCCCACCGGAUCUUCCUCGUGGAGGAAGGCAAUACCUGUCGAAGUCAACACCCCCCGAUAAAGUGCUAAGAAAUUGGGGGGGGGUGAAGUUGUCCCUUCCAGUCUCUGACAGAGCAAUAAAAUCCAAUUGAUGCUCAAGAGAAGCAUCCGCUAGAAACCUUCUUUUAGCCAAGUCUUUAAGGCCUCUGCUAUUCCAGAAAAUGCCUCUCAUAUUUCAUCAUGAAUUUUUUUAGAGGUACGGAUCCUAGCACUUCUACGCAUAGCCGACACUGGGUAAACCUUCUAUUUCCAUGUCCGCUUAGGCUUAACGCGAUCCUCGGGCCGAUCACCACAACCGGGCUCUGCCGAGAUAACCAACGAACCAUCUACAUGGUUAGAGACCUCAGGAGAACCGAAGCCCUCCUCCUCCUUAGUCUCAGGAAGUGAAGGGUUAAGAUCCGCACACAAACCAUCAAGAACCCUGACCCCUAGUGCAUCAAUGUUCGAAUCAUUCAUGGGUUUAACGGCAGCUAUGUUAUGAAUCAUUUCCAACGCCCUCUCCGCUUCUAAAUCAAGAAUGUCAUUGCAUUAUGAACAAUCUCAUCAUUGAUAAAAUGCAAAAUUGAAUUUGAUUUAUUAACAGACAUACCCGUAGAGAUCUCAACGUCACGUAGCUUGGCCGCCCGCUUAGCGUACCUCUGCUGCAUGUCAUCAACGUCCGGCUGCUCCUGCAGCCGACUGCUGAUCCGCCUCCCCUCAGAAACAGGAUCCGAUAUCCCUCUAAAUGUGAUGACCUCCUCGCGCAAAACUCUGCUUGGGGAAGGGCCUCCUGCCCGACCCCCAAUAGUGGUAACCCGGCCUGGGACAUACGGGGCCACACCAAGAGAUGACGACACAUCCCGCGGCAUCACCACGGGAGUCCCGCUGAGAACAGGUGUGGCUGACGUGCCUGAGAUGGGCGAAACCAGCCUGGGUGGGUGAUCCACGGAGCGGGGUGCCUGGUUGGCCACUCCACCUGACCCACCCACCGCGGCAGGUAUCGACCUGGUGGGAAGGGGUGCAGUGGCCUCCUGACCGCACACCCCUUUGAAGACGGCCGGUCUCGUAGGAGAGAGCAAAGCCGCCAAGCUCGCCCUCGGCGCCGACGAAGAUGGCGACGCGGAGUGCCAGGCCACCUACCCGCCACCUCUUGCCGAGUCAUCCGCCGUAGCCUCCACCUCCAAAACAGGAGGUGGAGAUGAGGGAGUGGUAGAGGCCUCCUGCCCCUCGGCUCCCCCCAGCCCAACAAGCUCGGGCAAAAACAGACGCACCACUGAUAACCCACAAGUGUAGGGGAUCGCAACAACGUUUGAGGGUAAAGUAUUCAACCCAAAUUUAUUGAUUCGACACAAGGGGAGCCAAAGAAUAUUCUUGAGUAUUAGCAGUUGAGUUGUCAAUUCAACCACACCUGGAUAACUUAGUAUCUGCAACAAAGUAUUUAGUAGCAAAGUAGUAUGAUAAUAAAGGUAACGGUAACAAAAGUAAUGUUUUUGGGUUUUGUAGUAGUUGUAACAGUAGCAACGAAAAAGUAAAUAAGUGAAGAACAAUAUGUGAAAAGCUCGUAGGCUAUGGAUCAGUGAUGGAUAAUUAUGCCGGAUGCAAUUCCUCAUGUAAUAGCUAUAACAUAGGAUGACAUAGAACUAGCUCCAGUUCAUCAAUGUAAUGUAGGCAUGUAUUCCGUAAAUAGUCAUACGUGCUUAUGGAAAAGAACUUGCAUGAAAUCUUUUGUCCUACCGUCCCGUGGUAGCGGGGUCCUAGUGGAAACUAAGGGAUAUUAAGGCCUCCUUUUAAUAGAGAACCGGAACAAAGCAUUAGCACAUAGUGAAUACAUGAACUCCUCAAACUACGGUCAUCACCGAGAAGUAUCCCGAUUAUUGUCACUUCGGGGUUGUCGGAUCAUAACACAUAAUAGGUGACUAUAGACAUGCAAGAUAGGAUCAAGAACACACAUAUAUUCAUGAAAACAUAAUAGGUCCAGAUCUGAAGUCAUGGCACUCGGGCCUAGUGACAAGCAUUAAGCAUAGCAAAGUCAUAGCAACAUCAAUCUCAGAACAUAGUGGAUACUAGGGAUCAAACCCUAACAAGACUAACUUGAUUACAUGGUAAAUCUCAUCCAACCCAUCACCGUCCAGCAAGCCUACGAUGGAAUUACUCACGCAUGGCGGUGAGCAUCAUGAAAUUGGUGAUGGAGGAUGGUUGAUGAUGACGACGGCGACGAAUCCCCCUCUCCGGAGCCCCGAGCGGACUCCAGAUCAGCCCUCCCGAGAGAGAUUAGGGCUUGGCGGCGGCUCCAUAUCGUAAAACGUGAUGAAACUUUCUCUUUGAUUUUUUUUCUCCCCGAACGUGAAUAUAUGGAGUUGGAGUUAAUGUCGGUGGAGGUCCAGGGGGCCCACAAGACACAGGGGCGCGCCUAGGGGGAGGGGGCGCGCCCCCCACCCUCGUUGACAGGGUGUGGACCCCCUGGUCUUGAUUCUUUCGCCAGUAUUUUUUAUAUUUUCCAAAAAGUGUCUCCGUGGAUUUUCAGGACGUUCCAAGAACUUUUCUUUUCUACACAUAAAACAACAUCAUGGCAGUUCUGCUGAAAACAGCGUCAGUCCGGAUGAGUUUCAUUCAAAUCAUGCAAGUUAGAGUCCAAAACAAGGGAAAAAGUGUUUGGAAAAGUAGAUACGUUGGAGACGUAUCAACUCCCCCAAGCUUAAACCUUUGCUUGUCCUCAAGCAAUUCAGUUGAUAAACUGAAAGUGAUAAAGAAAAACUUUUACAAACUCUGUUUGCUAUUGUUGUUGUAAACAUGCAAAGCCAUCAUUCAGGUUUCAGCAAAUAUUAUGAACUAACCAUACUCACAAUAACACUUAGGUCUCACAAUUACUCAUAUCAAUAGCAUAAUCAGCUAGCAAGCCAUAAUAAUAAAAUUCGGAUGACAACACUUUCUCAAAAUAAUCAUAACAUGAUAUAACAAAAUGGUAGCUCACUAGCCCUUUCUGAGACUACAAAACAUAAAUGCAGAGCACCUUUAAAGAUCAAGGACUGACUAAACAUUGUAAUUCAUGGUAAAAGAGAUCCAUUUAAGUCAUACCCAAUAUAAACCAAUAAUAGUGAAUGCAAAUGACAGCGUGCUCUCCAGCGGGUGCUUUUUAAUAAGAAGGUGAUGACUCAACAUAAAAGUAAAUAGAUAGGCCCUUCGCAGAGGGUUGCAGGGAUUUGUAGAGGUGCCAGAGCUCGAUUUUAAAAUAGAGAUUGAAUAACAUUUUGAGCGGCAUACUUUCACUGUCAACGCAACAACUAUGAGAUGGUUGUAUCUUCCAUACUACAUGCAUUAUAGGCAGUUCCCAAAUAGAAUGGUAAAGGUUUAUACUCCCCCAACCACCAACAAGCAUCAAUCCAUGGCUUGCUCGAAACAACGAGUGCCUCCAACUAACAACAGCCCUGGGGGAGUUUUGUUUAAUUAUUUUGAUUUGCUUUGAUCUUUUUGGAUCAUGGGACUGGGCAUCCCGGUUACCGGCCCCUUUCUCGUGAAUGAGGAGCGGAGUCCACUCCUCUUGAGAAUAACCCACCUAGCAUGGAAGAUAUAGGCAGCCCUAGUUGUAACAUGAGCUGCUCGAGCAUAUAAAGCAGAAUUUCAUUUGAAGGUUUGGAGUUUGGCACAUAAAAAUUUACUUGGAACGGCAGGUAAAUACCGCACAUAGGUAGGUAUGGUGGACUGAUAUGGAACAACUUUGGGGUUUAAGGAGUUUGGAUGCACAAGCAAUAUUCCCACUUAGUACAAGUGAAGGCUAGCAAAAGACUGGGAAGCGACCAACUGAGAGAGCGACAACAGCCAUCAACAUGCAUUAAAAUUAAUUUACACCGAAUACAAGCAUGAGUAGGAUAUAAUCUACCAUGAACAUAAAUAUCAUGAAGGCUAUGUUGAUUUGUUUCAACUACAUGCGUGAACAUGUGCCAAGUCGAGUCACUCAAUUCAUUCAAAGGAGGACACCAUCCCAUCAUACCACAUCAUAAUCAUUCUAAUAGCAUGUUGGCAUGCAAGGUAAACCAUUAUAACUCAUAGCUAAUCAAGCAUGGCACAAGCAACUAUAAUCUCUAAAUGUCAUUGCAAAUAUGUUUACUUCAUAAUAAGCUAAAUGAGAAACAAUGAACUCAUCAUAUUUACAAAAACAAGAGAGGUCGAGUUCAUACCAGCUUUUCUCAUCUCAAUAAGUUCAUCAUAUAUCGUCAUUAUUGCCUUUCACUUGCACGACCGAACGAUGUCUAUAAUAAUAAGAGUGCACGUGCAUUGGACUAAGCUGGAAUCUGCAAGCAUUCAACUCAAAAAAGAAGACAAGGUAAUAUGGGCUCUGAAGUAUAAAAACAAUCGUGCAUAUGAGAGCCACUAAACAUUUUCAAUAUGGUCUUCUCGACCCCCAAAGGAAAGAAAAGAAAAGAAAACUAUUUACACGGGAAAGCUCCCAACAAGUAAGAAGAAGAAUAAGAAUCUUUUUGGAUUUUCAUUUUAAUUUCUACUAUAGGCAUAGAAUUUAAACUAACUAAUUUUUUGGUUUUUCUUAAGGUUUAUCAAACACACAAGAAGAAAGCUAGAAAGAAAAUUAAACUAACAUGGAUAAUACAAUGAAAGAGUAUGAGCACCGACGACUAGUGUGUAAAUAUGAAUGUAAAGUCGGUGAGAAAUACGUACUCCCCCAAGCUUAGGAUUUUGGCCUAAGUUGGUCUAAUACCAAGGACCACCGUACUCUCCCCAGUGUACUGGGAGGUGUAAUCAGGAUACCACUGGCUGGUCAUCUCCGGAUCCCACUGGAAAGAUGAUGCACGAUAAGGGUCCAGUGAGGGUUCCGGCUCAGGUUCAGGUUCUGGAGUGGAUGCUUGGGCUCGAUGAGUGUACACCGCUUCAGGUGUAACAAGAAAAUUAUCUGCAGUCAAAUCAAACAACAGAGGCGCAGGCAAAAUAAUAGUCUCAUUGUGUUUCUUAUUAAAUCUAAGGUUAUACACGGGCAUCCUUUCUUCGUUGUCAACAAUAAAUGUGUGGGCUACCAUGCUCUUGUAAUUUAAAAUGUGAAGAGGCAAUUUUGUCUCCUCUUUCUCAUGGUGCCUAAUAGGUAUCUGAAAAUGUCUAGCAAGACGUGAAGCAUAGAUACCUCCAAAUAUGGGGCCUUUUGUACGAUUCAGGCUUAGCCAUUUAGCGACGACGACACCCAUACUAAAACUAUUAUCUCCAAGCAAGGCAUGUUGAAGAAUGAUAAUAUCAGGAACACAAAGGUUUCCACUAUUUCCACGACCAAUCAAGCAUCUACUAGCAAAUAUGAUAAAGUAGCGCAGAACAGGAAAAUGUAUGCUAGAGAUUUUCACCUCGGAACCCUUCUGUGGCUCCUCUAAAACUAUAGUGUUAACAAAGCCAUCCACAUCUUUACGAUGGGGUUCCUCUACUUCUCCCUCAUAGGGUAUCCUACAUACCGCGCAAAAAUCAUGUAAAGACAUUUCUCUGAAUUCAUCAUACAAAUGAAAUGAUACUGAAGGCGGAAAGGGCAUGGGUUUCUGGACCCAUGGUUCUCUUUCUCUAUCGUGCUUCCUAGCAACAAAAUCUCUCUUAUCAUAACGUUGAUUCUUUGAUUGUGGGUUAUCAAGAUCAACAGCAGGUUCAAUCUCUACGUCAUUGUUUUUUGAUAGGUUGAGCAUCAACAUGAACAUUAUCAUUUACAUUAUCACUAGGUUCAUGUUCAUCACCUGAUUAUGUUUCAGCAUCAGAAAUAGAAAUAUCAUUGGGAUUCUCAGGUGUGUCUACAGUAGGUGCACUAGAAGCAUGCAAAGUCCUAUCAUUUUUCUUUUCUUCUUUUUAGAAGAACUAGGUGCCUCUAGAUUAUUUCUCUGAGAAUCUUGCUCGAUUCUCUUAGGGUGGCCUUCAGGAUACAAAGGUUCCUGAGUCAUUCUACCAGUUCUAGUAGCCACUCUAACAGCAUAGUCAUUUUUAUUAUUUAAUUCAUCAAGAAAAUCAUUUUGAGCUUUAAGUACUUGCUCAACUUGAGUAGCAACCAUAGAAGCAUAUUCGCUAACGAGUUUGAGUUCGCCUUUAACUCUAGCCAUAUUAUCGCUCAUGCGUCCUAUCUCGAAAGCAUUAUUAUUUAACUCUCUACCAACAUAAGUAUUAAAACUUUCUUGUCUAGCCAUAAAGUCAUCAAAUUCAUCUAAGCAUGGGCUAUGAAAUUUAGUAGAGGGAAUUUCAACUUUAUCAUAUCUAUAGAGAGAAUUUACCUUUACUACCUAUGUCGGGUUAUCAAGACAAUGUGGUUUUUCAACAGGCGGUAUAUUAAGACCAUGUAUUUCUACAACAGGUGGUAAAUUCUUAACAUCUUCAGCUUUAAUACCUUUUUCUUUCAUUGAUUUCUUUGCCUCUUGCAUAUCUUCAGGACUGAGAAAUAAAACACCUCUCUUCUUCGGAGUGGGUUUAGGAAUAGGGUCAGGAGUUGGUUCAAUUGGUUCAAGAAUUGGCUCAGGAAUUGGCUCAGGGAGAGUCCAAUUAUUUUCAUUAGUCAACAUAUUAUUCAAUAGUAAUUCAGCUUCGUCGACUGUUCUUUCCCUGAAAACACAACCAGCACAACUAUCCAAGUAGUCCUUGGAAACAUCGGUUAGUCCAUUAUAAAAGAUAUCAAAUAUUUCAUUUUUCUUAAGAGGAUGAUCAGGCAAAGCAUCAAGUAAUUGGAGAAGCCUCCCCCAAGUUUGUGGGAGACUCUCUUCUUUGAUUUGCACAAAAUUAUAUAUUUCCCGCAAGGCAGCUUGUUUCUUAUGAGUAGGGAAAUAUUUAGCAGAGAAGUAAUAAAUCAUAUCCUGGGGACUACGCACACAACCAGGAGCAAGAGAAUUAUACCAAGUCUUAGCAUCACCCUUUAAUGAGAACGGAAAUAUCUUAAGGAUAUAAAAAUAGCGAGAUUUAUCAUCAUGAGUAAACAGGGUAGCUAUGUCAUUCAACUUGGUAAGAUGUGCCACAACAGUUUCAGAUUCAAGGCCAUAAAAAGGGUCAGAUUCAACUAAAGUAAUAAUCUCAGGAUCAACAGGGAAUUCAUAAUCCUUAUCAGUAACACAGAUAGGUGAAGUAGCAAAAGCAGGGUCAGGUUUCGUUCUAGCAUUAAGAGACUGCUGCUUCCAUUUAGCUAAUAAUUUCUUAAGAUCAUAUCUAUCUCUACAAAUAAAGAUAGCUCUAGCACCUUCCUCUUCCAUAACAUAACCCUCAGGAACAACAGGCAAUUGAUAAUUAUUAGGAGAACCUUCAUCAUCACUAUCAUCAAUAAUAGCAUCUUCAAUAAUUUUCUUCUCUCUAGCCCUAGCAAGUUGUUCAUCAAGAAAUUCACCUCAUGGAAAAGUAGUAUCACGCACAGAAGUAGUUUCAUCAUAAGUAUCAUGCAAAGUAGAAGUGGCAUCAUCAAUAACAUGCGACAUAUUAGAGUUCAUAGCAGUAGCAGGUUUAGGUGUCGCAAGCUUACUCAAAAUAGAAGGAGAAUCUAGUGCAGAGCUAGAUGGCAGUUCCUUACCUCCCCUCGUAGUUGAGGGAUAGAUAGUAGUUUUCGCGUCUUUCAAGUUCUUCAUAGUGAUCAACAGAUAUAAAUCCCAAGUUACUCAGAUAAUAGAGCUAUGCUCCCCGGCAACGGCGCCAGAAAUUAGUCUUGAUAACCCACAAGUGUAGGGGAUCGCAAUAGCUUUCAAGGGUAAAGUAUUCAAUCCAAAUAUAUUGAUUCGACACAAGGGGAGCCAAAGAAUAUUCUUGAGUAUUAGCAGCUGAGUUGUCAAUUUAACCACACCUGGAUAACUUAGUAUCUGUAGGAAAGUAUUUAGUAGCAAAGUAGUAUGAUAAUAAAGGUAACGGUAACAAAAGUAAUGUUUUUGGGUUUUGUAGUAGUUGUAACAGUAGGAACGGAAAAAUAAAUAAGCGAAGAACAAUAUGUGAAAAGCUCACAGGCAAUGGAUCAAUGAUGGAUAAUUAUGCCAGAUGCAAUGCCUCAUGUAAUAGCUAUAAAAUAGGGUGACACAUAACUAGCUCCAGUUCAUCAAUGUAAUGUAGGCAUGUAUUCCGUAAAUAGUCAUACGUGCUUAUGGAAAAGAACUUGCAUGACAUCUUUUGUCCUACCCUCCCGUGGCAGCGGGGUCCUAGUGGAAACUAAGGGAUAUUAAUGCCUCCUUUUAAUAGAGAACUGGAACAAAGCAUUAGCACAUAGUGAAUACAUGAACUCCUCAAACUACGGUCAUCACCGAGAAGUAUCCCGAUUAUUGUCACUUCAGGGUUAUCGGAUCAUAACACACAAUAGGUGACUAUAGACUUGCAAGAUAGUAUCAAGAACACACAUAUAUUCAUGAAAACAUAAUAGGUUCAGAUCUGAAAUCAUGGCACUUUGGCCCUAGUGACAAGCAUUAAGCAUAGCAAAGUCAUAGCAACAUCAAUCUCAGAACAUAGUGGAUACUAGGGAUCAAACCCUAAUAAAACUAACUUGAUUACAUGGUAAAUCUCAUCCAACCCAUCACCGUCCAGCAAGCCUACGAUGGAAUUACUCAUGCACGGCGGUGAGCAUCAUGAAAUUGGUGAUGGAGGAUGGUUGAUGAUGACGACGGCGACGAAUCCCCCUCUCCGGAGCCCCGAACGGACUCCAGAUCAACCCUCCCGAGAGAGAUUAGGGCUUGGCGGCGGCUCCAUAUCAUAAAACGCGAUGAAACUUUCUCUUUGAUUUUUUCUCCCCGAACGUGAAUAUAUGGAGUUGGAGUUGAGGUCGGUGGAGGUCCAUGGGGCCCAUGAGACUGGGGGCGCGCCCAGGGGGAGGGCGCGCGCCCCCCACCCUCUUGGACAGGGUGUGGGCCCCCUGGUCUUGAUUCUUUCGCCAGUAUUUUUUAUAUUUUCCAAAAAGUGCCUCCGUGGAUUUUCAGGACAUUCCGAGAACUUUUCUUUUCUACACAUAAAACAACAUCAUGGCAGUUCUGCUGAAAACAGCGUCAGUCCGGGUUAGUUUCAUUCAAAUCAUGCAAGUUAGAGUUCAAAACAAGGGCAAAAGUGUUUGGAAAAAUAGAUACGUUGGAAACGUAUCAACCACCGGGUCCAUCGGAUCAACUCGAUCACUCCAAAGCCUAGGAGGCGCCGAGAAAGCCCCCAAGGAUCCAAGCUGCAACGUACUCAUCGGAACAGUACCUGUUGACCUUUCAGUAGUAGUCUCAGCAGAGUUAGACGGACCCGAAGGCCCCUUGGCCUUAUCGUCAUUACUCUUAGCACUAUCAUCCUGGUUCCCCGAAGCACCUCCUCCCUCGGAAGUGUCCAUAGGAUUAUCGUCCUCAAAUUCCCGGAAAAGAUUGGUAUCCUCAUACUCGACAUCCAGCUGAUAUAGAACGCCUUCAUGCGUCCAAGGCACCACAUCCGGCAAGAACUCAAUGUUAGCAACACUGACAAGCAAACGUGCCAUCCCAUGAGCACGUGUGAACUGCAUAUCCACCUGUUCAGUCUUACCAAUCAGAGAACCCAGGCUCCAGGUGACCAAAAAACUAUCCAAGGGAGCAGAUGGCGCCUCGGAGAAAUGAACCCAAAUCUGAGUUAACGGCGUGCCCUGCGGCUCCUUCUUUUUCCACUCAUCAAACUGCAGCACAAAACUAGUACCAGUGACCCUGCUCAUACCAAACUUGAGGAUUCUCAGCUGAUCCUUCUUAGACGGGAAAUCCACUUUGUAAGUCUGAUCUGUCAGCUUGAGCAAAGACCACUGAAAAUUACCCGGUGCCAACUCCCGCAACUACUGAAUGAUUUGUGCCUCAGUCAAAGGUCCAUGAACCACCUUCACCACACCAGGGAAGGAGGUUUCAACCACGGGUGUCAAAGGUUCCACACAGGGAGACUCGAAGAACAUCAACUCCGAGCAGCAGACCCCAUAGAUGUUAACAGAAGGUUUAGGCCCCAACAAAAGAGGACACUCUGAAGUUGUAUGCUUAGGUUUCCAGCACAAGUCGCAUAACUCCGCAGUGCAUUCAACCAGAAAGUGACCCGGUUCACCGCAACGGAAACAGGUCAACUUCUUCUUUUGAGCCGCCCACUUGGACACCUUUUCAACCUCGGACUUCUCCGUACCUUGUUCAGAAGUAGUAUCUCCAGUAUGCAUGGGCUCCGACAAUGUAACUGCGGCCAAGGCCUGAAUCGUCUCCACCGCCACUUGCGGUAGAGCCGAUCCAACGGCAGCCACCUCCGGCGAGGUCGUCUACUGCUCAGAAACAGUGGUCGGCUGCCUCGGCAGAGGAGGGCGCCGCCACGGCCUCCGCGGAAACGACCCCGGAAAGGAUGGUUAUUCGGGCAAACCGCGCCCUCCACAAAGUUGCCAGGCGAACCCCUACCGGCAUUGCCUUGAUCCACCCAAGCAUAGCCACGGCCGCCUCCGGUAGACAAAGAACCUUGAUGCAUACCAUCACCGUAUGCAUUAUAUCCAUCAUCGCGCCACUGACCGCGCGGAGGGUUGGAUUGUCACCCGUGAAAGCACCCGUACCACGACCAUUCAUGGCUUGGCCUGUCCCACCACGGCCGCCCGCCCUCUGCCUCGGCCACGGUCGUUGCGGUGGUGAUGGCUCAGCCCUAGCCGAUGGCGGAGGCGCAGCCCUUGGUGGGGGCGGCGGAGGUGGGGCAGCCCUUGGUGGCGGUGGAGCGGCCCUCGCAGGGGGCGGAGGAGGCGCCGUCCUAGGCGGCAGCGGAGCCACCCUGGGCGGAGGCGCAGCCCGCACGGGCACCGGAGCGGCAGCGUCCGCAGCCUGCGCCGAAGCCAUGCCCGCAGCCCCCGACGCAUUCCUCGACGUCGGCGCGGCCCUUGAUGGAGGAGGCUUGGGCGGCAUCGCAGCCGCACGAACCGCGGAUGGCGGGCGGUCUCCAAACCGGACGAUUCCAAGGUUGACACGGCGCGAGGAGGCAGUAGGGAACCCCCGACUCCCGCGAUGAUGAACCCUAGAACCAGCGAUGCGGCAGCAGGGAGAGAAUGAACGUGCAUGCAGCGGCUCCCGAUCUGAUGCCUCCUCAUGCACGUCGCCCCUCCCAGAUGGAUCGCAGACUUGGCCAGCCCCCUGGGCCUCAAGCCCAGUACUAACCAAGCCCACAACGCCAUUGUUCACUUGUGGCCCGUCUCGGCCUAAAAGCGAAUUCAAACAUUCAAUCCUUGCCGCCCGAACAUCACGCACAACAGCCGCCGCCGGCGAUCGCUGAGGCACAACUCGGCCUCCCUUCUUCUUUCGCCUAGUUACUCUCGUCCAGCACUCGGGAUGAAAAAAGUCGGACAGCGUAACAACAGACGGAGCCACUUUUGGCAACGGUCCAAUCCAUGGUUCACUUUCGGCUUCUGCGAAGGAACCCUAGGACCGAGCGGAAUAGAAUAUUUGCAGCCCUCAUUAGGGUUAGGCAGCGAGACGGACAUUACCAAGUCAAGCUUAGGUGGCGGCCGAUCAUACGUGGCCUGCCGAUCAUCAUCGUCUUCCUCCUCGUUGGCAAGAAUCCAGAAGCGAACCCCAAACCGCUGCGUAGGCUUCGGUCCGUCCACCUCCGUCGUAAGAUCCACAACGAGAGGUUGAUCUCCGCAUUCCGCAGGCACAUGCACACACUCAAGAACCUCGAUUUGGUAAAUAUCAAUCAAUAAACGCUUACCACUAGCAAGUUCCUCGUCGGUUCUCACAUGCCGUCCGGCCAAAAUUUCUCCUUCUUCAUCUCUGAUCAUCGUCCAUCGAGACGGAUGCGAGUAGAUCAAACCAGUGAUCCAUCGCCCAGCCUCCCUUGCAUCUUCGAAACGCACGCGCCAUUUUGAAGGAUUCAAAAAUCCCCGAUCCCGAUCCGCCGUCGAGGAACCUCGACGGGAAACCGGGCAGGGCCGUCAUGGCACUACUUAUUAUUACCAUGGUCCCAAAUUACUUGUCCUAAAUUUAUCUAUAUACGAAUGUAUGGAACACUAAAACGUGUCUAAGAUAAGUAAUGCGGGAUGGAGGGAGUAGAACAAAAUGAUGUUUAGCCAAGUCAAGAAGACCUUUACUAUUCAAAACAUCAUUUUCGUUAGUUCACUUGUUUACACGAGACAAGGAGCCAUGGGGCCAAUGCCUCAUGGACACAACACGUUGAUGAGAAUGCAUGUUCAGGGUAACGCCUUAGCUAUUUAAACACUUGAAGGGUCGUUGUGAGAUCACUGCAUAUCGAAAAGUGAGAGCGCCACGAUCGACCGGGAGUAGCGAUGUCGAGGACAUUUCAGUUGCUGCUAGUUCUUGCACUAGUAGGAAUAGUUAGAGUGAGUGGUUCCCGCGCUCAUAAGAACGUCACCCACGGCCCGCACAGCUGCAGCGGCGUGGAUGUCCCCUACCCGUUCGGCAUCGUGGAGGAUGGCGGCGGUGGCGACUACCGCGCUGGGUUCCAUGUCAUGUGUGACGCCGGUGAGCCGGUACUGCACACCACCGGCGGCGACGGAAAGCCCGUUAAGAUCGGCAACUUCUCCAUCCAGGCGGCUGAGGCCCGCGUGUGGCUGCCUGUAGUGUGGCAGUGCUACGACUCCUCCGGCAAGCCGAGUAGGUCAGACUACAGGAACCUAGAGUUCAACAAAGGGGGCGUGUACCGCAUCUCCAACGCCAAGAACAACCUCUUUGUCCUGGGCUGCAAAACCACGGGCUACCUCGCGAGCCAGCCGGACCAGGGCUCCGGCGAAAGCACGUCUUACGCCCAGUUCACCGGCUGCCUCUGCUACUGCAACAACUCCCAGAGCGCGGUGAACGGUGCCUGCUCCGGGGUAGGCUGCUGCCACGUAGACAUUCCGCCGGACCUCACCGACAACUGGGUGGCCUUCAUGAGCUACGACCACACCGACAAGGUCAACUUCAGCCCCUGCGAUUAUGCGUUUGUGGCGGAGAAAAAACAUUACACCUUCAACACCACCGACCUCAAGAGGGCACUGCGCCAGAACACCUGGGGCUGGGAGAUGCCGGUGGUCCUCGACUGGGCCAUCCGCGACAGCCCCACCUGCAAGGAGGCAAGGAAG